GAAUUGUUAUGGGAGGUGGAUUUGAUGAUGUGGGAGGUGUGGGUAGCAAUUGUUCUUCCAUUGAAGAAUGAGGAUUUUGGACUUGAAGGGAGAAAAGUGGCAAGAGAUGUUGCGGUGGCAGUGACGAAUGCCAUGAAGAAGGAGAGUAUUUGGAAAAUAGAAAGGGUUACUGAUGUUUGGUAGAGAGGUGUAAUAGAUGUGAGUAGAAUAAAUAGGUUUAAUAAAUGGUUACUGAUAUUUGGUAGAUAGGUGGAAUAAAUGUGAAUAGAGCUGUCAAAAAAGCCCCAAACUGUUAGACCCCUUAAUAUUUUUUAUUAUACCCUUAAUAUUAGGUUUCCUAUCAAAAUAACUUUUUUAAAAUUUCGGCCAAUUAUUUCAUGGGGCUUAAGAGAAGGGGCAUGGGGUUUAUAGGCCCCCCAAUAUUUUAAAAUCGAUUUUUUUUUAAAACGUGGGCCUAUAGGCCCACUAAGCCCACAAAAUUUUAGGAGGCUUUCAGUGUUGGGGGCCUUUUAAAUUAUAUUUUUUUUUUGUUUCUCCAACAUGUAGGCUGAUGCUAAUAAUUAAGGGACUUAUCAAAUUGAGAGCUAUAGUGAUUACCACCGAUACUUUGAAUAAUUUAGCUGUACCGUUUUUUUUUCUUUUCAAAGCAAAUAUUAGUAGAUAUAUUUAUAAGCGGAUGCCGCGGAUCUGUUUCUAUGGUAACGGGGGUCUUGUCCCCACAAUAUAUUUGUUUUUCUGUAAGAACGUUAUUUAUUUUUGGUUAAUAUAUUUUUAAUUAUUUUAAUUCUAUAAUAAAAAAAUAGAUGUUACCCUGUUAUACUUUGUUUAAUUUUCUUUCAUCUUCCUUAUAUUAUAAUUAUUUUUUGUAUUUGCACACAUUUUAUAUUUCUUUCUUUUAAGUUAUAUUUUCAAAUAUUUUUUAUGUAAACAUAUUAUAGAUUAUUUUAAUUCAUUUUAUUAUAAAAACAUUAUAUAAUAUCAUAGAUUAUUAUAUUUUUUAUUUUUAAGAUCGAAGAAAUCUUUAUAUUUUUCUUAAUUAAUAACGAUUUAAGUUUUUAUUUUAUAUUAUUUUUUAUAAAAAUAUUAUACUUAUUCUCUUGUCUCAAUAAACAAAAAUUUCUAAUUUACCACUUGUCAAUUAGAGGAGAAAUAAUUUGACUGUAUCAAGAUCGAAAUCCUAUUUUUAAUAUUCUUUCAGUUAUCCUUUCAGCUUUUCAGCUCAUAUUACUGGAGUCUGAAUUACCCAUUCACAUAUUGCAAACACUGUCCUUAAAUGAAAUAUAUGAAUAAAAAAAUAAUUGAAAAAAUAAUAUAGCUGAUUUUAAAUUUUAAUUAAAUAGAUUAACUUUUUAUAUACUAUUUUUUUACUCUGUUUCGCAAGGUUAAAAAGUAAGUUUAUAUUUUAUAUUCAUAAAUAAUUUAUUUAAUUUAACAUAUAAAAUAAGUUUAAUAAAUAAUAAUUUAAAAUAAAUAAUUUAAAACAGUUUAUUCAUUAUAAUUUAAAAUAAAUAAAUAAAUAAAUAAAAAAUAUAUCUGAUUGAUAAAUUUUAAAUUAUUAUUUUUAAAAUAUUUUAAACAUUGAUAAAAUUUAUUUUUAAUUAAGAUUUUUUUUAUUUUUUUAUUUUUUAUUUUAAAGUUAUUGAACCGUUACUUUUAUCAUACAUUUCAAUUAAUUUAACUACUAUCCACUCUCAAUUAAUUUUAUCAAUAAGAUCCGAAAAUAAGUACUUUUUUGUUGGUUAAUAUCAUACACUAUUUUGUUGUUUAAUAUUAGACACUAUUCACUGCAUGUAAGAGAUUAAUUAGUACUCUCUUUGUCCUUAAUUAUAAACACUAAUUUAAAAAUUUAUUUGUCUCUAAAUGUAAGUUCCUAUGCAAAUUACUAUGUUAUUUAUUAUUUUUUCUCUAAAUCUAUUUCUAUUAAUAUUACUAAUUUAUAUUAAAAUGUCAAAACUUAACAUUAAAUACAUUUAUAUAUAAUAAACAAUUUAGUAAUAAUAACACAUAAAAUAUACAUAUUAAUUACACCACUUUUUUUUUUAAUGUAUGUGAAAGUUUUAAUAAUUAUUUUAUAAAAAGUAUUAAUCUAACCUUCAUUUUUUGUGUUUAGAAAGAUUUUCGUGGCUCGAAGUACAUAAAUAUAGCUCAUUAAUCUUGCAAUUCGAUAAAUAGCAUGGGUUAAACACAAUUACACAAAGGAUGAAGUAUUAAUUUUAAUUAUAUAAGAUGAAAAAGAUUUAAACAAACAAAAAUGAUUAGUAUAACUAUAUGAGAAAUAAUAGAAGAAAAAAAAACUAUACAAGAAAAUGUCUAGUGUUUUUUUUUUGUAAAACACUAAAAAUAAAUCUUUUAAUUUUUUUUAUGGAAAACUAUACGAGGAUAGACUAAAAUAAUCUUUUUUGUGGCUCUUGAAAUUAUUUCAAAAUAUUUUCUUCUGAAUUUAGUGUUAUUAUCAAUAUUAUACCUAAAUACAUAGAAAUUAGGUUGAAAUUCUAAAUAUGAAUAAUUAAUUAAAAAUUAGUACUUAAUAUUUUAAAUACUAUUUAAAUAAAUAUAUAAAUUUUCCAAAAAAAAAAAGGUUUAAAUACAAAUAAAAAAUACAGAAAAUUAUACCAUAGAGAGCAUAGACAAUGGAACCAUAGAAUCUCCCUAACUAUAUAAAGGUAACACUCACAAAAAAGGUAGACAGGGAAAAAAUUUGCCUUUUGUUUUUUCGGUUCUUCUAGCGAUGAACCGGAUUCUCUUGUCAUUUCCAAUAAAGUGGACUAAAGAUUAUCAAAUUAUGGCAAAACAAUUUGAAAGUAUUGAUUUCUCUGUGUGUUUGAUUACACGUAGAAGAAUGAGAAAGAAAAGAAGGACAAAAAUAUUUUAAAUAAAAUGUAUUUAAUUCAAUUUUUAAAAAUAAAUGAGAGUGGAGAAAAGGAAACUAUUUUUUUUUUUAUAAAAUUCAUUUUGUUCUUUAAAAAAAAAUUAAAAAUAGAGAUAUCCAAAACAGUUUUAAAAAUAUUAUUUCUUUUAUUAAAUCAAAUAAAACCAUUAAAUUUUUUUAUCUCUGCUUUCUAAUUGGUUUUAAAAUUCCUUGCGAUCCUUCCCUUGGUUCCUUAGAGCAAAGAGACAUGACAUAUACUUUGUCAAAGAUUCUCCAUUACGAUAAACAAGACUAAAGAAAAUGCAUUUACACAUGGAUUCUGAUGCAAAUAUCAUACUUUCUCUCUCUAAUCUAGUUGUCGUACUUAGCUACCCCGCGAUAGGUUGAAGCCUUGUCGGAUUAACAGGGAAGAAAAAAGCGUAGAGAAUAAAAUUUAUAUAUAUAUAUAUAUAUAUAUAUAUAUAUAUAUAUAUAUAUAUAUACUUUUAUUUUAUAUUUAUCAUUAUAAAAAAAUUGACAAUUAAAUUAAUGUAUUUAUUUUAUAUAAAAGAAUGACUAAAAUAUAAUUUUGUGUAUUAAUAUAUUUAUUAAUAACUUUUUAUAAUAUAAGACAAAUUAGUAGGGAUAUUAAAUAUAUCAAGUAUAUAAAAUAAAAAUGAAUUUAUAUUUAAAGACAAUUUUAUUUAUUUAUUAAUGGAUGUUUUUUGCUACUAAAUAAAUAUAUAUAUAUAUAUAUAUAUUUUAAUUAUGUGAAUGCCACUAAAUUAAAAACUUGUAUCCAAAACUUGUUGAGGCAAGUUAUGAUGAAGGUAUUUGAAUUUGUUUCGUUUGAUGAGUGUAAACAAAACAGAACAUAUCAUGCUGAGUAGGACUCAUUCCUUCAAUGUCAAACCCUACGGAGAAAAAUAAAAGGCAUGGGAUCCUGUUUUUAUGGUUUCAGAUUUUUCCCAAAACACAAUCAUUGAUGCAUGAGCAGACAAUCCCAAAAACACGUACCAAACACACCAUUUUAGCGAAUCAUAAAUUCUUGAAGCUAAAUUGGUAGAGAGUUUAAUCAGAUUUUUAUUCUGACAAUCAAUACAAAUAUCAUUAAUUGUACAUUUAUUUAUUUAUUUUAUGAUUGUAAAUACAAUCAUGUGAAGAGAUGAUAAGGCUUAAUUACUUAAGAGAAAAUCAUGUGAUGUAAAAUUUAAAUUAAAUAAUACCAUGUUAAUAACUUUUUAAAAUAAAUAAAUAUUUAAAAAUAAAUAAAUAGAUUACUUUUUUUGUUAAAAUUUUCUGAAAUUUUUCACUAUCAUAAAUAAUUUUUUUUAAUUUUAAAUUUCUUAUUUUUCUUUAAUUUUUUAAGUAAAAAAGAUUUAUUUUCUAAAAUUACUUUUAUAUUAAAAAAGAACUGAAAGUUUUUCACAAUCAUAUAUAAUUUUCUAAAAUUUUAAAAUUUCUCUCUUUUUUUUACUUUUAAAAUUACUUUUUUUUUUCAAUUUUUUUUAUAAAAAAAUAAUAAAAAAAAAGAAAUUAAAAAAAAAAUAUUAAAAAAUUAUUAAUGUGCUAUUAUUUAAUUAAAAAAUCCACAUCACUAAAUUGCAACUCAAAUUAAAAAGAAGGAAUAAAUACCAACAAUUUAAAAAAUUGAGAGACUAAAAUUAUAAAUAAAUAAAAAACUAAAAUUACAUACUUGUUAAAAUGGGACCUUUAGUUUUUCAUUUUAAUUUUAUUUUUUUACCAUUUUGUAUAUACAGUGUAACUAACCAUCAAAUAGUUACCCUUAUAAUUCAAAGGCCUUGUACUCGUGUUUCACUUCUCUUUUUUACUUGCUUUGAUUAAAAUAGCAAUUAGUCUAAAAUUUGACCCUAUCCAUGGUAUUUGAAUUAGAAAUCCCUAGACAAAAAUCUAUGGAUUGCCUUCAAACUCUAUGAUUCAUAAUACCCUGAAUAUAUAAAGGAAGCAAUCGCUAUCAAAGUAUCAAACAGUAUUUUGCGAGAAUCCGUUCGUGUUCUGGCCUUUUGUUUGUUUUCUUUUGGAAAAAGAAUACUAAAGCUCAUAAUUUUGAAGCCAAAUAAAACCACAUGUCUCUCCUUUUAUGCAUCAUUUGUUGUCCACAUAAGGACAUGCCUACAAUCCCCAAAUAUUCCGUACACAAAUUAUAUUCCUUUAACCAAAAACAACAAAGUUGGUUCAAGAGAUAAAGAAUUCAGACAUUUUAAAUAAGUAAUUAGAGAUUUGAUAUGCAACAUUUGUUUACAACAAAACUAUCAUAUAAUAUAAAGUUAGACAUAACAAACAUAUAAUUGAUCCAAAUGAUAAAAGAUUUAGACAGAUCCAAUUUAAGACACUUGUGUACAAAUAAAAAAACCAUUAACUUACAUUAUGUUGAACAAAUUUUCCAAUAAUAAUUAAUCCCUCAUAAACAAGAUGGAUACUCCGUACUUAUAAGAUAAAAAAAAAAAAAAAAAAUACACUUAACACCCUUACUCCUUGUUUCCUCGUUUUCCUUAUUUUGAAAUUUUGUAUUUUUUAUUCUAUUUUGUGUUGUGUGGUAGAUUAAGAAUUGUACAAUUCAAGUGGGUUACAAAAAAGGACCCCUUUUCCUACCUCAUCUUCCAAACACUUUUUUGGACUACAAAUUCACCCCUCACCCCCUUCACUUCUUCCACACACCAUUCUCACCACUUCUCUCUCUCUUCAUACCUAAAAACACUUGCUUCCAAUCUAAAACACUACAACCUCUUUCUUAAAAAACACAAACAACCUUAUUAACACUUUCACCUUUCACAUGGCUGCAAUUGUGUACCACUCUGGAUUGCAAACACAUCUUGAAUCUCCUCAACUUGUUGAAUCAAGAACACUAAGACUCAAGUUACCUUCUCCUCAAUCCAUUGAUUUACCCUUCAAAUCAUGUUUUCGUGAUUCAAACCUCAAAACCAAUCAUCAUGAAGAAAACAUCAGCAAAACAGAAACUUUUCAAAAACCCAACACCAAUACUUGGAAUUUUCUUGAUUCUCUUUCCAAUAAUAUCUCACAAAACACAUCAAAAAAAGAAACAACCUAUGUUCACCCUCAACAGAAACGUUCCUCUUUGGUUCUUAGUCCAAAGAGCCUUGAAUUGUGCACAGAGAAUCUUGGCAACGAGAGUGGUACUGACAUUAUAGAAAACAGCAUUGAAAACAUGUUAUUGUUCUCUUCUUUCGAACAAAGACAACCUUGUCGUCAAGUUUUAGUAGCUAAGAAAGCGAAAACAAUGAAUUUUCCACCACCUUUAACAACGAUAAGAGGUUCAGAAUCUCUUCGUGUUAAACCACACCGUGAAGAUGGAAGGUUAGUGAUUGAAGUUACCAAAGUGCCACCAAGUACCUCAUGUUUUCAAGCUGAUAGAAGCCAUGGCCGUCUUCGCCUGUGUUUUUCGACAAAUUUUGAUCAAGAAGAAGAAGAAGAAGAUGAAGAUGAAAAUAAUGAUGAUGUCGCCGAUGAAAAUGAACAACCACUUAAUGAAGAGUUUCUCGAAGAGUUUUGUGAAAAUGAAAUUAUUGAAGGAAAAAUACAAGAAUCUGAAAAAAGAGAUAAAGAAACAGAGGAUAAAACAGAGGAUGAAACAGAGGAACAAGAAAUAGAAAGUGUUGUGAUUGCAUGUGGGUGUGAGUGUGAAGAAAAGAAAGGUAAUGACGUAAGAAUGGAAAAGUAUGAGAGGCUAAGAAGAUGCAAAGAAAGUGAUGAAAAUGAAAACAAUGAAUUGUUAAAUUGGUGUGAGACACUUUGGGUGGCUACUACUUGAAAAUGAAUUUUUCUUAAAACUAUAGUUAAGAUUAAGAUAUUUUCGCAUCAAUAUCAAUCUCUGUAUUAUUAAUAAAAAAUAAUAAUAAUUUAAGUUUGUACUUUUUAUCGAUUUCUCUUUUGGUGCAUUGUUGUUGUUUUGUUUAAUGAAUUAUACGUGUGUUUUCUCUCAUAAACUAUGGUCCUGGUCGGUAGUUAUUAUGGUUAGUAUUCUGUUUCUAAGAGGGGACACGCGCUGUGAUGAUGCUGAUGCAGCAGCACAGUGAAGAUUCAUUAUGAUAGUGAGUUUUUGAGUAGCAAACAAAACGCACGUUUUGAAUACCUUUGGUUAAUAGAAGUUUGUUUUCUAUCCAUAUAUAUUUUGGGUUCAUUUGGUUCUAAGCAAUUUGACAAAAUUAUGGAUAAGGCCAUAAGGGUAGUGAAAAUGAUAGUUAUUGGUGCUAAGGGGGAAAUAUACAUUAUUUCUAUAUGAUUAUCUUAAAUACACAUAUUCAUCAACUCAUUUUUUUUUUCUAUUACGUUAUCAACAUAUUAUAUCUAUUAUGUUACUAUCUCUUUUAUAGUAUCAAAUGAGUAUUUGAGUUUUCAAACAAACAAAAAAAUCCAAAUAUAUAUACAAUGGAAAACCGAAGUCCCACGACAAUAAAAUAGAAACAAUUUAUUACCAAAUGUUAAAAUUGAUUAUAAUGAAAUAUUUUGGAAUAAGUACACCUUGUAUAAUGAGACAAAGGAAUAGAUAUCAAAACUAUAUAUAUUUAUUAAAGUUUUUUCUUGGAGCAUAUACAUGUUAGAAACAUUUUAUUUCUCUUACACUCUUAUCUUAAAGUGUUAUGAAGUAUGCCGUCACAUAUUAGCUUUGAAAAUUGUCUGUAUUGAGUCGUGAGGUGUUUGAAUAAAAUCUAUAUAUAUAUUGUCAAAUAUUUCACAUAGCAUCAUACUUUGGUUGUCAUUGAACAAUGAUCAUGCUUUUUUUAAUCUAUUUUUGAAGUUUUGUUUUCCUAUAUUCUUGUGUGGUGAUUGUGUGCUUUGGUUUUUCUAUACUUUUUAUUUCAACAUCUAGUAUUAGAACUUUGAUUUGGUGGAACAUUAAAUUCUUAGUAUAUUUUUUGGUUGCAAUAUUCUCCAAUCUUUUACAUGAGACAAUAAUUUUGAUAUUGUGAAAAUGUAGCUUUAGAAAGGCUGUGGCUAGGAAAGGAUAAGUUGUUGCUAAUCCAUCCAAAAUAACACACAUAAAUUGAUUUGAUUGAUAGUUAUACAAGGUGUGGUGUGACCUUAUGUUGUAGGUUAAAUUUUUUCAAAGAAAUCAACAUAGAAAUUGCACCAUAAUUUUUCAUUCUGAUUUUAUACAUGUAGAAAGUCUUGGAAGGAUUUAACUUCAAGUGAAAUAUAUUUUUUUAUGAUAAAAUAUAAUAACUCUAUUUUAUGGUGCAUGAGGGGAGCUUAGGAGAUGGCCACACUGAGUUUUGAGAAACUACACAGGUGAAUUAGAAAUCAUAUUUUUAUUCAAAAAAUCAAGACAUUAAAUAUAUAAAUCAUAUCACUUAUACGACUUUUAAGCGGCAGUCUACAUAGACCACAUUCAUAAGUGCAUAGUUCAUAAGUAAUCAUCCGUAAAAUUCUUCUCCAUAGCACCACAUAAAGUUUGUUAAGAUGGAUUAGCAAAUUAGAGUUUAAUAAUUUACUUGAUUAAAAUUUCGAAUUGGAUUAAAAAGAGAAAGAAAAAAAAUAAAUUUAUUUAAAAAAAUCAUGUAUUUAAAAAGUAUAUUUUCAAAUAAAUACGCUUUCUUAUAAAUGAUUUUUUAUGAUAAUUUUAUAAUUUAAAAAAAAUCACUUUUACAUAUUAAAAAUCCUAUUUAUGAUAGCAAACAAAUUAAAGUUAAAAAUAAUUUUUUGAAAAAAUCUGUACAUCUUAUAAAAUAAAGAUUAUUUUUAUUUGAGGUGACAGAAACCCACCACUAUUCCAUCCAUUCCCAAUGAAAAAGUUAUCUCCUCACAAUAUACCCGAAUCGCACAUCCACUAUAGCAAUAUAUAUAUAUUUACCGUACUAACGGCCACUUGAAAGUUUCAACCACACCUUUUUCUUCCCUACAAAAGGACACUGUGUCUUUUCUGAUCAACUCAAGUAGAUCUUAUCCUUUUUCAUAUUUAUUUAUCAAAGUAAACUAACAAGUAACAACAGUAGUAAUAGUACUCUAACGGGGAUUCUACACUACGACAAAUUAACCACACAACAACACAAAGGAUUCGUAUAUCUGAGACGUACCAAUUCAAUGGACCCACCAAAUAUGUAACUCUGAAACACAAUCUAAAACUCUAAACUACUCCUCCUCUCUAUAUUUUUAGUGGGUGUUGAAAGUUGCAAAGUUGUGAUCAUUAGUUGAGUUUUUCUUCUUCUUUUAAUUAUUGGUUUUAUAUUUUAAGAUUUGUCUCCUCUACGUCCAUUACUUUCAUUUCCUAAUUACAUACUCUUUCCUCCACAAUAUAUGAUAUUUCUUAAUACCUUUUUAUUUUUCAAUCAUCAGAAAAAGUUAUCAAAUUGUCACCAUAUAUUAUUCAUAGAAAAUUAUUAAAAUUUAAAUAAAGUUUACAUAUUUUAGUCCCUUAAUCAUCUGGUUGAAAAUACAAUCUUUGAUUAUAAAAAAAAAAAUACAUAUUGAAAAAUAUCAAUCCCUUAAAUGAAUCAUAAUUACUUCAACAACAACAACAAAAAUCUCUAUAGUUACACAAAGAGGAAGCAAUUGGUUUAUAAAAAAGAAAAAGAAAUUAAAACAUGUCCAUAGAUAUAUUUUCUUGGCAAAAGAUACAUUUAACUCAUUUUAUACUUUUAAACUUCUACGAUCAUAAAAUUUUAACAUUUUUAUAGAAUUUGGAAAUUUUAAAUAUUUACGGCAUGAAAAUUUUAAAAUUUCAUUUAUAUAAUAUUUUGUUUAUGUUAAUCAAAUUAUUCCAUGAAAUAUAUAUUUCAUAAUUUGACGUUUUGUUGUUUAAAAUUUGAUCAUAAUUUUUAAUAUUUAUAUUCUAUAUCAAAUGAAAAUUAUUUGGACUCUCCAUUUUAUUUAAAAUUUAUCAACUAGCUUAUAACCUGAGAUAGAAUUAAAAUAUUAUUUAUAUAGUAUUUCUUUAUUUAUUAAGUUACUUAAUUUUUUUUAUAGAAGUAUUGAGUUAUUUACUAAUUUUGGUUUCAAUGGCCUUUUAAUAUUUUUUUUUAUUGUGUUCUAAAUAUAUAAAUUAUAUUUUCUUGCAUUGUCUUAUUUUAAUUCAUUUAUCAAUAUUUAUAAUUUAAAUUUAUUAAAAAUGAUUAACUAUUUAGUUUAAAACUAUAUAUUGAAUAUAUCACAACUUCAAUAACCAACCAUAUUUUUAAUAAAUUUGUCAAAAAUUAAUAUAUUUUUUUUUUAAUAAUAAUAAUGAAAUAUCUUUCAAGCAUCGAGGAAGAAAAUAACAAAGUAAUAUAUUACAAAUUCAGUCAAAAUAUAAAAAUCUUAUAUAUACUUUAACUAGUAUAUUUUUGUGGAAAUUUGUAUUUUUCUUACUUUAUUAUUAUUAUUAUUAUUAUUAUUAUUAUUAUUAUUAUUAUUAUUAUUAUCAUACGUUAUGUUAAUUCACACACAUAUAUAUAUUAUUAAAAUAAACUCCUAACUUUUUGCAUGUCAUAAAUAUUCUUAGACGUCACACUAGAAUCUCUUGCUCUAUCUCUCUAUUUCUCAUGCCUUUUAAUUUAUGCCAUCAAUUACAUUUAUGGGCAAUUUUUUAUGUUCUCAGUUUUCCUUUCACAUUCAUACCUAAUCAUUCAUAAGUAUUACCGUCAAUGCUCUUUGUCCAACCAUUUGUAUUAUCUCAGUAUUGUAACUUUUAUAAACUAGUCGAGUGACAAAUUAGAUUAUACUUACAAUUUGGUUUGUGAUUUUAAACUUGUGAUCGUCAUUAUGCUGCAAAUAUUUAUAUUUCAAAUGUGGUUUAAAUUGCAGCUACAAUGUCAUUGGAGCCGCAAUCAGGACCAUGAACCACAAUUUAAAAUCAUGACAUAAAAAAAGACUCAAUAAUAUGAUGAGUCCCCUCUUCCUCAAAUCAAAUUGUAGUGAAGAAUUGAAGAUAACCACAUGACCUAGAGGACUAGAGUCGAAGGGAGAAUAUUAUUUUAAUUUUUAAGGUAGACUUUCGACUUUACAAUAAUUUUUUCAUAAACAAAUGAUUGCAUUAAUCAUUUAGUGAUAGACAACUAUUUCAUUACUUUCAAUACAUUUUGGAUUGCGAUAUAAUUUCAUACACAAUUACUUUUGAAAUUGGGAAUUAGGUCUCAUAAUAGAUGUUAAAUCAAUCAAUAUUUCUUCGCGUCAGUCAAUCACAUGCAUCAUAUAUCGUAUUUGGGUGUUGUUGUUAUAAGCUUUUUCUUUCUUCUAAGUUUUUUUUUCUUCUUCUUUUUAUGAAUGUGUCAUAAGCUACCUUCAAUCACAUAUUCCAACUUUAAUGUGUAACAAUUUCUACAAAUAUUAAUGUUAUAUCUAAAUUUGUCGUCACCAUUAUUUUUAUUAUACCAAUAAAACUUAAAUUAAUCAAAACUAUUGAUUGUCAACGACUUGGUCAUUUCACUUAUGUCCAUUCAAUACAUGAUCAAGCGUAUGAGUGAAAUACCUUUUUUAUAUGAAGUUGUAUGUUAUAUAUAAGUUUUUCUCAUGAGUUAUUUGUACUACAACUAGCUUUGUUAGGUUGUUCAAACUUUAGUUACAUAUUUUUUAUUAGAAAACUAUUACUAUUUCUCAAUACAUUUAAAUCCAAUAUAAGUGACUAAACUAAAUUAAUUCAAAUCUAACGAAGAUCUAUAUACCUUUAAGUAUAUGGAUUCAUAUAUACUUCUAUAUCUCAAAAUUUCAAGAUCUACUAUAGGGGUAAGGUAAGCUAUAGAUACUUUACUCAUAAUAACAUCAUUUAUGAAACCAAACAAGUCAUAACAUUUCAUACUCAUAUAAUUUUACAAAUAAUUUUUUAAAUCUCAAUAUUUUUAAUAUAAAUAUCAAAUGAAUAUUGUAAAUAAAUAAAUUAAUAAUUAUAAUAUUAUUAAUAUAAUCAUUUUAUAAAAUAAAAGUAUAUAUUCUAUUUGAUAAAAAAUACACAAAUUUAUUAAAAAUUAUCAAAAAAUAUGAACAUAUUAAAAUUAUUAUAAAAAAAAUUAAUGAAUAAAAUUUUACGAUACAUAAAUUAUGAAAAAUAUACUAACACUCAAUUUUCGUCAAUUAAAUUAUUUAUUUGUAAUUGAAUGCUCACCCAAUAUGACUUUUUGUUUUAAAAAUUCCUUACUAUAAUAAAAUUUUGAAUUUUAAAAAGUAAAGGAAAAAUAAUGUUUUGCAUAAAAUUAAAUUAGUUUGAAAUAAUUUUUUUUGGGUCCAUAUCAACAUAACUUAUACAAUUCAUAAAAAUUUUAUAAUCAAAUCUAUAAUAUUGCACAAACAAUUAAUUAAAACUUUGUAAAAUACAUCUUGUGGUCCUUUAAAUUGAAUUUAGGUAACAAUUCAGUGUUUUACUUUCAUUUUUUGUUUCUUUUGAUUUUAUUAUUUAUUUAAUUCUAAGUAAUGAUUUGAUCAUUUAUGUCUUAAAAUGUCAAAUUUUAAGAUUUGUAGAUGAAAAUAAGUUUAUUUGAAUAUUUGAGUUAUGAAUUUGAUGAAAAUAUGGUUUUUGUUGAAGACAAUGACUAAUUUUCUGAGUUUUGUUUGAAUAUGAUGAUUAAUUUUGUGAAUUUAUGCAGCAAAUGAUAACAUUGUUUAUAUUUUAAGACAUAAAUGAUAAAAUCGUUACUAAAAUUAAAUAGCAUCAAAUCGGGAAAAGAAAGACAAUGACCAAAUUUUUACCUGAAAUUAAGUUAAGGAAACGUGAGAGGUAUUUUGUCAAAAUUUCAAAUACCUAAAACUAUAUUUAAAAUAUAUGUAAAUCUUUAAUAAAAUAAAAUUCAAACUCUUGAUGAAAUAUAUCCAAUAAACAAUUUCUUUUACAAAUAAUUCUCAUGCUCGCAAUUAAAAUAUCUUGCUAAUAAAACAUAUAAAUUUAAAUUGCACUACAAUAUAAUUUAACAUUAGCAUUUUUAAAAAUAAUAAAUAUUAAAUAUUAAACUAUAUUUUUAAGUUUUUACAUCAUAUUUUUUUGUUUGUAUUUUACUUUUUAUUUCAUUUAAUAAAUACAAAUAACUUUAUGUGAUGAAAAACAAUUUGACAAUCAAAAUAUAAAGAGAAAAAUUGACAACCAUGCAGUAUUACAAACUAUCGUGCAAAUAUGACAAAAAGUUAAGAAAAUAAAAUAAAAUAAUUGAUAUACAUGAUUUCAUCUCAUUUUAAUUUCCCCUAAUGAUAUUCAAUUAUUUCAAAUUAAUUGAUUAAUAUUAUAACAUAACUAUAUUUAUAAUAUAUUUAUAAUAUAUAAAAUAUUACUUAUAAAACUUAUAAAAUUAUUUAAGUAAUAUUAGUGCAACGAGCACGUCUUAAUCUUGUUAAGAUUAAUUGUGUCACACUAUAAAUUUAAGAGUGUAAUUACUAUCAUCUUACAAUUUAAAAGUUUACAACGUUAGUACAUCACAAUCAUUCAUAGUUAUGACUUUUGAUAUAAUUAUAAUAAAAGUCAAAGAUUUCUAAUGACUCGAUAACUGAAAUUAAUUAAUAGUAUAAAAACUUUUACACCGUUAAUACAUACAAAUUAAAUUAUAAAUUUAAUAGUAAUAACUUAUCGUGAAAUAAAAAAGAGUAAUGGAUUGUUCUAUUAAUUAUAAUUCUACGUGUACUAGUGCAAAACAAAUGCUACAUAGACUUGUUAUCUCACCAUAUUUUAAAAUACAUCGUCCUUUUUCGAUAAGAAUUGAAAAAAACGUAACAUUGCAAAUGUUUUAAGAAAUAAUCUAAAUAAAAAUUUAACUUGUCUAAAAUUGUCUCUUAACGUAUAUUUAACAUUAAAAAUUGGACUUUAUAAUUUAAAAAAAACACAAUUAAAAAUUCAACUGAAAUAGUUGUAGAAUAACCAUUAUUAUCACGGUUGUUUGUAAUAGUUAAUUUUCUGUUUCCCAACUUUUUUAAUAAAAAACUUGUUUAAAUUUGAUUAUAUAUAGCUAAUAAGUGAUGUGGUGAUGACAGUGCAAGAAGGUGGGUUGCACGCUAAGUAGCUCCAUGUUGUGCACCGACUUGCUGAUGUAAUGCUCCUACCUUCAUGUGCUCUACUUAUAUUUGGCAGACAUGACCACCAUGCCAAAUUGUCAAUCACAGUUGUUAUUAGUAACAUGUUUCACAAAGGGUCUGCUCUAUUGGAUCUCUGUGGAUCAUUAAAGUAUGUUUUUAUUGGUUAUAACUUUUCUAAAGUGAGUCCAAUUGUUUCAUCAACAAAUUUUAAGGAGAGUUAGGUUUAGAGAACUCAUUAGAGUCAAACAAAGUACAGUUAUACUAAAUUCUUAUCAACUAUUAUGAACAAAGUAUUGAUUAGUAUUUUAUGUGUAACAAUAACAAGUGAAUGGUUUCAAAUAAGAUUUAUAGCAAUUUUAAUAUUGGAAAGCUUCUUUUAGUUGAUGCAAUAGUUAUAGAUAAUUUGUUAUAAAUAAAGAGAUAUAAUAAUAAUAAUAAUAAUAAUAAUAAUAAUAAUAAUAAUAAUAAUAAUAAUAAUAAUAAUAAUAAUAAUAUAGUAAUAUAUAACUAAAUAUUUAAAAAUAAUAAUAGAUCAUUGAGAAACACGAAAUUAAAAGAAACAUAUUCAAAAUAUUACUCUUAGAAAUUAAUAGUAAUCACCGUGUUAAUAAAAAUUAUAAAAGAAUUAAUAAAAUAAUCACAAUAUUUUUUAGAUUUUAAAUUGACAAUAAAUAUUUACAAAAUAUAAAAAUAAAACUAUUUUAUUGACAAAGAUAUAAACAACUUAGGCCUUACAAAAUUGGAGCAUGAGGCAACUAACUGCAUCGAUUGUGAACGGCCCCACAAUUGGGUAACAAGUUGUAUCAAUUCCGUUAGGCUUCAAAAGUUUAUUUGAGCUUUGAUAAAUAAAUAAAAAAAAACAUUUAUAUUUUUUGUACAAAAGCUAUAAAAUUAUUUAAAAAAUCACCAAUUUUUUUGGAGCCACAUCGGCGUCUAUUGCAAUUGGUGUACAAUGUGUUUGAGUGUUAUAAAACUCAGAGUAGUGACUUUAAUUCUUACUAAUAAAAAAAUUAUAAAAUGAAGUCAUAUUUCAACCCUAUUAUUUUGUGGAGCGCGUUUGGUUUGAUAUGGGUAAUGGAUUUACCAAUGAUUUUUGUCUAUAAAAAUUUAUAUCUUUAAUUAUAUCUAUAAUUGAUAUAUAAAGUUGUCCUAUAUUGCACUUCACUAUAGACUACAAAGCUUAACAGGUCACAAUUACUUUCAAUUUAUAAGAAAGUCCUAAACAAUGAUAUAAUGUAUAACUUUAAAAUUGCUGAUGCCAUUGACUAAAACUAAACACAAAAAGAAAGAUAAUUUGUGGGCUUCAGAAUCCGUUAGCAUAUGAUUAAAAUUGUUUCCUAAAAAAGAAAUCAAGUUUAUAUAUGCAAUCCACGAAGUCAUUAAAUUUGAUCUAAUCCAAAGAACCAAAUAGGAACCACUAUUAUCGUGCCAUGUGUAAAAGGAAGGUUUGUAAGUGCGAGAGUUUGGAGGCCAAUUGGAUGCACAUUGCAAUGGAGUUUUUGGCCUCUUUGCAAAAGAAACAGCUAGUUUUCUUGUUUGUUAAGCAUCUAGUCCUUUAGCUUUCAUUUCUGUGCAAAAGAAAUAGUUACUUUCUUCUUGCACCAAGUUUUUAGAAAGCCAAUUAUGAAAUAACACCACCAAAAAAGACAACUAAUUUUAAAUUAUAAAACAAUAAUAAUCACUUAUAGUCAAAAAAAUUUCCACCAAUUGUAUGCUUGAGCAUUGUUAGAUAAUAUUUCAUUGUUAACAAGCAUAACCAAAUAAAGAGGUGUCAUCAUUAUAAAUCUUAAAAAUAUCAUUUUUAAUAUAAAUUAAAAAUAAAAUUCUAAGUUUAAUUUAUAUGUAUUUUCAAUUUAAAACGACAAAUUAUAACUAAUUAUAUAAAUAAUUUUAUAAGUAAUUAUAACAAAAAUUAAAUAUUAUUAAUGAUCUAACAACUAUGAUUUAUUGAUAGUAUAAAUUUUUUUUAAAGCAUAUAAAUUAAAUUAUAUAAUUUAGUGAUUUAUUAAUUUAUAUAAUAAAAUAAGAAUUUAGCAACUUACAAUUGUUUGGUAAAAAAAAACUUACAAAUGUUAAAUAUUUUACAUAAUCUCUCAAAAUUUUCAAUGUUUUGUAGAAUGAUGAAACACUUGACAUUUUUUGUAGCCCACUAAGAAUCUUUAACAUUAAUUAGUACAUAAAUUUGCAAUAUAAAAAAAUUUCAAGUUAAAACUAUGAUAAUUAUGUAGUGUACAUAGCGAGUAUAGUACUCUAAAAAUUAUACUUCAUAAUUUUCUAUUGAACACCUUGUUAAUUAUUUAACUUUCAUAUAAAUUUUAAUUCUAAUAUUUCCAUAUAAUGUUAUAUAAGCAACAAACUUAUAUAUAUACACACAUUUUUUUUAUAAAUAUUAUAUAAUUUUAAUUAUAUAAAUAUUAACCCAUACCACCAAUUAUAUUUUUUUUUUGUAUUUCUAGAAAAUCACCUUAUGCAGUCGUACAUCUCAACAACACUCAGUGCUAUCACUGAUUUGUGUUUGGAUAAUGGAUUAAGAGUCUUCCAACUUAAUAUGUGGUCUAAAAUAAAAAUCUAGGUCUAAAAUUUCAAUUAAUAAAGGAGAUGCCAAGUUCACGUAAUAUAAACGAUUACUCUUUACCGUUACAUUCAGAUAUAAUAUAUGCCAAAAAAUUGUAAAAAUGUAUACAUUGCAUAAUAUUGAAGGUAUUAUCAAAUUUUUUCUUUCUUCGUUUUGUUUUUUCAUUUGUUCAGAUUGUAUGGAGGAGCUAAUUUCCACAAUUUUCAAUUAUGCAACUUUUGAAUGAAAAUUAAAAAAGCACUUCCAUUUUAAAUUUUUUAAUGAACCAAAAAAGUUUUAUAAUUGAGCUAAACAAAAUUAGAUUAGUAUGAAUGAGUCAACAAAAAAAAAAGCUUAUGGUUUAAUUUCUUGAGAAGGAAAGGAAAGAUUGAACUUUAGAAAGAGAUUUUUCCCAUUGUUUGCCAUGGCGUCACCCAACAAAAGGAACAACAUUUGUCACAUGAGCAUUCCAUCAUGCACCCUCCUUAGUUUAGACACCUAUGACUCUACCACCACAUACGUCCACUCAACCAUGAACAUAUUAACACACAACACCCACUCAAAGGGGGCAUAAAUGAAGGAGGUAACUAAUAAACUAAUUCAGUUGUUAAUUGACUAUUUAUAACAUCAUCAUGUUAUUCAUGAACUUAAACACAAAGGAAAGCAAAAACCCAUAUAUGACCUUAAUUAUUAUUGGAGAACGCUCUAUGACAAUGAAUUUUGUGAAUUUAAAGUUUCUUAUAAUUCGAAUUAAGUUCUCUCAAAUAAUUUAAUUUUAACUAAAAUUUAUUAAUCAAUUAAGUUCAAAGAUCACUUAACUUAAAAAUACAUAACUAUGACACAAAUAACUUAAAUUUAUUAUUAUUAUUAUUAAAAUCAUAAUUAUUUACAAGUAACUAAAAUAUGUGUUUGUUCAAAAGGGAGUUGGUCAGUUGGAUUGCCUGAAAUAAAUUUAAUGGAGCAACAAAAUGGAUAAGCUUGCAGCUGAUGCAUUAGUGUGAUCAUGCACUAAAAAAACUACUCCAUUCUCUUUGAUAAAGAGACACUCACGCGUUGUUUUGUAUAUUAAUAUACACAUGGCCAGCCAUCGAAUGAAGUUUCAUAUACAUGACAUUUAUGAGGAAUUCUCCCAGUAAAAUUAGUAUUUGAAAAUCAGAAAGCCAUCCGAUGAUUUGGGAGAGAUCGAGGGACAAAGAUCGAGUGAUUUCAACAAAUAAAAUUAAUAUUCACUAUUUUAUUUAUUUUAAAUAUAGUAGUAUUUGAAAAUCCGAUUAAGUUUAUCUAUAGUGAACAACUAUAGAUUAUAAAUCGAGUAAUAUCAACCGUUGAUAAACAAAUUAGUGACCGAAAUAAUAUGCACAUGAAUCACCAAUUAUAUGUAGUUAUAAUCUUAACGUUUGAUUUAUUUAUUUUAAUAACCACUUUUGAUGAAUCAAAUCCUUAUAUUGGAGAACUCACUUUAAAUUUUAUCAUCGCUAUUUUACUAACGACAUCCAUAUUUUGUCCUACCUUUCUCUAUAUCUCCACAUUUGCUCUCGCUUUCAUGAUUCUCUCACGAUUCUAAAUAUUAUUUUCUCUUAUUUUAUCACAAGUUACUUUACUUUUAAAAGUACAAAGGUCUAAAUCCCUAUUUUGCUAUUACUAGAGUGUAGACCUUGCAUCCAAUACAAAUCCUUCAUUUUGAUUUGGAAUAUUUGAUAUAGAAUUUCACUUGUAAAUAUACGCACUUCUUCUAAGACCGAAAAAAUUGAUAUAUACUUAAUCUUAAAUUUUAUAAAACUAGAUACCUUAGUUAAUCAGAAUUACAUACAUCAAUUUAUUAGUUGAUUUUUUUUUGUUUAUAUUUCACUCUAAACAUAGUAUUGAGGAAAAUCAAAUAUAGCAAAUUGAAUAAUUUUUUUUUCUUCCAUAAACUAAGACGAACUAGGCUUAAACAUCUAAUAUUCAGAACCAUGAUGACAACGACACACCACUUUUCAAAAUAUGGUGGCAUAAUAGGAAUCAAUCAAAUUAAGUAAUCGUCAUUUUAUCUAAUUGUUGUAUUUGUAGCAUUGCAGGUAGAGCUGUCAAUUUGACAAGCCCCUUAAUUAUUGACUUCAACCAACAUAUUAUAGGGGCAAAAAAAUUUAUAAUUUAAAAGGCCCCAAAAAGAAAACCCCUAAAAUUUUGUGGGCUUAGUGCCACGUUUUCAAAAAAAAAAAAUCGAUUUGUUUUUUUAAAAUAAUUUUGACAAUUUUUUUUAAUUUUUUUGAGAAAUAAUUUUUUUCGAUAUUUUUACCAAUAAAAAAAAUUCAAUUUUUUUUAUUCGACAAAAAAAUUGAUUUUUUUUGAGAAUUUUUGAUUUAUUUUUCUCACCAAAUUCUUCGAGAAAAAAAAUAUUUUUAAAUAUUUUUCGAAAAAAAUAAAUUUCGAAAAUUUAUCAAGAAAAAAUAUCAAAAUAUUGGGGCCUAUAAGCUCUCUGCCCCUUCUAUUAAGCCCCAUGAAAUAAUGCGCCGAGAUUUUGAAAAAAUUAUUUUGAUAGGGGGCCUAAUAUAAAGGGUUUAAUAAAAAAAAAUAAAUCAAAGAGGCCUAGCAGUUAGGGGCUUUUUUGACAGCUCUACUCACAUAUAUUCCACCUCUCUACCAAAUAUCAGUAACCCUUUAUAAAACUUAUUUAUUCUACUCACAUCUAUUUCACCUCUCUACCAAAUAUCAAUAACCCUUUCUAUUUUCCAAAUGCUCUUCUUCUUCAUGGCAUUCGUCACUGCCACCGCAAUCUCUUGCCACUUUUCUCCCUUCAAGUCCAAAAUCCUCAUUCUUCAAUGGAAGAACAAUUGCUACCCACNNNNNNNNNNNNNNNNNNNNNNNNNNNNNNNNNNNNNNNNNNNNNNNNNNNNNNNNNNNNNNNNNNNNNNNNNNNNNNNNNUAUUCCACCUCUCUACCAAAUAUCAGUAACCCUUUCUAUUUUCCAAAUACUCUCCUUCUUCAUGGCAUUCGUCACUGCCACUGCAACAUCUCUUGCCACUUUUCUCCUUUCAAGUCCAAAAUCCUCAUUCUUCAAUGGAAGAACAAUUGCUACCCACACCUCCCACAUCAUCAAAUCCACCUCCCAUAACAAUUCUUCAAUCUCCAUGUCCCUCAACACACACGAUCUUCAUUUCUUCAAAUUCGAACCCAUCGAAGAAUCCACCGCCUCUCAUGAAAUGUCACGCCGUUACAUAACAUACAUGGUUACCUACACCGACGUUGUCAUCCUUGGUGCUAGUUCAUUCGGUCUCUCAUGCGCUUAAGAAUUAAGCAAAAACUCUAAUAUUAGUAUAGCCAUAAUCGAAUAAUUCGUCAAUCCCGGUGGCAGUGCUUGGCUCGGCGGCCAACUCUUCUCUGCCAUGGUUGUCCGCAAACCAACUCACCUCUUCCUCGACGAAAUUGAAGUUGAUUACGACGAACGAGAAGAAUAACGUUGUAAUCAAACACGCUGCUUUGUUCACUUUAAUGAUCUUGAGCAAGCUUCUCGUUAGAUCUAACGUGAAAUUGUUCAAUGUUGUUGCUGCUGAGGAUCCGAAUGUGAAAGAAGGAAGAGUUGGUGGUGUUGUUACAAAUUGGGCUUUGGUUUCAAUGAAUCAUGAUAUAUAGUCUUGUAUGAACCCUCAUGUUAUGGAAGCCAAGGUUGUUGUGAGUUCUUGUGGACAUGAUGGUCCUUUUGGUGCUAGUGGCUUAAAAAUGCUUGAGUGUGUUUGUAUGAUUGACUUUGUUCUUGGAAUAAAUUCACUUGACAUGAAUACCAGUGAAGAUGCUAUUGUUCGUCUUACUAAGGAGAUUGUUCCUGGUAUGGAAGUUGUUGAAAUGUAUGGAACUCCAAGAGUGGUAAGCUUCUUUGUUUUCGGUUCAAGGUUAAUUACUGUGUUUGGUUCCUAUAUGAUAAUAAUUGAUACUAGUUGAUUUUGACUUAAGUAAUUUUUAUGAAAUAGAUGUUAAAUACUUUGAAAGUAAAGUUAUUUAUAUUAGGUAUGUUUAAAAUAAAGAAUAAUAAUUUUUAUCUAUUUCAAAACAAUAAUUGUUUUUGUGGGUAUGUAUAUCAAUAAAUUUGAAAAAUAUUCUAGGUAUCAUAGAAGCUAAAUAUAUUUGCUUUUAAAAAAUUUAUUUUGUGAUUUAAAUCAAUUCUAAAGUUGGAAGUCAAACAUAAUAACCAUUUAUGGUUAAAUUAAAUUAUGUUUGAUUUAACCAAAUAUGAUUCUAGGAGUUAAUGUGUGUGUAAAUAAUGUAGGCUUGGACAAUUUUGUGUGUAAUGAUAUAUUGAGUUAAUGUUGUGCAGGAACUAGAAUUUUUGUUUAUAAUCUACCAAAUAAAAUAAUAUUUUGUUUAUAGGCUUGUUUGUACAAUUUUGAUUUAGGAAGUGAUUAAAGUAAUGUCGAAAUUAAUAUCAGGUUUUUUUUAGAUAUUUUCAACUGCAAGUUGAUUGGUUUUAAUGCAAUUAAUUUGAAGAUGGUAAGAAACAUUUGGUUAAGAUGUGAUAACGAUUUUGUUGGUGAUUUUUGUAGAGUCCAACAUUUGGAGCUAUGAUGAUAUCAAGACAGAAGGCAGCUCAUUUGGUAUUGAAGGUAUUGGGGAAGAACAAUGCAAUUAAUGAAACAUCAGUUAAAUCGAUUUAGUUUUUAGUUUAUUUUUCAUUUGCUUUUCUUCUGCAUGUGAUUUGAACUCAAUAAUGAAUAAAGAAAAUGCGAAUGAAAUGAUCACACAUGUGUGUCACUCAAGAGUAUAUUUUUUUCAUAUAUGUAUUUAGACAAACAAAUUGUCAGAACAUGUAGCAAUUUACCCAAUCCAAGUAAAAUCAAGCCAUAAAUAACCACCAUACAAUUCAAAAUGUAAGCACGUGUUAUGGAAGUAAACUUUGAAUAAAUAUCUUUAUAUAUUUUUGGACUUUACAAUAAUUUUAAUACAAAAACAAGUCAAAAUUAAUAUUUAAAAUAUUUAAUUAACUUUUUCAAGCACCUCUACGAUAAACAUCUCUAUAAAAUUUAGUUACUUAAACUUUAUUUAUCAAAUUUUAAACAUAGUUUCUUUUUUAUUGAGAAUGGAAAGAUUAAGACACAAUAAUUUGAAUAAAGUACCCAUUAUGUGUAGGUAAAAACCCGAUGUAUGUGUAUGGGUAUAGGCAUGGGUAAUUAUCAAUGCACCCUGCCUGCACCCGCAUAAAAUUGAAUCAACUUUUUCAAGAGGUGAAUUCAGCAUCAAGACGGGAAAUUCUCGAUUGGGUUCUUCUUAUGGAAGCUUAUCACACUCUCCUAUGGGAAAAUUUUCAUCUGGGUGUGAAAAUCCAGUUCUUGAAAUUGAAACCAUUAAUAAUACUCAUGGAGUAUUCAAUGGGUGUCUUUCUGCAAGUGAAAUAGAGCUAUCAGAAGAUUAGGGAUUGAUGUUGGGUUGUUCACAUUUUUGUCUUUUUGAUGGUAUAUUAGUGAAUGAAAAAUGACAAUAAUGAAGUUGAGAGUGGGGACAACCGUUCAAAGUAAAAACAAUUUUCAUCCAUUCAAAUUAUAUCCACAUCUCUUUAUAAAACCUAUUUAUUCUACUUACAUUGCAGACGAGGAUGAAAAUUUGAAACUUUAGAGUUUCUAACCCUUUAUUAAGGUUUCAUAUUUGGAUUUGGAUUAUUUACAACGAUAGAAUGGUAUUAUGAUUGUAUGACACAUAAGAUUUAAAGAGAUAAGAAAAUCAUGUUUCACUGGUAGAAGAUCCAAUUUUGUUACUAGUCUAAUCUUUUUUUUUUACAAGUUUUACCUUUGAGAAAAUAAUUUAGCAAAAGUAUUCCUCAACACUUCAUGGUAGAAGAUCCAAUUUUUUUACCUUUGUAAAAUGGACCCAAAAGUAUUUUGAAUUUUUUUUAUGGAACAAGUAUUUUGAAUUUGGGAGGUAGAUAUUUCAUAAUUAUUAUUUUAGAGUUAAAUUUAUUUUAACCCAGUAUAAAUGUUCUCGUAGUUUAGUCUUUGAAGUUUUACCUGCCUUCAAAGAAUUGAAAGCCCAAACAAACCUCAGUUUUUACGUUCUCACACAAAAAGUCAAAAAGUAAUAUCAUUUUUAUGUAAUAAAUGUUGAUUUCUCUCUGCCUAUCUUGGUAUGAUAUUUUGAUGCAUCUUUUUCAUAAUCACAUUGAUCCCCUCAGAUUAGAAUCCAGGUUUUUUCAAGUUGGGAAAUUUUCUGUGCCACCGAAUAGAAAAAGACAUGGCCACCUCACACCUGGUCUCAUCCAGCACAACAAUAUCUUUUUCAUUCACUUUGAUUCUUUCAUAAAAAAUACAUUCCAGCCCCUCAUUCCCGAAGUUUCUGUAGGGGGGUCGUGCUGAAAACUUUGAUUAAACAAAAUAAUGUAAUUAGAAAAUAUUAUUAGGAAAAAUGUGCAUCUUACCCUCAAGGAUUUUAGAGACUCUCAACGAUUUUCAUUGAGCCUAAUUUGGGAAGCACAUACUCAUAAGAUAACCCCAUAAGUAACAUAUGGCAACUCAAAAAGCUCCUUGCUCCUUACCACAUUAGUAAUUCCAUUUAUACUCAGAAAGCCAUAAGCAUAUUAAACUUCACUUCUUUCUACUAAAAUGAUGCUUUUAUACAAAACUCAAUACACUAUGUGCAUAUCACGCUAUAAUACAUGGAAUAAAGAAAAUAUUCAAUAGAAAAAAAAUCAAUAUACUACUAAUUUUACAUUUUCCUGCCGAGCCAAUAUUUCCAAUUCUUCUGUGCCACAUCUAUUUCGAUUUCAUUGCACUGUAGUAAGCAUGGUCAAUGCUGUUACAUACUUGCAACUUCUCCAAAGGACUUUACCCUCACUGGAAAAUGUCAAGAUGAAUAGAACGUCUAUAGCCUGGAAAAGUAAAGAAUUAUUGAUCAAUCUCUGAGAAAAUUGUGAUCCUUUGGUGAUGUUAACUUCCCUCCAAAUCCUGCUUGACGCAUCACCUCUGCAAUAUAAGCUUGACAUUGUCAUGUUUCCAGAAAAUAAUAACAUUCUAAAACUCAAUAACUCCAACAAAAAUAGAGAGAAAUUAAGAAAGGAGCAACAAAUAAUAGGUCAUGGUUCUCAGACAGCUUUGAAUUCAGGUAUAUGGAGAUGACCUAUAAUUCAAGACAAAACAUGAAGUCAUCAAACUUCAAUACUUUAUUUGGCAUAAUGUUUCUGGAUUGAAGUUUGAUGACUUCAAUCAAAGAAACCUGCUUAGAUUUUUUAGGAACAUCCCCUCCUAAAAUUUUGAUUUUGAAAAUAUCAUUUUGUCAUCACCAUUUUUUUAUUAUUACUAUAACCAAGUUUCAUACAAGGAGGCAUUUUGUUAGAAAAAAGAUUUUAAAAAAAUGAUGCCUGUUUAGGGUGUACUACGCCUUUAACAAAGUAAAAAAGAACUAAUAAACAAUAAUAAACAGCUAAAUGCUUGAUGCUCAGAUGGGCAACUUCCUAAGCUAACACUUCAGGACUAAUAUGCUAUAAAUUGAACCUCCGAAUAAUGUUAUGCACAUCUAGGAGUACCACAAACAAAAAAUGAAACGAGUUCCAAACUUCUGGCUAUACUCCCGGCAGAUCAGUUAGUUAUUGACAACAUUGAAUAUUUCAUAUAUUUUGAAUAAUGUUUCCCUUCAAGUUCAAGGUCGGCCAACUAUCCAAAAUUUUCUAAGCAUAUAUACUCUUAACUAGUUCAAUCUGACAUUUUAGUAUUAGGACUAGCCUUUUAGGCUAAAAGAUAGAUCCCCUAUAAUAAGGAAGUCAAACUCUCAAUGUGAAUUUCAUAGGACUUUGUAUUUUGUAAUGCUUGCAAUCUCUUUCAAGUUCUUUCCAGCAUUUCUAAUGCUUCCCCCAUAGUAGCUCAUCCAGGCUCUUCUAAAGGUGAUUUUAGUAUUUCCAUAACUAUUUUAUAAAGCAAGGAGAACUAGCAUAUGUAAAGCCCAAAAGGUUAAAUGGAAAAUGGGACAGUCCCUGCGCCUAGAGGAGAGAAAAAAGGAAACUGCAUUAUUUAGUUGCCAAGAAAACAAAAAACUUGCCUCGCGUCUGCUCAAGCUCUUCGGCAAGUUCUUCUUUCCAUUUCCUUUGUCUAUCAGAGAAGCUUGAGCUGCAGAUGAAAACAACUUCAAUUUCAGUAUGCAGGUAGAUUAAACAAAGGUCCGCCAGCCACUGUGAAGCACCAAAUACAAACCUAACACUAGAUGAUCCCAGCUCAGCAUCAUAAAGAGUCUCCUUUGAUUCAUUAAGCUCGGAUGGCUGAAUUUCCUGCAAAGGUCUACUAUGAGCAGUCACACCACUAAGCUUAGUAACAUAUUUUCUGUGGUUCUCAGGGCUUGUUGCAUUGGCAAUGCUAGCCAUUGAAAAUCUUCGUUUAGCUUGACUAGGAGACCUGCUUUUUAAUAUUAAAUUUGAGACAUCUGAAAUAACUUUACUCUGUGCAACAGCAACAGGAGCAUGAGGAAUGGCUGCAUUAGAUUUGCCUAAGAAUUCUUCAUAAAGAGGUGUUUGGAGCUUCUUCAGUUCAAAGGCCUAAUGUAAAUCAUCAAAGAAAAAAAAACAGUUUAUAAUUCCAACAAUGUAACAUUUAAAGAGAAAUGCAAGAAAACAAAUGGCUAUUGAGUACUACUACAUUGAAAGUCAACAUAUAUGUGAUUUGGUCUCAUACUAAAAUAGAACCUUAUCAUCCAAGAAAGCUCUAAUUUUGGACUCUGUGACUUCAUCGUCGUCUUCAACUGCAAGAGGUUCACUUGAAAAUGAGAACUCAUUAUCGGCAUUAGGAGAUGGUUCGGGACUCAUAGUUUUCUUGAUAGUUUGAUCUGGGGACAAGUUCAGUCUGCUUUUCUUCAAAUUUAGUGUUUCAUCAAACUUGCAAGGCCAGUCAUCCUCCACAGGUUCGCACAUUGGAUUGAAACUCUAUUUCAGUGAUUAUAUCAGCCAUUCAGCCAAGUGUUCAACAAAUACUAAUCAUGAAAUAUCUAAACAGUGGAAAAAUGAGAAAAAAAUUGGCACCUUAAUGUCGUCAACAGCAAGUAGGGAUUUAGAUUUUACUGAUGAAGCAACGAAAAAAUCAUCUUUAUCAUCCAUCUGACACAUGUCAUCAUCAUAGUUGUCUGAUUUUAUAAGAUUUGCAUGAUAUACAGUCGAGAACCUUAAACUAUCCAUCUGACAAACAUCCUUUAGGCCUGUGCAUGUUGAUCCUUGGAUAGAAACCAAACUGCAGAACAGAAGAGAAGUUGAUGCUCCAUCCCCAUGAGAAUCCACAAACAACAAAUGUUAUCCAGUAUACUUACAAGUUUCUAGAGUUCAUCCCAUUUGUUGCCAUCUGAUUGCAAGAGUCCUAGAUAUUGGAAAAAUAAACAGUUAUAAAAAGUAAGAAGUUGUGAAUAUGGUCUGUGUUUACAUUGUAUAAACUCGCACUAGAGAUACUAACCCUGAUCGAACUGCAUGAUAUUGAAUGAGAUUCUGGAUACUCACAGGUAAUGAAUGGAUGCUGCAGAUAAUAGGUACAAUCACUAUAAUGUUUUUGAAGGAAAGCUAAGUUAAAGGAGCAAACAAAUUCAAAUGUCUGUAAUUGUAAUUGAAUAUUACGUAAGUUGGCUGAAGAGGAGGAAGAUGUGCAAAAUACCAGUAACAAGUCUGAUGCAGAAGGUCUUAAAUUUGGUUCCCUGCCACCACAAAUUGAUGGGUAAUGAUUAGAACUUAAAUGUUAAAUUGUUUCACUGGCCUUUUUAAAGCAAAUGCAGUCAGGAUAAAAUAGUGUUGUUAUAAUCAAAUGUGAAUGGUAAAAGCGUUUUAUAUGUACUUGUGAAAGCAUUUCAGCAAAAAGUCCUUUGCCUCAGUAGAGAGAUGUUCAGGUAUGGGUGGGUGAGAUCUAGUUGUCCCAAUGUAGAAAAGAGCUGAAACCUAAAAGAAAAAUAAGCUUCAGCAAAAACAUUUCAAAGAACAAAGUUGCAGAGAGAGAGAGAGAGAGAUAGCAACUUAUGAAAGUACGUAAUAAAAUUAGAUUGCUAAGCAAACUUGAACUUAAAGCGCGUACCUCCUGAGGAUACUGUUGACUCCAUGGAGGCUUUCCUGUGGCCAUCUCUAUCACAGUGCAUGCAACACUCCAUAUAUCAGCAGAGCUAAUAAAUCAUAAGUUAGGUUCCGUCCCAAAAAUCAGUUGUAAUUAUAAUAAAAUCUUGUGACCCAAAACAAAGAACAUGUGUUCAUCUUAUUGGUGAGGUCAGAUCCUAUUGAAACCUGACCACUUGAAACUCAAAAGGGGCAGAAAAAGGUUUGCAGAUGAGUAAAAUAUUAAGAAAGGAUAGAAACAAUAAUAUACAAAUAGAAACUAGUUUUCAGUGAUCUUAGCUUUAGAAGUGGACUGCACUUUCUGGAAUUCGUUAUUGUGAUGGCUUAACUAUCCUGAUUGACCCAUAGAUAGAAAAGUUGCUCUAGAAUUGAAGGGGAAGGGCAAAAGAAAGAAUAACAUAAAAAAUUCACGCAACUAACACUCUUCCCCAACCACCCAAAAGUCUAUAUUACUAUUGUUUGGAACCAAAGUUGGCCGAGGAAAAAAGCAAAUGCUACAGAAAUGACGGUAACUAAUCCCAUUAAUUGUUUCUAGGUUCCUAAUAAUAAAUUGAAUUCCGUAAUUAUGGUGAGAUAGCAAGUACAGACCUCAACAUUCCACAACAGAUAAAUAUUUCCUUUUAUUUCAUAUCAUACAAAAUCCUUAUUGGCUUUUGAAAACAUUAAUUGUGACAAAUAAACCUUCAGAUGCAGAGUUAGGUGAUUUGGGAACUACGAUCAUUUUUCCUUUUCAAAGAUUUAGUGCACUUACGUUGUAUAUCCUGUCUGUAAAAUAACUUCAGGUGACAUCCAGUGUGGAGUACCCUUCAUAGACUUUGCUCCAUUCAUGGUAGCCUAUAUCAAAUCCACAAACUUCAGAUGUAACAGCCACAACCAAAGUUACACAACAAGAUUCUAAUAGCAUAAUGAAUUGAUAACAUCAACAAUGUCGUACCAAUUCCACGACUUUCCUGGAUGCACCAAAGUCUGCGAGUUUAAUACACCCUUUGUUAUCAACUAGAAUGUUUGCACCCUAUAUCCAACAACACAUCUACCAAAUAUGAGAGAGAGGACCAAUACAAGAUAGAGUCAUCUAAAAUCAAAAGUAAGAGCACAGUACCUUAAUAUCCCUGUGAAUAAUUCUGUUAUUGUGAAGGUAUUCAAGCCCCUGUAAAAUUUGUGUUGUAUACAUUCUUAUAACCUGUUAAAAAAAAUUGAACAUGAAGCAACAAAUAAAGCUCAACCCAUCAUAUUCUGUAUGCACGUCAUAAAGUAAAAACCACUCACGGACUCAGGAAAGGAUCCAAAUUUCCCCAAUAGUGACGAGAUAGAUCCUCCAGGUACAAACUCCAGCAGAAUAUUCAAGGAAUCUUCCUCUCUAGCCGUCCCCAAGUAUCUCUAUAAUAAAUAAAAUAUUCACAAAAAGGAUUAAAUAAAAUAACAAUAUUCGACAUCAAGCAAUCAAAAUCACUCAGAUUAAGAUAAUAAUACUACUACACUCACAACUAUAUUUGGAUGCUUAAGAUUCUUAAGAAGCUUCACUUCUUCUUCGAGCUCUCGAAUAUUAGCCUGAUUCAACAAAGUAGUAACAUACUUUUCAGAUCACAGUUCAACAUCAACAUUCUAAAACAGCCAGCUUAGAUAAAAUCAGAAAAACAAAACAUCAAUACUAUUGCUUCAUUCAUAGGAUUAUGAAGAGAUGCAUUGCCACUUAAUUCACAUAAUGGCCAAUAAAAAGCACUUUCAUGAAGCUCACAAAACAAAGAAUCGAAAAUGAUGACAAUCUAUAAGCCAUAAAUUAGGGUACGCCAAACACCGUCUUUACCUGUGUAUUCUCCUUGAAAGCAAUACCAGGCUCGAUCAAAACCUAAAAAAAGCAACAAGAAGCAAAAGGAUCAAUAAGUUCCACAAACGAAGAUAGUAAAAGAAAAUGAAAAAAAAAGGGAUGAAAUUGACCUGUUUGACGGCAAUAAGCUCCCCGGAGUCGAGGUUCAUUCCCAUGUAGACGCGACCGAAGGCACCGGAACCAAUCAACUCGCCCUUGCGCCAGCGAAUGGGAGGAGGAGAAGGAGGUUUGAGGCCGAUUCUAGAUUUGCGAAUGGCGGAGCCAAUCUUGUUGGCGAUUCCGGCGAAGGGUCCAUCGUCGGCGUGUGAGGGUGGAGUUGCGAAAACUAAGGAUCGGCGAAUGGAGCCGAAAAAGUCGUGCAUUGCAUCUGCGAAGGGAAGAAGAAGAAGAAGAAGAAGAAUGUGUAUCUAGGGUUUGGUGAUUUGGUGUGUAGAGGUUAUGAAGGAGGGAAAAGUAACCAGAUUCAAAAUGGUGAUACUGCUCAGUACCAUAACGGUUACCUUUUUUUGACUUUUUAUUUUUUAAUCAGUAUCAGUGGCGCAAUAAGAUAGGUACGUCACUACGUUGUCGGCAACUACAUUGCUUUCUUGUUCGUUUUUAUUUUAUUUUAUUUUUUAUGUAAAAACUACCUUGCUUUAUACUACAUGGUAAUGGUAAUUAGUUGGAGUUAAAAAAGACACUGAAACAGUCAUUAACUAAAUUUUGAGUUGCAACUUAGAAAAACUAACUUAAACAUAUUCUUUUAUAAAUUGAAAUUUUUUAGUUAAAAUUAAUUUAUUAACUAUUUAUUUCGUUGUUUUAAUUUGAACCGUCGAUCUAAUUCUAAAAAUAGAAUUAUUUCUUUAAUAACAGCUCUAAUUAUAUUAUUGAAUAAAUCAACAACUAAAAAAUAUUUGACUAUUUAUAAUAAAAAUUAUAUUUAAUAAUUAUAUUUUUUUAAAUAAUCAUAUUUUUAUUUUUAUUUUAUUGCGCUCAUCAAAAUAAUAUGUUGUUAAAGUAUAAUUUUUUAAUAUUCUACUUAUCGCACUUGUUGUAUUUGAUUUCAAUUAUUUUAUGUCGUCUAUAUAGUGAUGCAAUAAAUUAUACUAAGAUCUAUUUAAUCAUAAAUUUAAUUUGGUUCAUUCAUUCAAAUGUCAAAUGUCAGUUCAUGUUUUUGUGAAGUAAGUUAUUAAAAAGAGUAACAUUACAAACAAAGAAAAUACUAAAUUGAAGGAAAAAAAUUAAAUGACUUACGAGGAAACAAACAUUAGCCACCUAUAGGUAAGUAAUUUUUUGCAACUAAAUUUCCGGUAGUUAUAUUUAUUACUGGAAAUUUGGUCAAUGAAAUUCCCGGUAAUUGUAUUUUCAAUACCGUAAAUUUCAAAAUUUCGGAAGCUAUCGGAAAUUUCAAAAGUUUUGAAAAAUCCAGUAGUUAGUUUUUGUUCACCGGAAAUUUCGUUUUUUGAAAUUUCCGGUAGUUAAUCCGGAAAUUUCAAAAAUCCAGUAGUUAUUAUUAUUAUUUUUUUUAAUUUGUUUGUUAUUUUAUUUUAAUUUUUUUGAAUAUUUUUUUAAUUUGUUUGUUAUUUUAUUUUAAUUUGUUUACACAGUGUACCGGAAAUUUCAAAAAGGAAUAAAAUUUCCGGAAAACAAACCGGAAAUUUCAAAAAUUCGGUAGUUAAAAAUGUAUACUGGAAAUUUCAAAAAAUGAAAUUUCCGGGAAGGUAUUCGGAAAUUUCAAAUUUUCGGUAUUGAUUUUGAACUACCGGAUGUUUCAAUUUUCCGAUGAACCUUCCUGGAAAUUUCAUUUUUGAAAUUUCCGGUAUGCAUUUUGAACUAUCGGAAAUUUCAUUCCUCUUGAAAUUUCCGGUAAAAACUUUUUUUCCAGAACAACUCACUUUUCUGGAUUUUUCAAGUGUGGGGUACAACUGUUUUGAUUUUUUCUUAUUUUGACUUUUACUGAUUUUUUUUAGAUUAUUUUGGGUAUUUCACUCAAAAAACAUUAAAUUAAGGGUAUAAGUUUAAAUACGGGGUACAAAAGCUAACAGUCUAGUGUGUCCUUCUUUUUUUCACUAAGUAUCUGGUUGGUUCGAAGAAUGAGAGGGAGGGGAAAUUGCUACAUGUUUGAUUAAAAAAAUGGAAGUAGGGGAUUUCUAAUGACAUUUUAAUUAUUUAGAGCCCUUCACCUCUAAAUUUUUAUAAAUUGGAGGAAGAGCAAAAUAAAUUCUACGAUAAAUUUUAGGUAUAUUUGAUCGCAAAAAUUGAAUCAUAUAUAAUUUUUUUAAAAUAUUACCUCUUUUGAUCUAAUCUUUUAUUUACUCCCAACUAAAUAUAUUGUAAAGAGAAGUGGUGUAAGGUUGAUUUUUACGUUAGAAUCACUCUUUAAAUUAUUUUUUUCUUCUCUUAUAUCUAACUAAGUAAUUUUACUCAAAUUUAGUUUUUCUCUUCUUUAUUUUUUAGGGUGAUUUUGUCGUUUUGGUAUAAUAUUUUUAUUUUUCAUCUUGUUGUAAUGUUCGUUGAUUCAAAUUGUUAGAUUAACUUCGAUCUAAUAUAAAUUCAAUCAAUAACUUUGACAACGUCGUAAACGUUAAAAUUGUUGUUAUAUAAAUAUUUUGAACACUUAAAAUUUAUCCUAUCCAUAGACUUUUGUCAUACACUUUGUUGUUUUAAGUUUUUAACCUAAUUAUGGUAAAUUUAUUUGCAAUGUUUAAUUGUAGUUUUAGUUCAUUUAUUUUUAUUUAUUCACGAAAUUGAUUUCCAUAUCUUAAAAGUCAAUAGUUUUGAUCCAUCAUUAUAAUUUUUUAACUAAAAAGUGAUACACUAGAUGCUUUAAAUAAUGUAAUAUAUGAUAUGAUGAUGUAAAAUGAUUAACAUCUAUGAAAUUGAAAUCAAAUACCGUAAAUAUUUAAUUUUCAACUUCAAAUAUUUUUCAUAUUUUUAUUAAUUAAUGCAUUUAGACGACUAUAAAUCAUAUAAUUGUAUGUCAUAUCAUUUAAAAUAUAUUUAAUUAUUAUUUUUUAAUUUAAAAAUUUAAGAGAAGAAUCAAAAUUAUCGAUUUUUUAAAUAAAUAAAUUAAUUUUAUAAAUUGAUAAUAAUAAAAAUAACAAAAACUUAAUAUUUUUUAAUAUCUACUUUGAAUUGUAUAGUUUCAAAUUUCUAACAUGUGAAUAUCAUUUUUUAUUUUUUUUAAAAAAUUUAUACCAAUUUUUGUCCCAAAGAAAAAAACACCUAACGAUACCAUAAAACCCCAUAUAUUUGGAUCCCUGAAAAGAUGCUUAAUUCAACGCUAAACUCUGAAGCUUGAAGCUCAACACGAGAGUUCAAUUCAAUUCAAUUUCAAUUCAGCCAAUUGAUUUUCCUCACUUAACUGCUACCCAAUCACUACUUACCAUACUACCCUUCCUCAACAUGGGAAUCUCUCAAAGACACCAACUUUCUAUUCAUUUCCUCCAAAUUCAAUUACCCUUUUGACCGAUAAUUCUAAAGUUCGUGUCUUAUUACUCUGUUCAUUCUUUCACCUUGUGUUCGUUCAUUUCUCUGUGAGGGUUUUCUGAGAACAGAAGAUGCAACUUGAUCUGGAAUCCCUGUCUGAAGCUACUUCCGGGGCCAUUGGAUCCCUUGUCAGCACUACAGUGUUGUACCCACUUGAUACUUGCAAGACCAAAUAUCAAGCUGAAGUUCAAGCUCACCAUCAACGAAAAUACAGGUUAUUUAUUAUAUUCAUAUUUUUCACCCAUUUUACAUUUUUGGGACCCGAUUCAUUAUACUCUUAACAUAAAUUUGCUAAUUAUUAUUCAUUGGUUGAGUCUGAUAAUUAUGAUAGCAUGAUCUGAUUAUUUUUCAAUCUUUCAUGUAAGCUAGCUUGUUUUAUAUCACUGUUUGUAGGUUAUAUUAUUUAUAAGACGUUUGCUAGAGAUAUGAUAUUGGUUUAUCUAUGAUCAUGAUCCGAAAUUAAACAAUUCGGGUUUAAGUAUGUGUUUGAAUUAGAGAGUCCUUUUUGUAUUUGGUAUAAAUUAAGCAAACAAGCUGGAAAUUGUGUAGAACAUGUAUAGUUAACAUUUCUUCAGAACACUAUGAAAUAUUGUCUAGUAGAGAAAACCAAAUAUUAAAUAGGCAUUUAACAUUGUAAGGUUGGUCAAUUUAGUUUCUCAGAUUUACGAAAUAGCAAUAUAGUCCAAUCCCUUAAACUGAAAAAUAUCAAUCAUUUUAGUCGGUUUUUUCCUCCAAAUUUUGCACCACAAUUUUAAUGGCUCUAUGCUUGUUUUGAUGUAGCAAAAGACUAUUUAAGUCAAUAUGUGUGUCUUUUAUUGGUUUUGGUUGAUGUUUACUUGAUAAAUAUUUUGAUGGAGGGACUGAAUUGAUUGAUAUUCUUUAAUUUAAGGCACUAAUUUACUAAUUCGUAAAUUUGAGGGACUAAAUUGACCGACCCGUUACAAUUUCAUUGAUUAAAAUGAAUAUUUACUUGAAAACCAAUGAUAAUGUUUGAGUUUGGAUUGGCCUAAGUACAUCUUGUUUGGACUGACAUAAGGACUUGUCAGAAUGUUUGCGAGAACUUAUCAAAAUAAGCAUUUAUGCAAUAAACUUUUAAUUAGGUUGUUUUUCCAAGAGCACUCAAUGCCAACUGGUAAUAAUAGCAUCCAAAUCACCAACAUUGGAGGGUUUCUUCUGCUUUUGUGAUGAUGCUUUUAUUGUGGCAACAAUAACUAGCAAGUUGUAGUAACUUUGUAAGUUAAGCUUAUUUGAUUUUGUUUCUCUAACUCAUGUAGGAGAAUUUCUGAUGUUUUAUGGGAAGCAAUUUCUAAACGUCAGGUGCUUUCAUUGUAUCAAGGUCUUGGGACAAAAAAUGUCCAAUCCUUCAUUUCGUCGUUUAUUUAUUUCUAUGGAUACAGUUACUUUAAGAAACUGUAUUUGAAAAAAACUGGAAACAAGAACAUUGGAACAGCAGCAAACUUGAUUGCUGCUACUGCUUCUGGAGUCUGUACAAUACUAAUAACACAGGCAAGUCAAAAUUGUAAUUCUUUCAAAGAAAAGUUACUUUUAGUGACAUACUUACAUGUGAUAUGCUUUUUUUUAAUUUGCUGAUAGAUGACACUUCUGUAAAUCAACUUGAAAUUAAGUUUAUCAGAGGUGUUUUUAAGUUCAAAUCAUGGCAUAACUUCCUUAUCUACUGAAAACAUAGUGUUAUUAACUUACGAUGUAUGUUCUGUCGAGUACAAUUAUAAUAACAUCUGCAAAAGAAACAAACCAAUCCCUUAUUAAUGAAUGUACUGUCAAAACUCAUUAUUUCCUUGUUGUUAUGCACAGAAUAUUCAGUAAUAUCUGCUAUUUUACAGCCCUUAGAUACAGCAUCCUCAAGGAUGCAGACAAGUGAAUUUGGAAAAUCCAAAGGACUCUGGAAGACCUUAUCAGAGGGUACCUGGAGUGAGGCAUUUGAUGGUCUUGCCAUAUCUAUUCUUUUAACAACAAACCCAUCUAUCCAGGUAUCACGCUUUGAAUAUUUAUUCCAAAGAUUCAAUGAAACCUAAAGAGGAAGAGGAUCUGUUAUUCCAUAUUAGGUUGCACUAUAAGACUCCCAUACUCAGACUGAGAUUUUUAUCCGCAAACAGUAUACUGCAUUCGAUCAGCUGAAACACCGGCUACUAAAAGGCAAGAUGAGCAAGAGAACUGAUGCAAAGUCAUCCCCGGAGUCACUUUCUGCAUUUAACGCUUUCAUGCUGGGUGCAGUUUCAAAAUGUGCAGCUACAUGCUUGACAUACCCGGCUAUCAGGUGGAUGAUCAACUUACAUUAUUUUGUCCUAGAGUUUUUAUUUAUGUUAAUAUACAGACAUGAUUCCAGUUAAUAUAAUUCAAAAGGAAGAAAAAUAAAAUAAUUUUAUUUUUACACCGAUCUUUGGUUUCUGCAGAUCUAUCUUGGGAAAAAUAAGUAUUAUGAUACAUUUUCUUUUCCAUUGUUUAUGCUAUAUUGUGGACUUUCUGAUGAAAAUAUGUUUUGAAUUGACAAUAGGUGUAAAGUCAUGAUUCAGGCUGCUGAUUCAGAUGAUAGGAAGAUUUCAGAAGCUGAGAAGAAGGCGCAGAAGACAAUCUCUGGAGCACUCUAUACUAUUUGGAAAAGAGAAGGCCUCCUGGGAUUUUUCAAUGGAUUGCAGGCACAGAUAUUGAAAACUGUUCUCAGCUCUGCAUUACUUCUUAUGGUAAAGGAAAAGAUCACAAAGUCGACGUGGAUUCUGAUGCUCAUGAUCGNNNNNNNNNNNNNNNNNNNNNNNNNNNNNNNNNNNNNNNNNNNNNNNNNNNNNNNNNNNNNNNNNNNNNNNNNNNNNNNNNNNNNNNNNNNNNUGUCUGCCAAUCCCCCCAAAUUGAAAGCAUCUUGAAUUUGUGAUGAAUGAAUAUAUUAGAAAUAAUUUCUCAUCCAAGGAUAUGAUAAAAUUGACUUUGAUUGCUAUAGAGGUAAAAUAGUGGCAGGUGUACUGAAUGCAAGUGUUAGGAAUGCAAAAAAUAAAAAUUCAGAUAAUGGUUUCUUUCUCUUCUAAUAUGAUUUUUUCUCAUCAAGACCUCAAACUUGAAUAUACUUGUUUUAUUUUUUUGAAGGAGAAUAUACUUGUUAAUGCGAUAGCCUUUUUUUUUUUGUUAGUAGUUUAGCAUUGUGUUAUGCACUUCCAAUCAUUUUGCAAAGUCUGAACUUCCAAGCUCAAAAAUGAUAUUAUUGAUAACAAUGACAACAAUAACAACCGUUUGGGAACAACACUCCUACUUUUCUUACUCUAGCAUUCAAUAGACAAUUAUGCUAUUAAACAAUAGCGACACAAGUUUUUUCUGACAGAAAUAAUGAAAGAAGUUAUCUUCAUUGUUUCCAUUUUAACCUUAUUCAGUAAAACCUUAGUAGCGGUAGCAUGCGUUUCUGAUUGAUAACAAAAUUGUAACAAUGAAGCAUUGCCAAUAGCCAUCCUCUAGUUUUCAUGACAGGAAACUUUUGCCAGCUAACAAGAGUAUUGAGCAGUAAAUCAUUCCAACUUUGGAAAUCAAAUUAGCAGCAUUAGAACUAUAUGGAGCAAAGUUUCCUGUAGGAGUGUCAGUGGUCAAGACAACAACAAUCCAGUUAUCUUCUGAACCGAUACCGAUACCUGUAUAUUUCGUGUCAUUGAGAUUCUCUGAGUAGAGAGAUUUGGUGAAAUUAGCGAGGACAAGGCUUGAAGCUAGUCCGGGAACACAAGCAGGCAUUACAGUUCCAUCUCUUGUGUCAGAAAUAGCUAAUUGGCAUUUAGCUAACAGGUUUGGGUAGUUUGAGAAUUGAGGUUCUGUACCUGGUACUGUAUUAGCACCUGUGGUAUUUGUACAUAGUUGAUUCUUGAAUUGGUCAGCUAUUUUAUCAGCAAGACAAUCUGCAUUUUUAUUUUUUGUAAGAGCUUUCAAGUUUAACGAUGAUCGAUACUUGUUGAUACCUUGAUAAAGAUUAUCUUUCUCAUCUGCAGAAAAACAUUUGAACAAAGUAAGCGCAGUUUCAAGAUAUCAGUUUCAUUGUGUAUAUAUAUGCAUGUGUUCGGAAAAAUGUCACAGGAUAAUGUUUAAGAGACAUCAUGACACUGUUGAUAUAUGAUGUGAUCAUUGCAGUUGUGAGAUCGGAGUUGUUUGAUGAAGACCAAUCAACUAAGAUUAUUGUUUUGAAUCUGAUUUUUUGAACAUGAAAUGAGUCAUGUGAUCUUCAUCCAAUGACUCAGAUCUCAUGACUGCAAUGAAUACAAAUCCUGAAUUUUGACAAUUGCAUUUUUUAGUUUGUAAACCAAUUCAAAAUAUGGUCCAGCACAACACAAAUGAUAAAAACAUUACAAAAUUAAAGAUCAGUAAGUACUCACCAUCAUCACAUUUAACUGGAGAAUUUAUCAAGAGAAUAGCAUAUGAAGAAAGGAGAAUCCAGAAGAGCAGAGAGAGUUUAGGCAACACCAUUUUUUUUUUGCAGCUGAGUUAUACCAGAAGGAACCAGAAUUCCACAACAUAAAAACACUUACUACCUUUGGAUUCUAUAUGUGGUUGGAACCUAAGUUUGCUUGUACUGGGUGAUUUACUGUUUCUUGAAGCAGAAGCUAGAUGCAAUAGACAUCAUACUGACACUGAGGAAGACAUUGCAACGGUAAGACAUGGCAACGCUUUUGGCCAUGUUUCAGUGUCAGAUUUGUGUUUGUUUACGAGGACAGCUGUUCCAGUGUCUCUUUCUUGCAUGCAUUCAAUUCACAGCAAUUAUAUUAGGUUAAUGCUCAUAAAUGUCUUUAAAAAUACUCUUCUUAAAUAUAAGUAAAAAUUAAUCGAAGAACGUUAGUUUAAAUUUUAGAAUAAUUUUUUUUUAAUUAAUUUUUACUUAUAUUUGAGUUUGGAGGAACUAUAUACUAUUUCAAAAUUAAGGAAAAUAAUAUAUUUUGGCGGUUUCUUCUCUCUUUCAAUAUUUUUGAAACUUCUUAAAUUAUAUUUAGACUAGUCAAUUUGAAUGUGUAAAAUAAGUGGGUAGAUCUUGCGGAAAGAAUGAAAGAGAGAGACAAAAAUAUAGAAAAAGUAACAAAGAGAAGAAAUAUUGGUGAGAGAGAUAAACACAUCAGAAAGUGUAGAGAAUAUUUGACAGAUGAUCUAAGUAAAAUAUACAUUUCCACUUUUGAAAAAAUUUUAGAAGAGAAAAAAGGAAACCACCAAAUAUUUAUUAAAAGAAUAGUAACAAUUUAUCUUUCAAUAAAAACUAGAGUUAGUAGGUAAUGCACCGUUGAAGUACUCAAUCCAAUGAAAUGCCUAAAUCUUCUCCAAUUUAAACCACCAUGAAGAGCAUGCUUAUAAAAGAAAAUAAAGUUUCUAUAGAAGGGAAAUUAUAAGUAUUAUAACUAUUUGUUGAUAGAAGUGAAUGGAACUAAAACAUAACAGAAAUGAAUAUACAGGAAAAAUAAAAUAUCAAAUAAAUAGAUUUAUGAGCUACCACAUGAUAUUAAAGACGCCACUUUCCUUUGGUAAAAAAUAAUAAAUUCAAAGACUUUUCUCUUUAUGUACUAAUAAAGUAACAUAUCAGUAAUUAAGCUCACAAAUUUCAGAAUCGUUAUUGUUUUGAGUUUAAAUUUGAGAUUCUAUAAUUGUACGUCUAUUUAAAGUAGUAUUUAUCAUCUUUUCUAAGAAUAAAAAAAACAUGUAUUUCAAAAAAAAAAAAGUAACAUAUUAGUAGCAAUAUUCAGUUUAUAUAUAUAUAUUGAAUGUAUUACUAGGGUCUAUGUAAUGUAUGUGAAUGUGAUAAAUUUUAGUGUAUCAAGUUUGAUCCUAUUUAUAAAAAGAAUCAUAGAAUGUCAUUAACAAACAGAUAGAAUCUAUCUUGUAAUAUAAAUAGAAAUCAAUUGAUAAAUUUUAGUACAUUAAUUCAUGCAUAUUCCCUCUACUCGUUCACUAAAAUUUGGAUAUGGAUUGUCUACAUUCUAAGAGAGAACACACACAUAGCAAAAUUCCUUAACAACAUAAAUGUGUGUAUUGCUUUCAUUGAAUGAAGGCAAUCUAAAUCUCUAAACUUCAAGAGCACACACAUCUCAAUAUGAAUUCAAAUCUUCUCUAAAUAAUGAUUGAGUUAUGGAGAAUAUGAAAUACACCUUUUUGUUUUUGCUACUUUGUCAUAGUUAUGAAUUUGUAAAAAUAAAAAUUGUCCUAGUUUUAAAGUACUCGUUGAUUGAUCACUUUCAAUAGAAUACACUAUGAAUCGUAUUUCUCAAUCCAUAAUGCUUGAAGGCUGAGACUUUGUUUAAAAGAGAUAUAAAAAUUUAGUAAUUUCAAGAUACUAUGCAACUAAACAUAUUACUACUAUUUAGGUGAGAUCGCACAAAUUAUCAAAAGAAACUAUUUAAUUAUGCAAAUUUGUAAUUGUUAUUAUAACAAAAUAGUCUCAACAUAAAAGGAACGCAAAAGGAAAAGAAAUAUACUGAAAAUAAGUUUUUUCAUCUCUAUCACACAGUAAUAUAAAAAUGUCUAUGCAGGUCUCAUUCAACACUUGAGUAUGCACCACGAUCCCAACCUGGCUACUACUUUGUCCUUUAUUCCUAUAACUGCAUUAGAAAAAAUAUAUAUUUCAAUUAAUUUGUUCUAAAGCAACUAAUUGCCAUUUACUCACACUUAACACGAUAACAAAUGAACAAUUCUGCUAGUUACACAUUUUAUUUUAAAUUACACCCACAUAGCCAUAUAGUUUAUGUAAACUUCAUUAAAAAAAUAUGUGAAUCUAAUACACGUAUAAAAGGUUAUUUUUUGGAGGUAAAUGAAAAUAAAAUGUGUAACCAAAAAAAAAUUAGGUGUAACCGACAAAAUUGAUAAAUGGAAAUGAAUUUUGAUUAAUAUAGAGGCUAGUGGUCAAUUUACUUACAAGAUUGCAAUUAGGGGGUCCUGUCAAAAGCCAAUGCAAUUUUGAUCCGUUCAACAGUGUUCUUAAUCAAACCGAUAACAGAUUGCACUGAGCCAUUUUGUAUAGUUGCGUUAGGAUUUGAAUCUAUCAAUAUCUGAAAAGAAAUUGUUAGUAGACAACCUCCUCCAUUGUUCAAUGGAACACCAUCUGGGAGAAUCACAAAACCCGAAGGAAGCAUAACAACACAAUCUGGAUCACCACCAUUCAUCACUACAUUCAUUGCGCCAUAAUCUACAGGAGCAUAUAUUACAUACGACCCUGUGCUAUCAGUGCUAUUCUCUUGAAGUAAAACCAUGUUGUUUUGACUGCAAUCUGCACUCUGCAAAUUCAUUUAGAAUAUGUAAUCUUAAUUAUUUUUUAUUUUAAUAAAUCAAAGUGAUCUGAUAAGUGCUGAAUCUCAGUAGAUCGUGAUAGUAAGAUCUGCCACUUACAAUAUCCAUAGUAAUAUUGGAUUUAAUUAUGUACUAUACUUACUUUUACACGAAUUAAAGAGACACAGUUGGCAGGAUCUUGACCAUUUGGUAUGUGUGCCAUUUCUUGAAUUAUACCUCCGAUGGAGAUAAUAUCCCACUGCAAAAUUCAACAAAAAGAAUAAACUUAUAUAUAGAUACAAAUUUAUAUAUUAUAGCUGAGCUAGCCAAACAAAGUUUAAGCUCCAAUAUGCAAUAAUCAAACUAUUAUAAUAAGCUAAUAAGAUGCAACCGUGCAUGCAUGCGCUUGUAAUUGCACAUUUAUUUCAUUAGCUGAGAAUUAGUAUGGAAACUCAAUAGUAUAAUAUCUAUUGUCGAAAAUAGACGAGGUAGAAGUCUAAAUACAGUAUCAUAUAUAUAAUUAUACAAUAUACCUCACUUCUUGAGUUUUGACUUCGAAGAAAAUCGAAAAGCCUCUUUGGAAGAACCGGAAGCCAGAGAGAAGUUCCAGCACUAAGAAUUAGACCGGAACCGGUAUUGGUUCCCGGUUCACGGAUACUCCUUUUAAUCAUCACCCUUACAUCAUUUGAAUUAGACGUUAGCACUUCCCAACAAUUUGGUAUAGAAGAACCAGCCACAGUUGAAAAAUACACUUUCAUUCUAUCUGUCAGCCUCAUCAAGCUCUUCCUUCUUUGAAGACUAUUCAUAGCUGCAAUCAUAUAUAUAUUUCACAUUUAACUCAUCUAAUUAUUCCCCUAUAACAUUUCAAAUUUUAGUUUUUAAUUCUCAUAAGAAAAAAUCUUCUAGUCUUUAUAAAAUUAUACUGCAAGUAGUUUUAGUCUUUUGUUAAAAUGUAAAAUAUGUAUUUUUAAAUGAUUUUUUUGAUAAUAUGUUUAAAAUAUUAUAAACGUUCUUAAGCAAAAAAAUGUUCUUAGUGUUUAAUUUCUAUGUCUAUAUUUUCUUUACUUUUAUAUUAUUGAGUUUUUGAUAUUUAAAAAAUUCAUAUUUAAUUCAUCUAAACUUAAAAAGAAUUAAAUUUUUUUGGAUGAACUUUUUAAUAUAUCAUAAAUAUGGUUGCAAAAUAUCAUUCAAAAAUUAAAAAACAAUUAAAUAUAUCUCAUUUCAGUAGAGAUUAAAAUUUGUUGCAGAAUAAUUGCGCAGAGACUCACAUAUGUACAAAAUUUACAAAAACUAAAAUUUAAAAAUUUAUAGAGAUUAAAAACUUCCUUAUUUGUGGUAAGAAUUUAUAAAAAGAAAUUAUAUCUUGAAGAAGAAUGAAGCAUAAGAGAAAUAAGUAAGAUGAUAUAUAUACCAAAAUGGUCUGCUGCAGGUGGUAUGUUGAUUGUCAUUGAAAUAGCAAGACGUUCACAUUGUCUAUCUAAUGAUGCCACCCAUCGUAUAGCUCCAAAGGCAAGCCCAGAAGUUAUUAGAGACUUAUAAGAUUGAUUUGACGCUACUGUGCUCUCAUCUACUUCUACAUGUUCCACCCAUGUAACCUGAACAAGACAUACAAUUCAUUUUCGUUAUUAAAAUAUAACCUAAAGCUUUAUCAUUAUCAAAUCAUUCUAAAAGAUGUGGACCAUUGAAGAAUUUUAAUUCAUAAAUAUUGUUUUUGUUUCAUGCAAAUAUAUCUUUUUAAUUUUAAUCAAUGAAAAAAAAAAAUUUGAUGCUCGUAAAUAUACAAAAUUUUGGUACUUGUUUGUUUUGUUUUUUUAUUCCCAAAAAAAUGUAUUCAUGUUGAAAUUAAUUAAUCUUUUUAUUUGUGCUUAAUAUUUAUUUUUGUCUUUAUAUAGUUUAUAUUUAAAUGACUAAAACAAAUAUUGUAUAUAAAAAUAUAGACUAAUUUUACAAAGAUUUAAACAAAAUAAUAAGGAUAAAAAAAACAAAAAGUAAUACAUACGUAAAUAAUAAAAAAUAAAAAAUAUUGUUACAGAUAUUCCAAAUAGAAAAUGAUAUAUUUGCAUAAAUAAAAAAUAUAUUUAAAUAUAAUAAUUAAUAGAAUGCAAUGUACCUUUGAGCAACCAUUUUGUAAUUCUUGAAUUAAACAACCAGAGGGUCGUCUUCUGCUUCUUCUGGUUGUACUACUACUACUAGGACACAAAUGAUCCAAAGAAACAUCAACCACAGCCCAUACUCCUUGUUGGUACUGCUUACAGUACCUAAUGAAAUGAUUUUCACGUGCAGAAACAAGUGGUGAAGGAACUUGAAAAUCAGCUGACAUCUGAAAAAACACAUUUUAUCAAAUACAAAUUAAUCCAUUUUCACUCAAUUAGUAUGUUUGGUUUUAUUAAAAAUUUAUAGUGCAUAAGUGCUCAUUAUUGGAUAUAAUAAAAUACAAAAUAAAGUGAAAAUAUUAUUUUUAGUCAAAAGUAAAAAUAUUAUUUUUUAUAUAAAUUAUAAAUUAUUUUCAUUAAAUAUCGUAUAGAGUUGAUAUGAAUAAAUAAAAAAUAAUUUAUAUAAAAUAAAAAAAUGACAACAUUUUAUACAUACCACUUGUAAGGCUCCAUUGUAAUUUCCUGAUACUCCAGGUGACAGGACAUCAAUUGUCAUUGCGUUUGAAACAAUACCAUAAAACAUAGUUGACCAUUGAUUCUGAAAUCAUUGUAAAAAAAUAAUUAUUAUUAUAUACACACUUAAAAAAUCACCCAACAAGAUUAAUUUUUGUGUGUAUGCUGCUAGCUAUUACUGACCACAUCCAUAAGAACCUCAAUGAGGUUAAUAGAAUUCAUGGGAACAGUGACUGAUUCCCUUGAAGCUUCAGAUUUUAACCCUAUGAGUUUUGGACCUAUUACAUUAUUAGGGAAAAAUCUUGUGUAUUCAGCUUCAUUAAGAAUUUCCUUGUAGUUACUAGGAAUCCAUAAAGGGGAUCCAGCAAGAGCCAAUGUUGUCAAUUCCUCCAUUGCAACAACUGCUAGUUCCACAAUCAUGAGAUUGUUAGAAUCAACACGCAUUUCUUCUAUCAUGAUUGAAUUUGAAUAGUUACCACUGCCACUUCCAACUUCAAACGAGGGUGCAGACAUUUGACCAAUGUUAGAAUAGGAACAACCCUCAUGAUUUCCAACAUCUAUAGGCACUGUUCCUGCCAUCAUUUGAGCCUAUGGCAUCAAACCAAAACAUAAUUGUAAUUAGUUCAACCAAGAAGGAAAUAUAUAAUUCUUUACAUAAUGCUGCAAUUAAUAUAGAUACAUUAAAUAUUAUUGGAGAAAGUGAGGAAGCAAUUUGAUUAUAGAAGUAAACAUACCUGUGCCUUUAAUCGGGCAUACUCAAUCAUCUUAAGGUGGUGGUACUCAUGAAAUGACAUUCCAUCAACACAAAAAUGACAUUCACAUUUUGGACAUGUUGCUUUGUUUAUUGCCUCCUUAUACAUUUCAAUCUCAGCACGAAGUCUCUCAUUCUCCUCUUUCAAAAAAUACUUCUCUUGACGUUCCAUUUGAACCUGCAUUUUCACCAAUUUGUAUUUUAUUUAUGACAAUCCAAAAUAUUCUAUAUAUACUUCAAUUUUUUCUUGGAUUCGUUUAAUAUAGACCUCUAUUCAACAAAUAGUCAAGGGUGGACCCUUAUCAUUUUUAAUAGAAUAUAAUUUUUUAUAAUAAUAAAAAUUCAAAAAUAAAUAUAAUAUUUUAUUAAAAUUUACUAAAAAUGACAAAGCCUGCCUUUGAACCAAGACUAUAUUUGACGAUCACUUUUUUAAUGAUAAAUAUACAAUAUAAUUAGUUGGCUACAUAAAUUUUAUAAUAAUAUAAAUUAAAGGAUAUCCAAAUUUGAUUUGAAGUUAUCAUCAUGCACGUAGGAUCACAUGUUUGAAGAGGGUUUGAUUCUCCUUUACCUUCAUUUGGGUACGCUUGUUUUGGAACCAAAACUUGAUCUGCAUAGGUCCAAGCCCUAACUCACGACCCAGUUGUUUCCUUUGCCUCUCAUCAGGGUGAGGGUUAUUCUUAAAGAAGCUGGACAUAUCAAGAUUAAUAAUGUUGAAUAAGUAAAUUAAUUCAUCUUGCACUUGUUAAAAACUCCUUCUAGAAUGAUAUAUAUAAACAGAGAAAAAAAUUAUCAAAAAAGUUAAUUUAUCUGAUCUAAAUUUUAAAAUAAUAUAUUUUAUGAGACAAUUAAAAAGGUGACUCAUACGCUUCCAUCUCUCUUAUUUGUGGCUGUGUGUGGCGUUUGUAGACUCUUUUUUUAGGUUGCUUGUUGUGAUUUUGGUCUUCGGUAGAAGGAGGAGCUUCGUUUCCAGAAUCUUCAUUUUCGUUUGUUCUUUCGGAAUCACUUGUUGAGGAAGUGGUCAAUUGUUGUUUUUGUGGUUGAGGAUGGCGCACUUUGGAUUUCGAGUAACACAUUGUUGUGAUUCUCCAAUUGUCAAAACUAGAAGUGAAAAAAGCUUGAAUUAGUUCUUAUUACUUUUAUAAGAAGAAGAUAAUUAAAAGCGAGAAAUGAAAGAAAGGAAGAAGAAUUUACCUAAUAUUUGAUGAAGAAAUUGGGUGAGUGCAAGAAGAAAAAUGAACAAUAUUGUGUAAGUAAGGUUCUUAGUGGUUAAGCUAUUUGAAGGCACAUUGACUUUGGAAGGAUAUGUUCAACCUUAAUGCUGUGACGUUUUCUUUGAAAAAAGGAAAAGGAAAAUUGAGAAAAGAUAAAACAAAAUUGAAAAAGGGUUGACAAUUUGACAUAGUUGAUACAUAAAACCUGGAAAAAAGAAAAAGAAAAAUAAUUAUAUAUAUAAAAUAAAAAAGAGUAUAACGCUCACUAACACUGAGGUUUGAAAUUUGAACAGGUACCUCUGUCUUUGUCUCUCAUUAUCUUCACUGAAUACAAGGUAGUGAUGUAGAGAAAAAGACAAAAAAAGGAGAAAGAGCAGAUAAGAAGCCAUUUUGAUGAUGUGCAUGUGUUAGAUAGCAAAGCAUAUUCUGCAGGUGUAACAUAAUUUAAGGAACUGUAUAAAUGCAGUGAGAGAAAUUGCAUUUGUAGUGUAUGUUGUGAAUAGAGUCUUCUCUUCUUUACUCAUCCCUCUCAGCAGGAGACACAUGCCCUCCAUGCCUUUCUUGCUCUUGCAUUGAAAGAUUUCUAGUGUUUGUUCAUACCAUGAGUUUAAUAAAUUUAGCUAAAACAUGUGAAGAAAUAUUUGCAAUUAUUUUCAUUUGCAAAAUUCAACACUUAAAAAAUGAGUGUUAAUGUUAUAACAAUCAGCAAUAAGUAAACAAACAUAGGAAUAGUUUACAAAAGAACGUUAAAUAAAUCUCCUUUGACCACAAUAUUGUGAAAACUCAUUAUAAAAGUAAAUUGAAGAGUUAGACAAAAACAUGUGCCACAUUCAAGUGAAACCCCUCAACAUCUCUAAUAACAAUGUCAACUCUUUAAAAAUUAUUAUCUGAACCCACAACAUCAACAUUAAUUUUAUAUCAAUCCUAAAGAGAAAUAGAUCAACUAAAUAAAUAAAUAGAAUUUUGAUUUGAAUCAAUUAGCGUAAAAUUAUUCUACAUUAGUUUGUGAUCUUUCGUGAUUUUAUGAGCUUUACACAAUUUUACAAUAGUGUAAAUAAAUUUGAAGAAUAUCAUAUGUAAGCACAUUUUAUUAAGUAAAUCAUAAUUUUACAAUUUAAUAUACAAUUUAAUUAUUUUAUUAACUUUUUUGGUCUACAAUUACUUUAUUAACUUUAGUUUGUAUAAAGAAAUCAAUUUUAGUAAACUAUUGGUGUAAAAUAUUUUAUACACAAAUUCAAAUGAUAAGUUGCCCCACAUUAUUUAAUUAUUUUUUAAAAAUAUUCAUUAAAUAAGGUGACAAAGUAUCAUUAUAUGCAAAUGUAUGACGUUUUUGUCACUCGAAAAAAAGCUUAAAAGAUGUAUAAUGCAUUAUUAUUUUAAGCCUUUAAGGAAAAUAUAACCAACAUUCUAAAAACGUGUGUUACCAAAUUUCAGUCAAAGAGAAAUAUGGGUUAAUAAAAAAAAAAUCAAAUUUUUUAUUAAAAAACAAACAUAAUAUUCAUGUAUUUGUGUGCAUUACGAGUUGUUUGUUACCAUUUUAAGAUAGAUAUUAUAAUAUUUAAAAUUUAAAUAUGAAAUAUUAUUAAAAUUUAGAUGAUUGUUAAUAAAUAUUUGUCCUGUAUAUAAUGUAUACAAUAAAUUUUGUAUUAUAAUUUUUCACAAUUUUUAUCUAAAAAUAUUCAACAAAUGUAUUAUUAAUAAAAUAUAUAUUUUUCUUUUAAUUAGUUAAUUUGUAAAAGAUUAUUUUUUAACUAAUUAACCUCUAAGCAACAUUUGUUUUAUAUAUAAUUUAUACAGAAAAUUAUAAUUAUAUUAUAAUUUUUUUAAUUUUUUUAGUUAGAAAACACUAAAGAAACAAAUUAUUAAUGAAAUACAUAUCUCAUUUUUAAUUAAUUGAUAUUUGAAAGUUAUUUUCUAAUUAAUUGAUGGAUGAUAAACAAAUGACUCGUGUGUUUAUUUUAUUAUUUCCAUAAUAUAAAUUAAUAGACAAAUAUAUAUACGUAUAUAUAAAAAAAUUAUCAUUAUCGCAUUUGAACUUUUGUAUUUGAUUUGGCCUACUGGAACAAAAGCUUCUUGAUUUAUACAAUAAUUUAUAAGUUUGUGUAUUAUAUAAUCUUUCCACCCAUUUAUACGUAGAAGAUAUCUGAAACUAGGGAUGACAGUAUAACUCAUUUUUGCCGCUACUUAUUCAAUUUCAUCUUGAUUUGGACGAGGAAAAUCCGUUUUAAUUGGAUGUGUGGGUGUAGAUUUUUCUUGAAAUUAAAAUUCGAGAGCGGGGACAGAUUUGAGAGUGGUGAUAUCCACCCUUAACGCGAACUCGAAUUCAUCCCUCAAGUAAUAUUAUUGUAAUUUUUAAAUUUUAUAUACAUAUACAUAUAUUUUUUUAAAUAUUAAAAAUUAUAAUCUUAUCUCUAUAGAAAAUAUUUUUUAAUUUUAUUAUUAUUUAAUAAUAAUUAUUUUAUUACGUUAAUUAUAAUAUAUAUGAUUUUUAAAUUUAUAAUUUUAUAUAUAUGAAUGGGUGCAUAUGUGGGCGGAGAAACCCGAAUGCCGACGGGGGUAGGGGCUUAAACUUCACCUCCACUAUAAAAUAGAAGCGGGUGUGGUUGUGGACAAAGAUAUCCGAAUGCAGACGAGGAUGGAGCUUAAAUUUUACCCCGUUAUAAAAUGGGGGCGGGUGCAGUGGAUGAGAUAAAACAUAUCUAUGUCCCGUUACCAUGCCUAUUUGAGACAGAAACAAAUAAAUAAUAAGUGUUCUUCUUUUAAUUAAUUGACUUUUGAGGAUAAUUUUUGUAUUAAUUGACCAAUGAAAAUUAUUUAUUUCAUAUUUAUAUUUCAUACAAUAAACUAUAACUAUUGUUUAAAAUUUUAUCUAUAAUACAGUACUCUAGAAACACACUUAUAAAAAUACAAUUUUCCGUUUAACUGGUUAAAUAUAACCAACAUUAUAAUAACGUGAGUUACAAAGUUUUAGUCAAAGUAAAACAUGGGUUUAAAAAAUUAAAAUCAAAAAAUCAAAUUUUUUAUUCAAAAAUAUGAUCUAAUAUUAUCAAUGCAUUAAAUGUAAUUAGUAUUUUCAAGAAGAAAAAAGUUAUUUUGUAAAAUGCAAAAAGGGAAAUACAAUAUUUUUUUAGUUUAAUUUUCAUAUAUAAUUGAUAUAAUACAUUUAAUAUUAUCAACAAAUUAUAAUCAAUCAAUCAUAUAAGAUUAAAGUAAAACGAUUUUAAGACAUGAUGAAUAUAUAGUUAAUCAACGAUGCAAAAAAAUUUACCCUGUAUAUACAAAUUAAAAUAAUUUUUAUAUUAUAAUUUAAAAUACAUUUUUAAUCUCUUAUCUAAAUUUGAAGUUAAAGCUUGAUUUUAAAGUUUUAUAACUUUUACUAAAAGUCUCUUAUUUUAAUUUUAGAUUUGGUCGGAUCUCACUAAUUUGAUAACUGUUGUUAAUAGUAGUAUUUUGUUCAUAAGGUGCAUACAUGUGGCUUUUAACUAGAAACUAGUAAGAUACUCUGCAUAAAUGUACGAGACGCUUCCAUUAUUACUAUGUUCAAAAUACACUUCCAUAUCGAAAUAAGUGUGUAUUUGAUUCAACCAUAAUGACUGAUUGCAGAAUCCAAUAAUAUUUUUUGCUUAUAAAGGGAACAAAAUAAUGACAUGGGAAUUAGAUUGGCCCAUAAACAUGCCACAAGAACACUUGAUUGUGUGUAGACAUGAUCAUAUACUGCUUGGAAAUUUAUAGAGUAUGUUUUCUCCAGUAUUAAAUAUAAGUAAAAGUAUAAACGGAAAAAAAUUAAAUUAAAUACAUCAAUUUUCUUUUCCAUUACUUGAGACUAGAACUGUGAGAGUAUAUGAACAAAGAGUAAAUCAACUGGUGAAUUUAUUAGUAUCUUUCAAAUAUCUGAAUGUGAAAAAUAGUCACUCUUAUUUUUUAGCCUCAUGACUCACGAUUCAUAAUGCACAAAUAAAAUAUAGUUCCAUUUAACACAGCAAUUCUUUUUCUUUUUUUGGCACCUCUGUGCAUGCUCAAAGAUUCAUAAGAUUUUGUAUGAAUGAACUAUUAAUAAACAACAAAAAACAUCAAAUUGAAUCCCCUACAAUUGCUUUAAGGCGCAUCGGACCAUUAAAUUUUAAAAAAAUAAAGUUUAUCUAUCUAAAUCUAAUAGUCCUAUAGUUGUUGCACCAUAUAACAAUGGUAGAAGAUUCAGGUCUAAAAAACACGUUACAGAAUGCACAUUCAACUACUACACACCACCAUGUCAUUUCUUUAAAUCUUCAAAUUUGACAAUACAGCUUAUGAAUUCGAGGUCAGCAUAUAAUUCAGAGAAAGCCGAACACUCGUUAAAAAUCCCAUUUUCGCACGAAAACUUAACCAACUAGAAGCCAGGAAAACUUUCACUGUCAUCUUUAUUUAUUUUCUUCCGUGUGUUUCCGGAAAGGAGUAUUUAGUUUGCUAUGGUGAUGCCAAAUUUGUUUCUGUCGCUAACUUCCUAGUCUCGAAUCUGCUACAUCAGACAAAUUGGUGUUGCUUCUCUCUCACCGAACGAAGCCUUUGACUUUGCUGCUCUUGAUCGUCUUGAUGAAGAAGAUGGUGAACGGGAAGAGGAAGUCGACUUAACCUUUUUAUGUUUGGGCUUCUCUGGAAUAUGAGUACCCUCUGCAGUUGAGAUGCCUUUGUAAAUGUCUGAUGAUUGUUGAUUAUCUGUGCGCGAAAAGAAUAAGAAUAGUUAUCAUCAAGAAAAGGAACUAACAUGGAUCCAAACAACAACUAAGAUCUGAUUUUCAUUCAGACAACUCCUACAUAAAACAAACAGUUUUGAAGAAUAUAGAAAUAUGAUGUUUCUAUUGCUCAUGAUUCUCGCCCUGGAACCGGAAGGAAAUAUAAUCAAAAUGCAAAUGCUGGAAAUAAAUAAAAUUCCUGCUUAAUUCCGCACAAUGCAUUAAUGAAUAAUCAUGAGAGUGGAAUCAGUAUUGUACUGUGAAUGCAGACGAUGGGAACAUGCGGAAAAAGCAUAGAACUUUCAGAAAAGGAAAAUCAUUAUGAAGAUAAACAGCAUAUUUUGAAAACUAAAUUGUGUAAUUAACACAUUUUUUAACAUAGGAAGGAACUGCUACAUCCAUGCAUAGAGUGCCACUGUUAUCUUUCAGACAGAAUAUUACUGACUUGUUUCAUGUUAACUUCUUAACUUGAGUAAGUCAUAUACUCCAAAUUUGGCUCUAGAUUCACCCUUGGAACAAAUUGUUUUUGCAAGACACAGAGACACAGUACAUAAAAUGCUUUCCUCUUCAAGAAAGACAAAAGAAUCUCACAGUCACGACUAAUAUAUCCAAUAGAAGAACCGAGCCCCCUUAAGGUGCACAGCUUAAUUCUUCUUGUCUAGACAAACAACUUAUGUAGCACCAACAUUUCAAAUCGAUUGCGUGUUUUGUUAAAUGUUGGUGUCCGAAAUCGACACAACAUUAAUACAUCUGACUAUAUUCAAUUACUUUCAUUUUUUCAAAUUAUAAUUUGUGUCGACGUGUCAAUGUCAGUAUUAUGUUCAAUGUCUAUGACAGUGCUUCAUAGCUAACAACUGCCUUUAAACAUCUGUCCAAUCAUGACAACCAAAACACAAGGUUCCAAAAACUCCACCUCAUAUAAGUAAAAUGAUCAUAAACUUGUUGCCAUGUGGUGAUUGCAUUAUUCCUCAAUCCAUACAAGAGCAUCACAGUAAUAAUGUUUGCUGAUGAUGGUUCGGUUUCAAUCAAGCGCCGAGAAGAACAAAUCUCACCAUCUCUAUCGAUUUCUUAAUCAAACUUUUCAGAUAUAUAUAGCAACAAUUGCAACCUUUUUUUAAGUUUUAACUUGAUCACAUUAAGGAAGCUUAUCACAUGGAAAAUCAAAGGACCACAAAACAUGUACUUAUCAAGCAUAGUGAUGCCCUAGAUUUAAUACAUCCAAACCACCCUGUUUAUAAAUUCUGGUGUGGACCACUUAAAACAUUGAAGCCAAGAGUCAUAAGAUUCUCUUUGUUGAAGAUGAGUUUGCUCGUGACAGAACAGCCAAACUCUUUCUAAGGGAGGAAAGAACUCAGAUAGAUUUUCAAAAGCCUCACACUUUUAUCAAAAAGACAUUCGAGACACAUAAUAAUAAUCAAAUAAACAUUUUUGCUUGAACUAAUAGACCUAUGAAGGAUCAUAUGUUUGUAUGAGAAGCAAAGCAUACCUAAGGAGGACCAUAAUUUAGUGGCAGCCACAGGAUUUGGGUUCCUAAGUUCACCCAGGUUACCAAUAGAUGUUGAAAAAUCAGGAGCUGUUUUGAAAUCAUCCAUCUGAAUAGAUGAAAGGUCAAAAAGAGUUAAUAAAAGAAUAGACAAAAUAAUGAAACAUAUGAUUAAUGAACCAAUGCAUAUGAACUCCAUACCCAACUAGGUCCAUUCCCUGAGGGACCAUCCCAUCCAACAUGAGCCACAUGCUUAACAUCGGUCGGGUACCCAAUUUCCAAUUCCCGCUCCUUCACAACUGAAACAAGACAAAUUUCCUAGCUUAGCCCAAACAAUGAGUUAAAAGUCGUUUUGGUCUCUAAAUGUUGUGAGACGGUAUCGUUAUAGUUUGUGAAUGUAUCAAAACCUCAAAGAUCUCCUUCGAUGUAUCUUCUAUUAAUAACUAUAUAGAUCAAACUAACAAAUGAAAGACACGUCUGAUACCUAAACCAACUAACAGAAGACACGUUUAAUGACCAAAGUGACUAGCAAUAGACACAUAGAGAAUGUUUUUGUAAUUUUGAUAUAUUCAAGAACUAUAAUAAAACCGUCUGACAUAUAGAAGGAUCCAAACAAUAAAACAAAACCCAAAAAGCAUAGAAAACCAAAUACAUUAAUUGGAGGGUGUGCAACAAAAGUUACCAAAUAUCUGAGUAAUGUAUUUCAAACUCUUGUAAAAUCCUUUAAAAGUGGUUGCCAUGGUGAAGAUCACAAGCCCAAUAAUGCAGUAUGAGGGGAAGUAAAGACACAAAAUUGAGCUUUGUUGUAUAUAAUGCUCAAUUCCAAAAACUGUGUGUAGAGAGUAUCAGCUAAGGUUUCAUUGCAUGUGAUGUGAUUCAGGAACCUCUUUUUGUUUUCCUGUGAAUAAAGAUAGGCAUCUGAAUGAAUAUAUUGAAUACAAAGAGAUGCUAAUAUUACUCAUUAAUAUUAAAACUUCAAUUUCAAACAGUUUUCAGUAUAAAACUUUAUAAUUUUCAAUUUCUACAUGAAAAAAAAAACAGUAAUAAUAAUAAUAAUAAUCCUAAUAAUAAUAAUAAAAAUAAUUAUAUUAUAAUUAUAAUUAUAAAGUAGAGUACCUGAAGAGAAUUAUGAUGAAAAUGCUAAUAGAAGUUCAGCCAUUGUUUCUGGGUUCCAUUCAUCAAUAUUCUGAAACUUUGCUGACACAUGUGAAGGCAGAAAAUCUCUGCAUAUAAAAGAGAAUGAAGAAAAAAUGAAAUGGGUUUCUGAAAGUUGAGAUUUUGAUUGGUGGGUUAUGAUAUUCUAGUGAAUUGGAACUAAGAGGUGGAAGAAUGAUGGAAAAGAGAGGAUUGAGAAGGGUUUGACUCUAGGAGAUGGAGAAUAGAAGAAGGUGGGUAUCCAUGAAUAAAAGUUUGCAAACUUGUGAAUAAAUAGUGAGAGAAAAAAAUUAUAGAGAGAGGGAAGAAAAGGACAUGGUAAAAUAAAAAGGAUAAAAUGUAACAACUGUGUGAGAAAAAAAAAAUGUAAAAAGAGGAAGAAAAUUAAAAUUUUGAGAUCCAUAAGAAAAAAGUUAAAAUAUGAAAUGGAGAUAUGAGAUCUAUAUCAAAAGUAACAUAAAAUAUGACAAUAUAUAUUUUAAAACAGAAAAAAUUAUUCCAAAAUGGAAAGCAUAAUCCAGGUUUAUAUACUCUCCAUUUUUUCAAAGAGAGAGGCAAUAAGAAAUUGGUAAGACUUGUUUUUUUUUUUUUGCUAAUACAAUUUUAAGGGUAUUUAUUGAGGAAUUUAAAAUUAGAAAUUUUGUGUUAAAUAUAAUUUUUUUUUUAAAUUUUAAGAGUUAUUAAAUACACAAUUUUUGAAAUAAAUUUUCUAUAUUUAAUUUCUUAACAUUUGUUAUUAGAUCAAAUCACAUUACAUUAUCAAUUUUUCCUGUUAGUGCUUAAACAUUUACAAUUUGUGAUUAGAUAUAUGUAGAAAAAAAAUGAUGUUGUUGAUCAAUUCUUUUUUACAAUCAAAUAAAGUGUAUAUAAUAUUAUCCAUCAAUGUCAAAUUAAAAAAAAUAAUAAAAAAUAGUGUCAAAUUGAAUAGAUAAUAAUGAAUAAAAUCACAUAAUAAAUAGAUCACAUAUUUUUAAACUAAUUAUAAAUAAAAGAGCUGUAACAAGAAAUUAAUAUUUAUAUGAUUAAAUAUUGAAUAUGUAAUAUGUAAUAUAAAAUCAAAUAAAAUCAUAUAUGGUUCAUUUGAAUUUUAAUAUUUGUAUUGAUAAAUUUUAAUUAAAUGCACAAAUCUUUUUAAGCAAAGAGCAGCAGAUUAAAUAAAAAAGAAAACAAUAGAUUAAAAUGAACAAUUUAGAGUGUAUGGAUGUUUAUAAUACUAGCUCUAAGAUUAAUACUAAUAAUAUUAUUUGAUUUAACUUUUUUCUCUUAGUUUUUUCUUUGUAUUUUUUUCUCCUUUUCCUAAAUUAGGUUAUGUCCUUGAUGCUUCCUUAUUUUCCUUUACUUUUUUUUUGGUUUUAUUAUUUUCCUUUGUUUUAAUUAUGUCCUUUUAACUCAUUCACAAAGAAAAGUACUUUUAACUUAUAAAAAAAAUUAAAUGCACAAUCAAAUUUGGAAAGUUAUUUUAAAAAUGAGAUCCAAUACAAUGCAUGGUCCUGUGUUAUAUCAAUAAAUAAAUAAAAGUUAAAUAUGAAAUCCAAUAUAAUUUAUUUGCAUAAUAUAUAUUAGUUAAGAUAAAAUUUAUUGAUACCGUAAUAUCAAAUUUAAUAUUUUUUAAAAUUCGCAACUGGAUUAAAAGUUAUUAUCAUAUAUGGAAAAUUUAUAUUAAUAUAAAAUUAUUUAAUAUAUUUUAAAAUUAAUGUUUUAUAAACUUUUAUGGAAUGAGUUAAUUUUUAUAUAAUAUGUACAUAUUAAAUGAUUUUAUAUUAAUAUCAAAUUUUAUAAACAUGACAUGUGUGAUAGUAGUUUGUACAAACAAAUUAAUAUUAAAAAUGAAGUUAAUAAACUUAUCAUGUUAUUUUUUUCUUUUAUACUUUAUAUUUCUGUUGGGUUAGAUCUAUAUCCCCAUAUUUUUGUCUUUCUUUCAUUUUAAUGUAAUAUAGCUUAUAAUAUUUUAUAAUAUAAAUAUUUUAAAAAGCAGAACAGUUGAUAUAAAAGCAAUUUUUUUCUCUAGAUGUCAACUCUUCUUUGAAUUGAAUUAUAAGCUCUAUUCAUUCAUUUUCCUUCCUAUUCUAAUUAUAUUUAUUAAUACAUACAAUAAUUCAAUUAUAAUUAUAAUUCAAAUCAAGACAAAACAAAAUUGAAUAAGAUCACUUGAUCAUUUAUCAAUAAUUGAUAAUACAUAUUUCAUUAAUAUUAUAUACUAAAAAAAAUAAUAUAAUUUAUAAAUAUAAAUAUCUUCAUAAAAUAAAAACAUUUUCAAUCAAUUUAUUUUUUAAAAUAGUCAAUGUUAAUAUUAAUAUGAUAGUAUGUAUUAUUUUAAUUUGUUAGUAAUAUGUUGAGGGUGGGAAUCAAUCCUUAACUUAUUUUCUAUUAACAUUGUAUGUCCAAUCAACAUAACUAUAAAAAUUUACGUCUUUAUUUCUCUAUUCCAUUUUCUUUCACUCCUUUUAUAUAAGGAAAGUGUCAAUAGUUGCUUUUCCAAAAUUCUAUCAUCUUAUUUAAUUUCUACCUUGAAAAAAUAUACCAUUCUACUUUUUAAAAUUUAUUAUUUUUAUUUUUUACUUUUUUUUUCUCAUGGAAUAUGUUCUUGGUAAAUAUUAAUUAUUUCUUUAAAAUGAGUAUCAAAACUUUGUUUUCGGACAUUGUUUUCCAAGUUUCUACGUUUUAAAUUUAAACUAUUAUUACAUCCUAUUCUUUUUCAUAAAACAAAACUAAUAUUUGACAUGAUAGGAUUUUUUGUUUCUUACUUCCUAAACUAGCUAAAAUUAUGGGAAUACGGCUCAGAAAUCUUAGUAAUGUGGGACACCAAUAAACUAUGUAGCAACGUAUGAUCAAAUAUAGCGUCACGAAGAUUUCGACGAAUGAAUCUAAUAAUUAUAUCCGUUUGAUUCAGGACUUCAUAUUGUCACAAAAGGGUAGACAAACGAUCAUAGGACGGGAGAAUGAAGAGAGAGGGGGCAUAACAGUUAUAUUUUUUACUUUUUAAAAUAAUAAUUCAAAUAAAUUGAUUUAAUAUAAAAUUGUCAAGAUAUAGGAUUGUUUUGAUAGAUAAAAUGUAAGAAUUAAAUAAUUAAGUGAAAAAAAUGUAUUUAUAACCUCAACAAAAUCUUAACAAUAUUAAUUAGAUAAUUGAAGAUAUAAUUUAUAGACUUGAAGAAAAAAACAUUUUCAACAGAUUUUAUAGUUUUUAGAGGAGAUAUAAUAUUAAAUUAAAGUAAAUAAACGAGAUAAGAGGGAAAAAAAUCAAGAGAGAUAGAAAAUUGAAGAGAGUGCCGUAGAAAAAUUUGCAUAAACAAAUCCAACAUGUUUGCAUUCCAAAAUUAUAAAAUAGCAUAUUAAAUGCUAUUUUUAUUGUUGCCCAAUCACAAUAUGACAAUAGGGAUCACAAACAACACUUCAAUAACUUAACACUCAAAUUCCUUUCUUUUAUACAAAAUCCACUUAAUAAUUAUUUUUUCUAAAUAAUUUUCAGCAAAACUCACGCACACGUUAAAUACGUAAAGGAGGGGGUAUUACAAGAUGGAACAUGUAUCUCAACAUAUAUGUUUCAUUUACAAGAUCAUUUAUGAGUACUCUAAGGAGUAAACUAUGACAUUAAUUAAGACCUCAAAAUUAUGAGUGUUGAACAAUUUAGAUCUUCAAAAUAUACGGAUUAUUAAAAAUCUUUAAAUUGAAUUGCUUCAAUCAAAUUGUUCAUUCAAUUAAUUAGUUCUUUUAAAUGUGUUCAUGUAUUAUGUUAAAUAACACAAUAACUUAUACAUGUGUAAAUUAAGUCAUAUAGAAUAUUUUUACGUCUAUCAAUUAUAAUUUAUAACAUUCUGAUUGGUCGGAAACCAAAUUUAUAAUCGAUUGAAAAUCAAAUUUAUGACUGGUUGGGUCAGCCUAAAAAAUCAUUAAUCAAUAAAAAUCGAGAAAAUCAGUUUGAAUUACGUUAGAUGGGUCGGAUUACUGAACUGUAAUUGGUUUUAGAAAACCGCUCUGUUUUUUAAAACCCUCAAAUUUUUUACUAUUGCAAAUACAAUUUUUUAUUUUUCUAAAUCUCUAUUCUUUCUUUGUUCCCUAAUUUGCAAAUCUAAAAAAAUGAUUGAUAGUAACAUAUUUUUAUUCCCUAAUUAAUAAGGGUUCCAUUUUCACGUUGUCCGACUUGACUUAGACAUAUACAAGUCACAAUGUUACCCUAAAAAAAUAAAUAUUUCAAAAUUAAUGAGUUAUUCCUCCAUUAAUUAGUUUAAUUGUUUAAUUAGACCACUCUCUUAGAAUUAUUGUGACAAGUGUGUCACUUUAAGAGAUAAAUGUGAGAGCUUACUCAUAAAUUCUGAAUCAAAGUUCACUAUAGUUAUUAAAUAAAGUCGGUAAAUAUUUGACUCAUUUGAUUUUAACUAAACGUUUCAAAUUUUAAAUUCAGUAAAUUAAAUUUUAAAAAUUAAAAAUCAAAAGCUACUUGAGUUUAUUUUUUCACUCAAAGUGAAAAUGCAACCACAUAAUAUAAUUUUUUUCACGAGGAUCCUCCAUGUGUUGGCUUAAUUUUUUUAACAAAGAAAAAAAUUUUAAGUUAAUAAAUAAAUAAAAAUAAAUUAUAUUAAUAAAAUCAGCCAGACAUUAUGUUAAAACGAAUAAUAACAUUGUUGCGUAGAUGUGUCAAGUAUGUGUCAACUAAAACCUACUGAAAUAUUAUAACAGCUGCUCUCUAUUUUACAUCAUAUUGCACAUAAACUAGCAAUUUCAUAACUAGCAAUUUCAUAUUACAUCAUAUUGCACAUAAACUAGCAAUUUCUCUUAUUUUGCAGCCUAAUAAAUAUAUAAAAAAAACUAAAUGUAUUAAUAAAAUCAAAUAAAAUACAUUCAAUAAAGGAAAAAAUACAUUACAUGAAAAAAAAAAAAUCAAAUCAUAAUUAACCUUGUCCACCUUAAUUUACAUGAAAAAAAAUACAUCAAAUUUUAAUUAACUCUGUCCACGUAAUUAUUUUUUUAUUGAAAGUGUUUUUUAUUUAUUAACAUGCAAAAUAAAAGAGAAAAUAGGGGUUUUUUAUUUAUUAACAUGCAAAAUAAGAGAGAAAAUAGGGGAGUGCUUAACAAAUUAUGAUGGAGUUGUUAAUUUAUUUAUAAUAUAUUGUAAAAUAGAAGAAAUUUGUUAAAAUAUUAUAACGCAUUUGACUCUAUUAAUUUUAAUAAUUUUUUAUUUAAUAUAUUUUAUUUGAUUUUAUUAAUAUAAUAUAAUUUAUUAUUUUUAUUUGAUGGAAUAAAGUUGUUAAUUUAUCUACGACAUAUAUUACAAAAUAAGAAUGAAUGGUUAAAAUAUUAUAGCAUAUUAAUACAUUAUUCAAUUACAUAGAAUUCUUUUCGUUCAUGUAAUAUAUGUAACGUAAUUUAUUUGAUUUUAUUAAUUUAAUAUUCUUUUAUUAAUUAAAAAAUAAAAUCAAUACUUUAUCGUACUUCAUGAUGCAACUCUCUUUAAGAGAAAAGAAUAAUUUUUGUGGCAUGGCAGUCUUAAAACCUCAUGAAUUUUUUAGAGUGGAAAAAUACCCUGUACUUGACAUCUGACUUAUUCAAUUUAAUCGAACCGGCACGCAAGUGAGUUCAAAAGAGAAAGGUUUGAAAAUCCAUAACUAACCCCUCGAUGAAGGAGUUAAUUCUGUGCGACCUUUCCAAUCAAAACGGCAAUCGUCACCACUAAGCUCUCUCUUUAUCACUCCACGUUACUAACUAACUCCUUCCUUCGCUCCACAUUUUAGCAAACAACCGCUAAUACAAUGGAGCUACAAACAUUACUCUCAUCCCUGGGUAUCGACGACAUUUACUUCUCUGUCGUUUCCGAUGACGAAAAUAACCCUGUCCCUGUCUCCGAUGACGAAAAUAACCCUGUCCCUCUCUCCGAUGAUAAGUACGCUGAAGCCUUACAGUUUCAAGAAGCCUUAAUGGCCUCUCUCAUCACUGAUCAUCAAAACUCCUCUUUCUCUUCCUCCUCCUCCUCACCACCACCGCCGCCUCCAGCAUUGCUCUGUAUAGCCUCUCUCAUCACUGAUCAUCAAAACUCCUCUUUCUCUUCCUCCUCCUCCUCACCACCACCGCCGCCUUCGGCAUUGCCCUGUAUAGCAUCUUCAUCAAAGUCUAUUGUUGAUGUUACUGUUCUCCCCAAAAUGAAGUUCGCGACCGAAGAAGCAAGUGAGUCGUCUUCAAUAAUCAUUUGCGAAAUUUGUGCGGAAGCGAAGAUGGUUGAUGAAAUGUUCAAGAGCCAGAAAUGUUACCAUUCGUUUUGUACUGAAUGUGUAACAAAACACGUGGCAACAAAAAUCCAAGAAAACAUUACGGUUGUUCCUUGUCCUGGUUUGAAUUGCAAGGGUUUGUUGGAGCUUGAUGUUUGUAGAAGUUUGCUUCCAAAAGAAGUAAUUGACAGGUGGGAUGAUGCCUUGUGUGAGGCGCUUUUACUAUCUGUUCCUAAAUUCUAUUGUCCCUUUAAGGAUUGUUCUGCAAUGUUGCUUGAUGAAAAUGAAGGUGGAGAAGAAAUCAGGGAAUCUGAGUGUCCUUUUUGUCAUAGAUUGUUUUGUGCAACGUGUCAUGUUCCUUGGCAUCCUAGUGUUGAUUGUGACGAGUUUCAGAAACUUAAUGUGGAUGAGAGAGGAAUUCAAGAUCUUCUUGUUAGAGAGCUUGCUAAUCAGAAAAAAUGGAAAAGGUGUCCCAAAUGCAAAUUCUACAUCGAAAAAUUUGAAGGCUGUUUGCAUAUCACAUGCAGGUGAGUGGCAUUAUUAUGUUUUUAUAUUUAUAUUUAUCUUAGGCGGCUUAAGUCAUCUUUGCAAAAUGAAACAGGAAGGAUGGACCACUCUUUCAUAAACUAUUUUUAAGCCUUAUUAUUUUCAAGUAUUAUUAUUUUUGAGUAUGAGACUUGAUUAGCUUGAAUAUAAAUGGUGCUCGAUAGAUUGAUUUUCAUAAGUUUUUAUAUUGAACUUAGGUCAUUCGAACAAAACUAGCUGUUAAAGGGAAGGGUUUAAGUUUUUGAGUUUAGUGAGUUUGCGAUAUCAGUGUAAAACUACAUUGUGUUAUCAUCCAACAACCACCCUUUAUUGUAGUAGUGUAAAAGUUCCAUGAUAUUUUAAAAUUAAUGGCUCUUAUUGACUGGUAGUGUAAAAUUUGUUUACAUCCACGGUCUAUUUUCUCUAGGUUUUUAUUUAUUAUUUUUGGAAAGGAAGGAAACCAUAUCACUAAGUCAGUUUUCUUCACAACUAUACAACUCUUUUUUUGGAAACAUAACAAAAGGGAAGAAAAAAAAUUGUUUGCUUUUUAAACACGAUCAUGCAGUUUUUGAGUUUAUCAUCAAAAGGGUAAUUAUGUGUAAAAAGAAAAUAGUGUAAUUUAUUUUUUGACUUGAAUUGUGAAUAAGAAUAAGCCGGUGGUGUUUAUUUGCAGGUGCCGUUUUGAAUUUUGCUAUGCUUGCGGUGAAAAAUGGACAUCUAACCAUGGUGGUUGCCAACGAAACUAGAUAGAUUUGACAGAUUUAAUAAAGAAUGAUAGUGUAUGAGUAUCACUAUUAUUUCUGAUUUUCAUGAAGUAGGUAGUUUGUUGGUCGUCUUGACGUGGAUGUCACGAUUAUUAGCUAGUUUAGUAAGACUUUUUUUUUAUGCUUGUAAGAAAAAUAUGUUGCGUGGUCCUUUUGAAAGUAUACAUGCUAAGUUGCUAUUGCUUAACAUGAAUCAUGGAUGUCUUCAUGCAUGUCUUGAUCUUACUCCUGUUCUGAUGUUUAUGUUGGUCUUACACUCUUCUUCUACCCAGUUGUUCACGUUAGAAUAAUCUUCUCGAGUUCUAACAUUUCCUUCUGUUAUUAAGAAUUGUAACAAAACCAGCAGUGACGCUAUAAUUGUCAGGCUGCAACUGGGCGUUAAGUUUCGCGCCUUUGCACCAAUGCACUGUCAAUUGGCAUAUCAUUAUGUGAUUUCCUGUCAAAUAAAUUUUCUGAAAUUUCUACUUAGUUUUGUUUUUUUUAUAAAGGAUCGGAUGCCAACUAGUAAUGUUUUGUGGUAGCCAUUUUUAGAGGAUGCCAUGAUAGCUCAACCCUCAAAUUAAGGGUUAUCAAUAUAUUCCAGUUCUCUUAAUUUUAGUUUUGAUGAAAUAAUCGAUAUGGCACCAUAGUGGGUUAUGUUUUGACUCAUUACCUCUAGAAAAGGCUUUUGGACCGUGCAAAACUUUGCUGAAUACUGCCCCGUAUGCAAAACUGUGCUGAAUCAAUCAAUUAGCUAUGCUACUCCACUAUGACACCACUUGGAGUAUAAAACAAAAGAGACAUGUGUCCUAAUGUUGACGCACAUGUUAAUGAUUUAAAUAAACAUGUGCCCCAAUGUUAAGGCACAUGUUAAUGAUUUCAACGUAAAUUUUUGUCUUAAACUUGAGUUAUCAACUCUAUAAAACUUCAAACAUUAUGUUUUUCAAUAAAAAAAAAGUGCCUUUUAAGACCCAUGUUUGUAUGGCCAAAAACAAAAUGCUCUUAGUACUAGUUUCUUUUGGAUUACCCCAUCAGAUGUCAAAGCAUAACACCCCUUUAUUUCUCUUACAAUUUAUAUUCCCUUCACUAAGCAUUCCUCACAUCAACUUUGAAAUGUAUGACAAUACCAAUUACAAAGGCGACUAUAUUUUUUAAGGGGUCUCUACCAAUAUUAAUCAAAUCAUGAUGCCUCAACAAAACAAUGGUGUCAGAGUUAUAACUGCUGGCAGAUGCAGCCGCAUAACUCUUUAAAAUUAUGUCUAGCGGUAAAAUGAAACCGGUGUCAGCCAGUUUUUGCAGGAGUGAACAAUGAAGCAGCUCUCAAUAAAAAAACCUUAUUCUUUCCGAGGAAAACUGUAUGUCUGUUUGCUAUGGCAUUGUUCCGGGUUAAAGGAAAUAUCACUUGCUAGAGGCUCAGUUGAACAACAUCAAAAUAUUAAACUUGCUAGGAAAAGGGAAGAGAAGAAAAGAGACGAGAAAGCAAUGAAAUGAAAAUAGAAGCUACAGAGAUUAGGGUACAAGCAGAAGGCCCUCCAAAUGUGCUUAAAACAAACCAUUUAACAGUAGGCAAUUGGGAUUAAAUUGAAUGAACAAAAAAACUUGUGUUGUUGCAAGAAACAUGUUUUGUUCAGGAUGAUAUUAAACUUACCAACUAAAUUCUAGAAAGCACUACGAUGUAUCUACCACAUGCAUUGCAAUCAAUUAUGACAAACAAGUUGAAGUAACAAGCAAUUUCAUAACAUUCUCGAAAAUAAAAUUUUAAUCAACCACAAAACUCAACUUGAAAUUGUAUCUUUCAAUUUCCAUUUUCAGAUCCAGCUUAAGUUCCUACUGGUUAAUUGAAAUAUCAAAAUCAAAAGUAAUGUGAAAAUCAACACAAGCACAUUGAAAGGGAAGUUCAAUACACACCCAUGAAACAAGGUCGACAUAAAUAUGUUCAAAAGCUUUUGAUUACAAGACAAGAAUCCAAACCUACAAAACUACUGUGUUGGACAACACUAUGCCCAACACUAACAUACUGUUGUUAAUCAUUUAACACAAGAUUCAAUAGGUUUGUGUAUCAGAUGAUCAGAAGAUUCAAGACAUGAUAUAUUUCCAGACCCAAGUAUAGUGUGUAUCAGAAAUUGUUAUCUAUUCCUAUUGCUUUUAAUUUUUCAGGAUGAUAUCAAAAUAGAACUUGUUAAUACCCCACUCCCGGUAGAACUAACCACCAAAACGAUGCUACUCACUUUUUUUCACUCACUGCCAAGAUGCAUGUGCAGAUGCCUUUGUUAUUAAGGGUUUACUUGGCUGAGUAGGUUGAAAACGGGAAGGUGAGACCUUGGAAUGAAAAUCAUUUUAUGUCUUGUUUGGUAUGACAAACAAUGAAAAGGAAAUCUACUAUUUUACCUUGGGUUAUAAAAUGUCAUUUUCACCUUCCCAUUUUCCUCCUACUCAACUAGACAGACUAAAAGUGUGAAAUAGGAGAACUUGGAUCAUCAAACACGUUGGCCAAAGACUGAGGCAUAAAACGUUAACUAUAAAAACCAGUCUAGCAGGGGAAUUUACAAAUUCUAUCUAAUACCAAUAACAUCCAGGUUUUCAGGAAACUUCACAAAAUAACAAGCAAUGAGCAAAGUAAUAGUAAAGCAAUUUUCGGAUUAGAAGGGAGGUCAACAAUUGUCUCUUCUUCAACACAAUGUAUCAUAAUACAAAUGCAGGCAUGACCAUGGUAAUUAUCACAAUCCACUGUACUAGGCCGCAGAAUUAAGCAGGUACUUCGACUAUUGAACGAAAAUUAUAACAAAGAUUUUAGGAAAAUAACACGUUUUGAAUCGCAAUUUUGGAUAAGUAAAUUAACCUAAAAGAAAAUACAUCAGUAGAAGAGCAUAUCAAAUAGUUUAACAAAUAAUAAUCCGUGACGAUACUGCCAAGGAUACAUGUUGUGAGCCAAAGCAUGAUCGUACUAUUAUCCGUAUUACCUAAACUUCUGGUUUUGUCAAAACUAUUUAGAGACAACAAAAUUAGGAUAUUCUAAGGGACUGUUUGGUUCAACGUAGGGGAGGGGGGAUUUUAAAAUCUUUUGUCUUUGGUUUAACAAGGGGAGGGAAGAGAUCUUAAUAGAGGAUAGUGUAAAAUUACAUAUUCAACCAUUGUAAUAUUUAAGAUCACAUUAAAUAAAAGCCUACUUAAAUCCAAAUAUGAUAUAAAUACUUUCUCCCCUCUAGAUCCCCCCACUCUUGGAGGGGAGCUAAAAUUGGGAUUUGGCCCCCCUCCCCUCCCAACCAAACACAAUUGGAAGUAGUAAGCAACUCUGGACAUAUGGUUAUUUUUGGUCAACAGAAUUCUCUCCUCCAAAAGUGCUAAGUGGAUCAAAUUUUGGUCAGGAUAAGCAACUUAAUAUAUAUCUAUGGGUUUAACAAAACCUACUUCCUUGAUUUUCUCAUUCAUAGCUACACCCCAAACUUCAGACAAAUGGCUAUAUCUCUCUUGGACUUGCACAAAAAUACAAGUCUCUACAUAACCAGUUUUAAGGGCGCAACUUAAUACAGAUGUAACAAUCAACAGAACAGCAUAAUGUCAGAAAUAAAAAUGACUGCAACACGAUCCAAUUAACACUACGCUAACCAUAACAAAUCCAAACAAAAUGUACUCUAUUAUAAAAAUUCUUCAAUACUAAAAUUCCAGCUCAAAUCUGUGCCACUGCCACAAAAGGGCAAUGCCAAGCUACAUAUAAUCUCUGGCAAAAGUUCUAGCAUAACAUAAAACAUCCUUUUCUGUAAGAUUUAAGAUUACGGAAUGGAAAGAGUUUAACAAACCUCAAAAUUCAGUUCCAGCUAGAAGGCCAAUACCCAUGAAUCCCAUAACCAGUCUUCCAAUUAUUCAAAUAAACAACCUGCUUCACAGCCAAAAAACAAACCAACAGAGCAAAAAUCAUAACCACCCUCUGCACAGUUACACUUUUGAUCUUAACAAGACCAUGAGUCGUGAAAGCCAAAAGCAAACCAACAAGUGUGUACAAAAAUCCCACAGUAAAACCCUCAGCACCAAGUUGCAUCCCAGAUCCCUGAUAGAAAAACACAAGCUUCGAAGGAUCGUUGCGAUCGGCGAGAAACAUAGGCAUUUUCCUUAUAAUAUUAUGCAUUGCACCAGAAACACUGAAAAAAUAAACAAAAACAGAACCCGCUAACCAAACCCUUGGGUCAUGCAACAGUGUUUGACCAGUCAAAAGCUUCUUAACGAAAAAAGAGAACCAGAUCAAGAACCCUAACACGAGUAUGAUGAUUUUGUUUGUGGAUAAAAUCGGAGGUCGAUGAAUGGGUCCCACGGAGAGUUUCGUCUUCGAUUCGACGAAUUCAGCCAUGGAUUCAGCGAGCCGAGAGUAAUCACUUUGAUCCAUUGAUUCUGAAUCCUUGAAUCCAUGUGUGGGACCGACGAUACGAAUGUGAGGGAGAGCAUUGACGCCGAAUUGCGAGAAACUGAGUUGCGAUUCUCUGAAUUCGAUGUCGCAAAAGAAGAGUUUGGAAAUAGAGGAAUGGUUUUUGUUGUUGGUGAUGAAUGAAGAAGAGAGCAGGGAGAAUUCUUUGUGGAGUUCUGUGAGACGGAGUUCGGUUUUGUCGUGAAGUUGAGACGCGUCGAAGAAGAUGAGAAGGGAAUAAGGUCUUGGGGUUUUGACGGAGGUUAUGUAACGAGCGAGGGAUUGGUCGUUGAGACGGAUUAUGCCUGAAUUGGAUCUUGAUUGGAGUGAGAGAAGCUCGCUUGUUCGUUCUUCGUUUGAUUCGGUGGCAAAACAUAGAGAGAUUAUGACGGUGAGGAGGAUGCAGAAUGUCGUUGUUGGAAGGUUGAGAUGAGAAGCCAUGGUUGGUGGAGCGGAGAAAGGGAAACGGAAAAUGAGAGGAAGGGUUUUUUGGAUGGAGGAAGAGAAGAGGGACGGAGGGAGGGAUAGUGUGGAAUUUUGAGAAGACUUUUCAGAAAUCUACUUCACUCCUCCAACAACAACACGUCAUAAUUCUCAUUUUAAUUCAUUUUAUUUUGUAAAUUACUCUAUUUAUCAAUUUUUGUUACAGUUUUUUGCAUUAUUACACGAAUUUAGUGUUCAUAAUAUGUUAAAUAUUCUAAAAUAUAAAUUAACAAAUAUUUGUUCAAAUUCUUUUGUGUCUUAAUCUUUUCAUUCUCAAUAAAAAAUUAUGUUUAGAAUUUCAUUGAAGUUUAAUUAAUUAAAUUUAUACGAUUUUUAUUGUAGAGGUGCUUGAAAAAACUAAUUAAAUAUUUUAAAUAUUAAUUUUGCCUUGUUUUAAUUAACUUUUCAAUAUGGAGAUAUUUUGGUUACUUUUUUGCAUUCAACUUAUUUUAAUUUUUCUACACCAAAAAUUAUUUCCAAAAUAUUUAAAGAAAAAUUUAUAUGAUUAAAGAAUAUUGAUAUAUAUUUUUUAAAUUAGAUCCUUUUUUAUUAAAAUGACACUAAAAACAUUUGCAAUGUAGGAAACUUAACUGUUUCAUACUUUCUAAAUGUCAUCCCUUAAUCUUUUUUUUUUAUCAUUAGAGUGUGUAUGUGACAAUUGAGAUAAGGCAUUGGUGUUUAAGGAACUUAAUUACUAAAAACAAGUUUUUAUUUUUAAAUCUCUACCAGAAAAAGUGGAAAACAUAUAAAAGUGGGGUUAAGUAUGGGUUUUUAUCGUAAAUUACAUUUGGAGUAAAAUUUGUAAAGUUAUUUAUAGAUUACUUAAAUGUUAUGUUAAACGGUAGUUGCUUAAAUAUAAGAUAUUUGGGUUUAAAGAAUUUAAUUAUUAGAAACAAGUUUUUAUUAUUGAUUUUCUACUAUAAAAAUUGGAAAGCAUUAGUAUAAGUUAUUUAUUGUAAUCACCUUUCGAGUAAAAUUAGAAAAAUUGUUUAUAGAUUAGUUAAAUGUUACGUAGUAACUGAGGGUUAUUUUAGGAUUGUCACUAAAGAAAUUUAAACCAUAUUUUUUAAAAUUAGAAAAUCAUAUUCUACCUGUAGAAAUGAUAUAAUAUAGUUAUAAUAUUAAAUAAUAUUACUAUUAUUAAAUAAGAGAUACACGAUUGAUUUUUUGCUUAUAUUUAGUUUAAAAUAUAUCUCAUUUUUGUUUAUUAAUUUAUAUCCUAACCGUGUAAUUGUAAAAUUUAUGUCUUGAGUUCCUACAAAACAUAUUUUAGUAGACAAACAAGAAAUGUCCAAAAAAAUAUAAAGAUAUUUAUUCAAAGUUUAUUUUCAUAACACGUGUUUAUAUUUUGAACUGAAUGGUAGUUAUCUAUGGCUUGACUUUACUUGGAUAUUAGUAUGCUGGUAGAUUGGGUACACCAUUUAUCUUAUUCUAUUGUCCUACUUAGUUCGUAGAUUGCUACAUGUUCUGACAAUUUGUUUGUCUAAAUACAGAUAUGAAAAAACAUACUCUGAAUGGAUAUUAGUAUGCUGAUAUAUUGGGUACACAAUUUAUCUUCUUUUCUUGUCCUAAAUAGUUUGAAAAUUACUACAUGUUCUAACAAUUUGUUUGUCUAAACCCAUAUAUGAAAAAACAUACUCUGAGUGGAGAUUAGUAUCCUGAUAGAUUAAGUACACCAUUUAUCUUCUUCUCUUAUCCUAAAUAGUUCAUAAAUUGUUACAUGUUCUGACAAUUUGUUUGUCUAAACACAUAAAAAACAUACUCUGAGUGAAUAUUAGUAUGUUGAUAGAUUGGGUACACCAUUUAUCUUCUUCUCUUGUCCUAAAUAGUUCAUAAAUUGUUACAAGUUAUGACAAUCUGUUUGUCUAAACACAUAUAUGAAAAAACAUACUCUGAGUGGAUAUUAGUAUGCUGAUAGAUUGGGUACACCGUUUAUCUUCUUCUCUUAUCCUAAAUAGUUCGUAAAUUGCUACAUGUUAUGACAAUAUGUUUGUCUAGACAUGUAUAUGAAAAAAAAAAUACUCUGAGUGGAUAUUAGUAUGGUGAUAGAUUGGGUACACCAUUUAUCUUCUUCUUUUGUCAUAAAUAGUUCGUAAAUUACUACAUGUUCUGACAAUUUGUUUGUCUAAAUACAGAUAUGAAAAAAUAUACUCUGAGUGACACAAGUAUGAUCACUUCAUUCGCAUUUUCUUUAUUCAUUAUUGAGUCCAAAUCACAAGAUGGAGAAAAGCAAAUGAAAAUAAGCUAAAAACUGAAUUGAUUUAAUUGUAAACUUUAAGCAUAAACAAUGUGUAUCAACAGUGUGAUUCAACCGAAGCCAAAACAAGUUGAGGUUCUUCCAUUGCAGAAUCGCAUGUUCCAUCAAUUGCAUUGUUCUUCCCCAAUACCUUCAAUGCUAAAUGAGCUGCCUUCUGCCCUGAUAUCAUCAUAGCUCCAAAUGUUGGACCCUACAAAAAUCACCAACAAAAGCGUGAUCACAUCUUAAUCAAAUGUUUCUUACCAUCUUCAAGUUAAUUGCACUAAAAUCAAUUAAUUUGCACUUGAAAAGAUCUAAAAAAAACCUGAUAUUAAUUUUCACAUUACUUUAAUCACUUCUUAAAUCAAAGAAGGUUCAAGAAACAACGAGCAACAACAUGUGAAGAGGUAAAAAAAAGGGUUGGAAAGAACAAGAUCAGCUACUAUUAGAAUUAGACAAAUGAUUAACGUGCCAAUUUGUACACAGAUGAAGAGCAGUGUCUUCCCUCCUCUUUUUUCACUUAAGAAAGGAAAAUUAGAGAGGUAAAUUAAAUUUCAAAGAUUAUUAUGGAAGCUCAAGCUUAUAAUUUAGUUUGAUGAAUAAGUUUGUUUGUUUUAUUUCUUUUAUUGGUUGGUUAUUAUUAUUAUUCCAACAAACUAUGUGUUGUUGCCUUUGGUGUAGAAUAGGUGUUAAUUUGGAUGGAUCUGAGAAAAUUAUUACAAUGUAAAUCCUGACUUGUAUAAUCAUUGGAUUGUGCAUGCAUUGCAUUGGAGUUGGCAUCAUCACUAAAGCCAAAAAUAUGUUUCUGCUUUGUCUGAAUAGCUGACCAAGAAGGAGGAGAUAUUUCACAUGAUAGAUGCAGAGUUGUUCUGCAUGUGAGUCCCACAUGAGCAUCUAACAUCCACAAACAUUUGAAUCAGAGGAUGCUAUAUCAAUUAUUAUCAAAUUAAUAUCUGUGAGUUUGUAAGAUUUUUCUAGGAAAACAUAAUAUAAAGACCAUAAUUUGAGUGUAUGCCUUUUGCCUUGCCCAAGUAAAUAUUUUUUUAAGAUGCCAAUUGCCAAGCAUUUGAUUUGAAACACAAAAGUUAUUAGUCAUGUGACAAGUUUAUUUUAUAUUAGCGGUGUAAAUAAUAAUAAUUUGUCCAUUCUUUUGGUCAUAUUUACGAGAAAAAAUAGAUCGAAUAAAAUUGAUGUAUUUAAUCUAAAAUUUGAAGAGAGUAUAUUUUUGUUGAGAUUUUUUUUAGAAGUUGAAUCUUGAGACUCACAGGUUAUAGUUGAGAGUUUCUUUGUGACUAUAACUAAUAGUAUAGGAUUGAAAGAAGUUUGAUACAUUAAUAUCAUAACAAAGUUUCAAGAAUAAAAGAAGCUAAUGAUUGGGAAGUAUGAAACACUAAAUUAGAAUCAACCUUUGUAUAGCACAAAGGGUUCGUUUUAGGGAUGGGGCAUAUAAACUAGGUGUGUUGAUAUUUAAAAUUAUGAUCAUUGGGAUGUGACUUAGCAAGGAAUAUUUUUGCCAAUCACUUUCAAUGACUUAUCUUUAAUCGCGAUUGGAAAUUAAAUCAUGUACAAAGACAUGUUUAGUCUGUCAGUUAUUUCAAUAGAUUAGACUCUACACCUGCAUAUACUUUAAUUUUUGUCAUAUUCCAUUCAAUACUCUCCGCUUCUUUUCCCUGUCAAUUUGAGGGUAUGGAAUGGAGUGGGAUUUCCCUAUUUUUUUUCUCUUUAAUUCUCCUCUUUAUUAUUAUAGUUUUGAGUUAUUUAAAGUUACCUAAUAUCACAUUAGCCGUUGCACUGUGUAGAAGUAGCAGGGGGUCCAUUUUCGAAAAUGGAGAGCAUAAAAAGUGAAAGAGGAUACAUUUCCGUGGAAUGUAAUCCAUACACUUUGCAUUCCAUUAUAAAAUUAUUCAAUACAAUGAUAGUUUUUUAUUCAAUUAUACUUCUUCUAUUCCAUUCCAUUUCAAUCUGAUAUUAAUAAACCUGAGUUUUCUAGCAUGAGACCGUUAUAAGUUUUUUCUUUUUUAAAAUACAUGUAGUACACUAAAACCAGAAUAUAAAACGAGUAUGAAAAACAAAAAACACCAAAAAGGCAUGAACUUUUUUAAUAAAAUAAUAAAUAAUGCCUAUACAAUGAUAACAGAACAUUCUAACUUUCAAGGAACUGAGAAUCAAAGUUGAAUGAAUCUGUUCCACCAAUCAGAAAGUACACUCCAAGUCAAAACAAUAAAUCUAUAUGCUCUUAUCAAGAGAAGGUUGAGUUGAAGUUCGACCUUCGGUUUUCGAGUUGAAAAUGAAGAAUUUCCACCAAAAUCAGAAUAAUCCAAGCACGCAAAAAAUCUUGACAAAAGGAAAGUCUUUAUCUCAAGGUGCUGGAGGUGACAAGAAACUAUUGCCGGAAGUUCUGUUGAUAAAUAUAUGCUUAAUAAGUCAGAAAACCAACAAUGGUAGAACUCAUGAUGUCAAGGAUAAAAUGUUUACUUAUUUACCUGAUGAUAAGUCCUGGUUUUCCAAUAAGAUUUGCUGGAAUUUGACCAGUCAAAUUGUUAUUUUGUAAAAAUCUGCUUACAACAAAGGAAGAGAAGAAAUUUAUGAGAACUGAAGGGUAACUAGCUGAUCUUCCACACACACUGGUAUUGCAGUGCAUUUACUGCCUCGUUUGAAGAUGUUGUCAUUCUAUUUUCAGGAAGUAAUCAAGAGAAAUAAUACUUAACCAACUAGAAGAAGCUUAUCUUUUAUUGACAAAUUUAUUAGAUUGAUUGGCAUCAAAGUAUGCAACAACUGAACAAUCAAUUCUCUUAUUUUUUCAAUAUUAUGCAUGUUUGGCUCUGAUGCUCCGUAAUCUAAACAAGUAUGGUAAGAUAAUAAGCAUGUAUUACUCAUAUAAUGAUACAACACAUAAGUAGAACUUACAUUUCUUUUAAGCUGCCAAUGUUCCCUAGGGAUGAUGAAAUCAAGAUCUUCUUGUUAGAGAGCUUGCUCAUCAGGAAAAAUGGAAAAGGUGUCCCAAAUGCAAAUUCUAUAUCAAAAAAUUUGAAGGCUGUUUGCAUAUCACAUGCAGUUAGUGAGUCGCAUUAUUAUGUUUUUAUACUGAUAUUAGGCGGCGUAAGUCAUCUUUGCAAAAUGAAACAGGAAGGAUGAGGGACCACUCUUUCAUAAGUGGUGCUCGAUAGAUGGGUUUUCAUAUGUUUUUAUAUAGAACUUAGAUCAUUCGAACAAAACUAGCUGCUAAAGCGAAGGGUUUAAGUUUUUGAGUCUAGUGAGUUUGCGAUAUCACUGUAAAACUACAUUGUGCUAACAUCCAACAACCACCCUUUAUUUUGGUAGUGUAAAAAUUCCAUGAUAUUUUAAAAUUAAUGGCUCUUAUUUACUGGUAGUGUAAAUUAAUGGCUCUUACAUCCACGAUCUAUUUUCUUUAGGUUUUUAUUUAUUAUUUUUGGAAAAGAAGAAAACCAUAUCAGGUAAGUCAGUUUUCUUCACAACUAUACAACUCUUUGUUUGGAAACAUAAGAAAAGGGAAGAAAAAAAUUGUUUGCAUUUUAAACAUGAUCAUGCAGUUUUUGAGUUUAUCAUCAAAAGGGUAAUUAUGUGUAAAAAAAAAUAGUGUAAAUUGUUUUUUUUUUUACUUGAAUUGUGAAUAAGAAUAAGCCGGUGGUGUUUAUUUGCAGGUGCCGAUUCGAAUUUUGCUAUGCUUGCGGUGAAAAAUGGACAUCUAACCAUAGUGAUUGCCAACGAAGCUAGAUAGAUUUGACAGGUUUAAUAAAGAAUGAUAGUGUAUAUGGAUAUCACUAUUAUUUCUGAUUUUCAUAAAGUAGGUAGUUUGUUGGUCGUCUUGACGUGGAUAUCACGAUUAUUAGCUAGUUUAGUAUGACGUUUUUUUUUAUGCUUGUAAGAAAAAAAUGUUGCAUGGUCCUUUUGAAAGUAUACAUGCUAAGUUGCUAUUGCUUAACAUGAAUCAUGCAUGUCUUGAUCUUACUCCUGUUCUUAUGUUUAUGUUGGUCUUACACUAUUCUUCUACCCAGUUGUUCACAUUAGAAUAAUCUUCUCGAGUUCUAACAUUUCCUUCUGUUAUUAAGAAUUGUAACAAAACCAGCAGUGACGCUAUAAUUGUCAGGCUGCAACUGGGCGUUAAGUUUCGCGCCUUUGCACUAAUGCACUGUCAAUUGGCAUAUCAUUAUGUGAUUUCCUGUCAAAUAAAUUUUCCGAAAUUUCUACUUAGUUUUGUUUUUUUUAUAAAAAGGAUCGGAUGCCAACUAGUAAUGUUUUGUGGCCGCCAUUUUUAGAGGAUGCCAUGAUAGGUCAUCACUCAAAUUAAGUGUUUCAAUAUAUUUCAGUUAUCUUAAUUUUAGUUUUGAUGAAAUAAUCGAUAUGGCACCGUAGAAGCUUUGACUCAUUACCUCUAGAAAAGGCUUUUGAACUGUGCAAAACUUUGCUGAAUACUGCCCCCUAUGCAAAACUGUGCUGAAUCAAUCAAUUAGCUAUGCUACUCCACUAUGACACCACUUGGAGUAUAAAACAAAAGAGACAUGUGUCCCAAUGUUGACGCCCAUGUGAAUGAUUUAAAUGUAAAAUUUUGUCUUAAACUUGAGUUUUCAACUCUAAAAAUUCAAUCAUUGUGUUUUCAAUAAAAAAAAUGUGCCCUUAAGACCCAUGUUAUGGCCCAAAACAAAAUGCUCUUAGUACUAGUUUCUUUUGGAUUACCCCAUCAGAGGUCAAAGCAUAACACCCCUUUAUUUCUAUUACAAUUUCUAUUCUCUUUAUUAAGCAUUCCUCACAUCAACUUUGAAAUGUACGACAAUAACAAUUACAAAGGCGACUAUAUUUUUUAAGGGGUCUCUUCCAAUAUUAAUCAAAUCAUGAUGCCUCAACAAAACAAUGGUGUCAGAGUUAUAACGGCUGGCAGAUGCAGAUGCAGCCGCAGAACUCUUUAGUUAUAACAAAGAUUUUCGGAAAAUAACACGUUUUGACAAAACUAUUUAGAGACAACAAAAUUAGGAUAUUCUAAGGGACUGUUUGUUCAACGGAGGGAGGCGGGAUUUUAAAAUCUUUUGUCUUUGGUUUAACGAGGGGAGGGAAGAGAUCUUAAUAGAGGGAUAGUGUAAAAUUACAUAUUCAACCAUUGUAAUAUUUAAGAUCACAUUAAAUAAAAGCCUACUUAAAUCCAAAUAUGAUAUAAAUACUUUCUCCCCUCUAGAUCCCCCCACUCUUGGAGGGGAGCUAAAAUUGGGAUUUGGCUCCCCUCCCCUCCCAACCAAACACAAUUGCAAGUAGUAAGCAACUCUGGACAUGGUUAUUUUUGGUCAACAGAAUUCUCUCCUCCAGAAGUGCUAAGUGGAUCAAAUUUUGGUCAGGAUAAGCAACUUAAUAGAGAUCUAUGGGUUUAACAAAACCCACUUGAUUUUCUCAUUCAUAGCUACACCCCAAACAUCGGACAAAUGGCUUUAUCUCUCUUGGACUUGCACAAAAAAACAAGUCUCUACAUAACCAGUUUUAAGGGCGCAACUUAAUACAUAACAAUCAACUUAACAGCAUAAAUUUCAGAAAUAAAAAUGACUGCAACACGAUCCAACUAACAUUACACUAACCAUAACAAGUCCAAACAAAAUGUACUCUAUUAUAAAAAUUCUUCAAUACUCAAAUUCCAGCUCAAAUCUGUGCCACUGCCACAAAAGGGCAAUGCCAAGCUACAUAUAAUCUCUGGCAAAAGUUCUAGCAUAACAUAAAACAUCCUUUUCUGUAAGAUUUAAAAUUACGGAAUGGAAAGAGUUUAACAAACCUCAAAAUUCAGUUCCAGCUAGAAGGACAAUACCCAUGAAUCCCAUAACCAGUCUUCCAAUUAUUCAAAUAAACAACCUAUUCAAAUAUACAACCCAUCACUUCAUUCGCAUUUUCUUUAUUCAUUAUUGAGUCCAAAUCACAGGCAGAAGAAAAGCAAAUGGAAAAUAAGCUAAAAACUAAAUCGAUUUAACUGGAAACUUUAAGCAUCAACAGUGUCCUCUAAUUCAACAGAAGCCAAAACAAGCUCAGGUUCUUCCCUUGCAGAAUCGCAUGUUCCAUCAAUUGCAUUGUUCCUCCCCAAUGCCUUCAAUGCCAAAUGAGCUGCCUUCUGCCCUGAUAUCAUCAUAGCUCCAAAUGUUGGACCCUACAAAAAUCAUCAACAAAAUCGUUAUCACAUCUUAGUCAAAUGUUUCUUACCAUUUUCAAAUUAAUUGCACUAAAACCAAUCAACUUGCAGUUGAAAAUAUAUAAAAAAAACCCUGAUCUUAAUUUCCACAUUACUUUAAUCACUACCUAAAUCAGAAUUGUACAAACAAGUCUAUAAACAAAAUAUUCUUCUCUUUGGUAGAUUAUAAACAAAAAUUCUUGUUCCUGCACAACAUUAACUCAAUAUAUUAUUACACAAAAUUGUCCAAGCCUACAUUAUUUACGCACACAUUAACUCCUAGAAUCAUGUUUUGUUAAAUCAAACAUGAUUUAACCAUAAAUUGUUGUUAAAUUUGACUCCAACUUUAGAAUUGAUUCCAAUCACAAAAUUAAUUAUUUAAAAGCAAAUAUUUCUUUUGUAAAAAAAAAAGCAAAUAUAUUUAGCUUCUAUGAUAACUAGAAUCAUUUUUCAAAUUUAUUGAUAUACAUACACACAUAAACAAUUAUUAUUUUGAAAUAGAUAAAAAUUAUUAUUAUUUAUUUUAAACAUACCUAAUAUAAAUAACUUUACCUUCAAUUUAUUUAACAUUAAUUUCAUAAAAAUUACUUAAGUCAUAAUCAACUAGUAUCAAUUAUUAUCACAUAGGAACCAAACACACUAAUUAACCUUGUACCGGAAACAAAGAAGCUUACCAUUCUUGGAGCUCCAUCAAUUUCAGCAACUUCCAUACCAGUAACAAUCAUACCAGGAACAACCUCCCUAGUAAGACGAACAAUAGCAUCUUCCGCAGUAUUCAUAUCAAGUGCUUUCAUUCCAGGAACAAAGUCAAUCAUACCAAUACUCUUCAACCUCUUAACACCAGUGGCACCAAAAGGACCAUCAUGUCCACAAGAACUCACAACAACCUUAGCUUCCAUAACAUUAGGAUCCAUACAAGACUGUGUAUCAUGGUUCAUUGAAACCAAAGCCCAAUUCGUAACAACACCACCAACUCUUCCUUCUUUCACAAUCAAAUCCUCGGCAGCAACAGCAUUGAACAAUUUCACGUUAGGUCUAGCGAGAAGUUUACUCAUGAUUGUUGAAGUGAACAAAGCAGCGUGUUUGAUUACAACGUAGUCUUCUUGUUCGUCGUAGUCAACGCCAAUUUCGUCGAGGAAGAGGUGAGCUGGUUUGCGGACAACCAUGGCGGAGAAGAGUUGGCCGCCGAGCCAUGCACCGCCGCCGGGACUGACGGAUUGUUCGAUUAUGGCUAUAUUGAUGUUAGGAUUUUUGCUUAAUUCGUAAGCGCAUGAAAGACCGGCGGAACCGGCACCGACGAUGACGACGUCGGUGUCGGCAUAGGUAAUCAUGUCUGUCAUGUAACGGCGUGUCAUUUCACGAGAGACGAUGGAUUCUUUGAUGGGUUGGAAUUUGAAGGAUUGAAGAUCGUAAGGAGGUGUGUUGAGGGACAUGGAGACUGAAGAAUAGUUAUGGGAGGUGGAUUUGAUUAAGUGGGAGGUGCGGGUAGCAAUUGAUCUUCCAUUGAAGAAUGAGGAUUUAGGAGUUGAAGAGAGAGAAGUGGUGAUAGAUGAGGUGGCCAUUGUGGCUGCGAGAAAGAAGAGUAUUUUAGGAAUAGAAAGGUAAUUGAUAUUUGUGAGAGAAGAGUAGCAGAUGAGUUUUAUAAAGAAGGAAAGAGGUGAAGAGGAUACAAUUUGAAAGGCUCACAAUUAAUUCAAGUGGGUGUUGAACGGCUGUCAGUUACUAUUUUGUACAUCCACAUCACAAAUUAAAAGAUACUCCCUCCCUUCUUUUUAAGUGUCUUUUAUUUAUUUAUUUAUCAUUUUUAAACUCAAAUUUUAGUUAUUAUUACUAUUUUAAUAUUAUCUAAUAUACUAUAUGUAAAGUGCAGAUAUGACGUCAAUAAAUAUUUACAUAUAUAAUAUAGAGUGAAUGCUAAGUCACUUUACAAAACGGCCCUAUUUUAUAUGGAAGUGAAAAAAUAGUGACAGCUGUGGGAUUUGAACCCACGCCCUUUCGGACCAGAGCCUAAAUCUGGCGCCUUAGACCACUCGGCCAAACUGUCUGAUUGAUAUCUUCUCUCAAUUAAAUGUUGAUAUAGCCUUAUUAAUACAAAUAUACUAGAUAAUCCAUAAACAAAAAAACAUCAUUCUUUAUUUAUAUAUAUAAAUCAUGAGUUGGUUUGUUUAAAAAAAAAAAUCUAUUUUUAUUUCUUAAAUUUUAUUUGUUAGUAAAAAAUUAAAAAAAAGGAAAUAAUUUUCUUUUGUUGAUGUAAACGAUUGUUAAAUUUAAAAGUCAAAAUGUCUUUAUAUACUAUCAUCAUAUCUAAGAUGAGAAAAGAAUAUUUUAUUAGAUUUGUUUCACUUAUAACAUUCUUCUCGAUGGAUUUAUAUCAUUGAAAUAUAGCGGAAUGACAUAGGACCAGUAGCAUCAAAUUUUUAAUAUUAACUAAUGUAUUUUAUUCUAUUUCAAUUACAUUUCAUCUUAUGCCAUCAAUCUAACAAUAUACCCUUUGAUUUCAUCUUAUGCCAUCAAUCCAACAAUACCCUUUGAUUGAAAAUGUGCGUGUAGUUUUCCUAUAAUUAUUAAUUUUAAUUAACGACUCUGAUUCUUUUAGGGAGAUAAAUCUAAUGAAAUUAACUUUAACGAUAAAUAUUUUUGGCAUGAUUUAGCAACAAGAGCUUAAUAACCGCAAAAUUGAUUCAGUAAUCCUCAACAUGCUGCGAGCAUGAAUGGUGUCAAUUUCUAUUAUUAAAAGACCAGCUCAGAAUGAUCACAUUCUUACAUGCAAUGGCCAAACUCCAUUUUCAUUAUUGUGCAUAUAGUCUUGUCUUGACAAACCAUAUGCAAUUUGCAAAAAGCAGCCUGUCUGUGGUCCCAUUCUCACAUUUUUUUCUACAUUACUAUAAUACUACUAUUUCACUAUUUUGACUCUGCAUUAUUGUCAUUUUUCAUUCACUAAUAUACCCUUUUCUUGUCUUUCUUGUAAAAGAUAAAUCCUUAUUUUCUAUGCAUCUCAUCCUCAUCUUACUAUGACCAAUUUUACCAAGUGAAAUGGUACACUGAUGACCGUUCCAUCUUGUUUGGAUGAUAAAAUCAUAUAGUAUACGGAUGACUGUUAAAUUUUAGUGCAUUAAUAAAAAAUUAUCGAGUUUUGAUUUAAACUAUUUGAUUUUAAUCGCACGAUUGUAGAUACGUGAUUAUUUUAAUUUAUUAAUUUCAUUGAAUUUAGAUUCCAAUUUUAUCAAUCUCUAUUUAGUUUUUUUUUAAGAUAUAUUAUAAGCAAAUUUAUUUAACUAAUUAGCUAAUUGAUAUUAUUUUUUAUUAGAUAAUAAAGUGUGAGUUUCUCCACUCGUAUUCUAAUAAAGUGGAACAUAAACAAAAAAUUAUAAUUAAAAAAUUAAUAUAUCAAAUACAUCGAUUUUUAAUAAAAGUAAUAUCCAAUAAUAUGACCCUCACAAUGACUAACAUAUUUUAGAAAAAAAACACUUAGACUGACUCUUGUGAUAAGUUAUCACAAUCAAUUAAAACCAACGAAAUAUAUAUUUUACUAAUUAUGUCAAAUCUAUUUUUAUUAAAAAAAGUUAAUAAAGUAGUGACUGAUUUUAAUUGAUUAUUGGAUAACAAUUUUCAAUAUGUUUUUAACAUUCUAUUGACUUUGGGGUAAUGAUGUUAUUAUAAGUGAAUGGGCAAAGUUGUACAUUUGUCACAUGCAAAUUAAUUAAACAGGUAAAUGCUAGAACAAAGUGGAACAAUAGCAUAUGACAUUACAACUGGAUGUGCAGAAAUCAUUUUCAAAGUAACGAUUAUUUAAUGAAGUGCGACACCUCGGGUUCAGAGAUCCAUCAACUGAGAAACCCUCCAUUCUCUUGACCCAAAAUUCUCAGAAUGGAUUCCGGGGCCUAUUCUUCAGUUUCCAUUAUUAUUUUCCUUGCAGCCAUCAUAGCUAGUGCUUAUUAUCAUUCAGCAGAAGCAGCUAUGUCUAAGGGAUCUUUUGAAGAUAAUUUCAGCAUAAUGUGGUCUCAAGAUCAUUUUACUACCUCUGAAGAUGGACAGAUCUGGUAUCUUUCUUUAGACAACGACACAGGUAUCAAAUCAAAUGCAUUCUCAUGUUAUAUUUUUUUUAAGAAUCGAAGUUACAAAGACCGAAUCUUAUUGCAUCGUUGCAGCAAAAUCACUCUGCCACUUACAAUAUUAUAGUCUAUCUUAUGUGUUGAUUUGAUUAAUUUGAUUUCUUUAUAAGCAAAAAUAUAUUAUGAAGAGUACUAAGUACUCAAAGAAUAUAGUCAAUGUUUUAAUUGUUAGCAUCAAAGUCUAUAUUUUGAGGCCAUUCCUAAAGCAAUGAAUGUUUUAUCAGGAUGUGGGUUUCAAACAAAACAAAGGUACAGAUUUGGGUGGUUUAGUAUGAAGCUGAAGUUGGUAGGAGGUGAUUCUGCUGGUGUUGUAACAGCUUAUUAUGUAAGUGUACAUUUACAUAACAUUGAAAUAUAGUACUACUAAAUGUGUUUCUUUAAAGAGUUCCUCUCUAAGAAGCACUCACACAUACACCUGAUAAGAAAUUGUUAUUGAAACUUUGAAAAAAUAUAAUUGAAUGUAAUUAUAUUUGUCGGUGUUAUGUUAGUGUCAACACUGAAAUAUGUCAACCACCAAACGCACCUUCAAUAUGAAGUAUAAGUGAUAUGAAGUAUAAGUGCUACAUAUGUUACUUUGUGUUUCUAUGAAUCCAAUUGGUGGGGUGUUUGAUAAGAAUGGUGGAAUUGUUGCAGAUGUGCACAGAAAAUGGUGCAGGACCAGAAAGAGAUGAACUUGAUUUUGAGUUUUUGGGAAACAGAACAGGGCAACCAUAUUUGAUUCAGACAAAUGUGUACAAGAAUGGAACUGGUGGGCGUGAGAUGAGACAUAUGCUAUGGUUUGAUCCAACUGAGGAUUAUCACACUUAUUCCAUCCUAUGGAACAAUCAUCAGAUAGUGUAAGUGCAAUCUUAUACUCAUCUUAUUAGUGUUUGUUAAUCUUAUAAAUUAUAAGCCAAGUUUCACAAAAUAAAAGAGAGUAGAUCAUCAUCAAAAUGUUUGCAAAAAAUGGUAAUGAAUCUAAAACGGUACCCUUCUUUAUGCUUUUGUCGGUUUAAGGCUUCUUUUCUGAAUUGUCAAAAAGUAGUACAAGAUAUGAUUGUGUGGUUAAAGAAACGAAUAUAGUUAGUAAAAUCUACACUAUGUGGGCCUAGUUUAAUUAUUAUUGUUACCUACUCAUAUGUAUAUUUAGGCUAUUCUUUGUGUUGUUAAGUUGGUAAAUCUUAUAAAAUUUAAUUGAAUGGAAAAUGAAACUUGAAUAUAAAUAUCAUUUGUCCAAUUUGGGUAUUUAUUUUUAAGCUAAGAUGAAUAAAAUUUUGUUUACUGAAUGUUGGAAACAGGUUUUUUGUGGAUAGAGUUCCUAUAAGGGUAUUCAAGAACAAUGAAAAACCAAACAAUUUCUUCCCGAAUGAGAAACCAAUGUACUUGUUUUCAAGUGUAUGGAAUGCAGAUGAUUGGGCCACAAGAGGUGGACUUGAGAAAACAAAUUGGAAAUUAGCUCCAUUUGUGUCAUCUUACAAAGAUUUCAGUGUUGAUGCUUGUCAAUGGAAAGAUCCAUAUCCUACAUGUGUUUCAACCACAACAAAAAGUUGGUGGGAUCAAUAUGAUGCUUGGCAUCUAUCAGGAGAUCAAAAAAUGGAUUAUGCUUGGGUUCAGAGAAACCUUGUGAUUUAUGAUUAUUGUAAGGAUUCUGAACGUUAUCCGAUUCUGCCAGAAGAGUGCUCAUUGAGUCCAUGGGAAUAAUGUAUCAAGGGGAAAAUAUUAUUUUUCUUUUAAUUAAAUAUUUUUUUUUUUGUAUUAUCAAAAUAUUUUAGUUAGCAGAGUUUUUUUAUUCGUUGAAUAUUAUUUUCUGAUUAUGUAAAAGCACAUUCCAUAAUAGAUGAAGUUUACAUGGCUUACAAUUUCACUUCUACAACCACAAUUAAUCACUACUUCAUUCCCCCCCCCCCCCCCCUCNNNNNNNNNNNNNNNNNNNNNNNNNNNNNNNNNNNNNNNNNNNNNNNNNNNNNNNNNNNNNNNNNNNNNNNNNNNNNNNNNNNNNNNNNNNNNNNNNNNNNNNNNNNNNNNNNNNNNNNNNNNNNNNNNNNNNNNNNNNNNNNNNNNNNNNNNNNNNNNNNNNNNNNNNNNNNNNNNNNNNNNNNNNNNNNUAGAGUAGAGAUGUAAAAUAGGUCGGUUCAGUAGUCUAAAUGACCCAUACACGUGAAUAGUUUAGUUUUGGUCCGAUUCACUUUGUUAUAGAGUUGUGUUUUAUUAAGAUUGGCUCAUCUAUUAUGGGUUAUGUGGAUUAGCAGUAGUCUUGGUCGACGCGCAAGAACCACAAUAAUACUAUGUUGUGGAUUAGCAGUAGUCUUGGUCGACGCGCAAGAACCACAAUAAUACUAUGUUGUUGAUUAGCAGUAGUCUUGGUCGACGCGCAAGAACCACAAUAAUACUAUGUUGUUUUUAACUUUUAGUAGAAUACAUUUUUUUAAAAAAAUUAAGUUUUUUUUUUUUAAUUAUGAUCAAUCUAUUACUUUAUUUUUUUUAAAUCAAUUCAAAAAGACUAAUUUGACCGCCAUCAAGUCGAAUGAGAAUGAGUUAUUGAAGUGUUUUGAAUUUAUAAAUCUGAAAUUUGUACGAUACAUUAGCAUAUUUCUCAGCUUGAAUUUUGAGAAGUUCAUGGAAACACUUGUCUUGCAAACCGUAGAUCCCAUUUGUUGCUUAUUAUUCUCAAUUUCAUCACUUGGGAUUUUUCCAAGAAAGGAUAUCCCUUCCUAGUUUUAAAUUCAAGUAGGAGUAAUUGUUUUAUUAGAUUUUGACCUCUUCCUCCAAACUCUUUUAAUUUUAUUUGAAUGUAUUUUGUUAUGUGUUACAAAUGAUUGUUAGCAGUUGACUGUGUCAAAUAUAUUUGAAAUGUCAUUCUCUGAUACAAUGCAUUUGCAUUGUAAUAGCAUUUUAUAUAAAAUAAAAUCGAUAGAUGGAUUAAAUUCAUCAUCUAAAAUCGAUGGAUGGAUUAAAUUGAUCGAGAAACAUUUAAUUUUACAAAUAAAUUUGUCUAAUUAGAUUUCAAAUAUUCUUUUUCAAAUUAAAUUAAAUUGAACUUAAUAGCAAAUAUAACUUUUCAUAAUUAUUUAUUUUAUAAUUAGUAUGAGAUGUUGUAUAAUUCUUUUUUAAAUUAAAGUAUUUUUACAUGCAACUACAGAGAUUAAUUAUUCGAAGUAAUUGAGAUCUAUGUAAAAAUGAUUAAUCUCCCCAACAAUAUUUUUGUAUGCAUAUCAACUAGAAUGGUACCCUCAACCAAAUAGUUAAAAAAACUUAAACAUCUAUUACUUGUAUUCAUACUUAUUAGUUUAAUAUAAUAUAUACCUUAGUUCUUUUUUAAUACUCAUUUUCAGAUUAUUUACAAUUGCCAAUAAAAACUAAUAAAUUUUGUUAUUUUUCAUAAAAUUAAAUAUCUUUUACCUUUAAUAUUAUUUAUUAUCUCAUUUUAUGUUUUUUUUUCUUCUCUUUGCAAUAAACAAUUAGAGAUAAUUUUGUCAAACCAAUAGUUUUUUUUUUCUCUACUUUAAAUUUUGAAAACGACAAAUAAAAAGAAACAAAAAUUUCUAUUAUAAGCCAUUAAAAAUAAAUGGAGAAACUAUUAUUUUAUUAUUUUAUUAUUUCAUAUGUUGCAAACCUAAUUAAUAAUAUAAAUAUUAUUAAUAAUAUUCAUCUUGUCUCAAAUUGAUAUCAAAUAUACCAAAUUUUUAAUUACAUUUUUUAUCUAUAUUUCACUUGAUAUGAAGUAUUUAAAAAGAAAUUUUUUAUAGGAUGUUAUUUGAUAUAAUAAUAUAAAUAUUUCUUACAAAUAAAUGUAAAUUGUUAAUUUUAUUAAUAAAGAGGGAGAAACAUUAACAACCGCCGAACUGUUGACAUCCUAAGCCUUCUCAAUAAUCGUCAUAUUUCUCACUCAAAGUCACUAGAUUAAAUUUUGGAUGACAUAAUAAUAUAAAUUUACGAUUACACAUCGGUAAAAUUUAAUAUUCUAUCUAAUCGAAACCGCUUUUAAUCAGAUUUGAUAAAUUAUUUUCAAGGAAACAAUCCAAAUCAAACAAAACAAUGUCAAACCAAGAAUAACAUGUUAUUGUAAUCUUUAAAUUAAAAUAUCUCUUGUCUCAAAGUCGAUCGUAAACAGACCAUGAACAACGCUAGUAACGUAGGAUCAUUUGUCUAUUUUUUUAUUUAAAAAAUUCCAAGAAUUUUAUUUAAUUAUUUUAAUUCAUUAAAUAUUUACAAAAAUUAAUCAUCUAUACAUUAUAAUAAAGCAAAGAUGAUAAUUUGACAAGUUUGUCACGUGUCAGCCAAAUAGAAUAUUAGGAAUAUAUCAAGUUUCUAUUAAUAAAAAUAAUAUCUUAUGUGUCCGCUAAGAAGUUAAUGACCAAUUAAAAAAUUAGAAAGAAUGAAUUAAAAAUAAAAAUAAAAAAUAAAAAAUUAAGAAAGAAAAAAAUAAAACUUCCAAUUACAUCACGAUAUUUGUACGUGAUUGAAUUUAGUGGUCAAUUAAAAAAUUAAAAAUAAAAUACAAUACACCACGACAGUUUUUGAAUGUUUGUAUGCGGCCGUUGAGAAGUUAAUGAUCAGUUAAAUAAAUAAGAAGAAUGAAUUAAAAAUAAAAGGUGAGGUAAUGGCCAGUUAAAAAAAUAAGAAGAAUGAAUUAAAAAUAAAAGAUUUUUUUUUUAAGAAAAAAAUAAAACUUCCAUUAUACCACGACUUUAUUCAUGAUAAUGCAUCAGAAGUUAAUGGCUAAUUAAAAAUAAUUGUUUUUAAACACUACUUUAUUAACCACCGUUUCAAAUUAAUUUAAUUAAAAAAUUUAUUUUAUUUUACUAAUUAUUUUUCAACUUUCUUUUUUAAUUCGUCGUCAUCCGUUAACCGUCUAUCCUCAAUAAUCUCUCAUUUUCCAUGUCUCUUUUAUAAAGAUCAUUCGUAUUAUCUCAGUACACAAUUUCCUCUUAAUUUUUUCUAUUUUAAAAAUUCGUUAUUUAUUUUUUUGUUUAUCGUUAUCCGAUAAAAAAUCAGAUUUUGUUACUUCAAUUUCUCCAAAAAAAAGAGUCAUGAAAUUUGGUUAUUAGAAUCGUGCGAUUACGGUUUCUGUUUGAUCUGAAUAUCAAACAUAAAUUUUAUGCGAUGGAAAUUGUAUUGAUAAUGGAUGACAAGGUUUAACUCUUUGUUUUAUAAAUUCAAAUUUUAAAUUAUACCCAAACUUAUUUGUUAUGUUAUUAAUUUAACAAAGUUGUGUUUCAUAUUGUUAGGGUCAUAAAAUUCAAACAACAGUGUGAAAAACUCUUAUUUCUCGAUUUGAGACUACUAUUCGUGAGAGAGUUGUGUACAACUUUUGUUCUCUUGGUGUUGCGUCUAACUCUGAAGCAUAUAAAACAACCGGACACCAAUUCGAAAGUUUAGUCAGAGUCUCUCCGUACUCAAUUUCAUUCCCAGAAAUUGGAAAUGUUUGGCAGUUUUUUUAAGAUAAUUGUUUUUUAAACACUACUUUUGCAACACCGCUUUAAAUUAAUUUAAUUAAAAAUUUUAUUUUAUUUUAAGAAUUCUUUUAGUGUCAUCAGAUUUUCCUUUUUAAUUCGCCUUCUCCGUCAAUUGUCUCUCUUCCUCUCAUUUUUUGCGUCUCCUUUGUAAAUAUCAUUCAUGUUACACAAAUCAUUUUUAACUUUUCUUUACCAAAUAUUCCUUAUUCAUUUUGUGUUUAUCUUUUUCCUCUGAUGUCUGGAAAAAAAAGAUUUUGUUGCUUCAAAGCCAUGGAGUUUAGUUGUUAGAGUUGUGCGAUCGUGGUUUAAACAUAAAUUUUAUGCAAUGGAAAUGGUCUUGAAGGAUGACAAAGUUUAAUUCUCGUGUAAAUUCAAAUUUUAAAUUAUAUUAUUUGUGUAUUAACAAACCUGCCUUUCAUAUUCUUAGAGAGAUAGAAUUGAAUCAACCGCGAGUUUUUAUUUUUUUACAUUUGAUGUGUACAAUUCUGUUGGUGUUGUUUCUAACAACUUUCUGGUGUAUAUGGAACAAUCGGACACCAUUUCAUAUUGUCAUUGUUAUUUUAUUUUAUUUAUAAAAAAAGAUUACUAUUUUGUUAUAUAUAUUUUUUUAUUGUUUAUGUUUCUAAAUUUUGUCUUACAAAAAUUAUACAUCACUGUAAGAUUUUUUCUGAACAACGUUGCCACAGGAGUUAUAUUGAAGAGAAAAAUAAUACUUUAUUUAAGUAAAUAUAAAAUUUAGGCUAAAUACAAUUCAUUACAUCUAUUACACAUUUUAGUUUUUAUUGGAAGUAAUGAUUUUUCAAACUUCAAACACUGUUCUAACCAGUCUAUUACAUCACGAUUUGACGACAUCUAUUACACAUUUUUUUGUUUUUAUUGGAAGUAAUGAUUUUUCAAACUUUAAAACUGUUCUAACCAAUCUAUUACAUCACGAUUUGACGAGUUGAUAGUUAUGUGAAAAUGUAUAAUGAUUUUUCAAAAAUUAUUAUUUUAAAUGGUUCCAUUUUAAUUUUACUAAUAUACUAUACAUUUUAUAUUCUAAAUUUAUUAUUAAAUAUCAUGCAAAUUCAAAAGAAUUCAAAGGAUUAAUGAAAGAUUAAUGAAUACUAACAUGCAAAUUCAAAGAUAAAAAAUAAUUAUAGUUUUUAUGUGUAUUGUAUUUUUUUUUUUGUAAUAGGAAGAUUAUUUUUCUUUAGUAUUUUAUGAGUAGUACCAGAAUGAAAAAUAUUUUGUCACUUGAUAGAUCAAGAUUUAUAUGAAUUUUUAAAUGUCAUUUAUUUCAUAUAAAUAACAUACUAUGUUAGAAUGAUAAAAAUAAAAAUUCAUUAUUAAGUUAAUUACUCAUAUUUACAUUUACUAAUUUACUUAAUUUAUAUAUGUCAUGUCCAUUAUUUUAAAAAUUCUUAUUUCAUCUAAUCUAAUUAUUUAAUUUUUUAAUAAUUAUUGUUUUUAUUUGUUUAAAAUUAAAAGUAUUGUUUUAUAAUAAGUAUUUUUGGAAAAAAAAAAAAAAUUCGAAUUCAAAAAUAAGAUUAAAGAGUAGUGUUGGAGUCAUGUUUUUCAUGAGUAAUAUUGACCGUAUAAGAAAGUAGUUUUUAAAUUAGAUUAGAAUUAGAUUUUUUUACUGUAAAUUAUUUUUUUAAGUCAACUUAUUAAUUUAAAUGUCAAUAAAAUUUAUAAAAAUUAAUAUAUAUAUAUAUAUAUAUAUAUAUCUUAUAUGGACUCGCAGCAUGUCGUUUAGAACUUCCAAACCCAAUAAACAAACGAUCAUUAGUUGGAUGGUUUGGUGCAAGAUUAAACGACACAAAGAAACGGGAUUAGGGUUUUGCUCUGAUUAGGGAUCCGAAUUUGAUAUUCGAAUCGAAAAAUUCGUAAUCAAAUCAGUAACCAGAGCCAUUAACGCAAUGGUCUGCGAAAAGUGUGAGUAUCUCGUCCUUUUCAGCAAUCCAUCCAUAUUUCUCGCUUAAUUUAUCUCUGUAAAAAAUUCAAUUAAUUUUCGGUAAUUUGAACUCGUGGUUGCAGGUCAGAAGAAAUUAUCGAAGGUGAUAGUACCAGACAAAUGGAAGGAAGGUGCCAGCAAUACUACUGAAGGUGGUGGCCGCAAAAUCAACGAGAACAAGCUCCUCUCCAAGAAGAACAGGUUCCAUUCAACCUAAAAUUUCAAUUUUUUAUUUAUUGCAUAAUUUGUUUCUUUUUAUUUUUUAAAUUGAGUAUGGAAAGCAUAAUAAUUUGGCGCUGAUUGAUAAUAUGCUAAAGUGUAAUUAUUUCUAGUUUUAUAUUGGAAAUUUUGGAGGGCAAAUUUAUUUUCAUCUGCUUGAUAUUCGAAUUUUGAGGUGGGGGUUUUGGAAUUAAAUCCACUCUGCACAGUGGAAAAUCAUUUCAUGCUACUCUAUUUUUUCCCCAACUUGUUUGAAUCUCAAUGCUACUCGUGUUACUGUUAGGAUGAGAUUCUCCAUGGAAGAGUUGAUAUUUGAACUUGUUAGGAUGAGAUUCUUCCAUGGAACAAUAGGCUCUGAUGUUUGCAUGUUUCACUUUAGGAGUUUCUAUGCAUAUUUGGUCUCUGUUUUGGGAAUGUUGGCCUUGAUAUUCCCUGCGCAUGUUAUGCCAUCACAUACUUGGUUUGGUGCUUUAAACUUAAUCUUCUUUAAUGUCUUAUUUGGAGAAAAAAAAAUGUUUUUUCAUAUAUAGAUUUGCUAUGGUUGGUUGUAUGGUCCAAGUUGUGAAAGAAGCCUAAUGUUUUCAGGUGGUAGUUAGUGAUGGAGAACUUGUUAGCUAUUUUGUACAACAAGUGAAUAAAUUGUUGGAUGUCACUAGGACUUGAUAUUGUAAGAUACAGCUUUGUAUUUUAAAAACAUUUAUAUAUAUCCGCUGUUCCCAUUCAUUUUAUUUAAUGUUUGUAUUUUUGUGAUGAAGAUUGGUAUUUCCCCCAUUACUUCACCAAGGUCACUUUCCCUCUUCAUGUUACGACCUACAAUUUAGAUAUCUUGCCAAUACUAUUGCAGUAUUGCACAAUUAAAAUGGGAUAUCUGUAUUUUGAUUGAUGUGGCUCUUGGAAAAUAUUUUUGAUAUAUCUAUCUGGCUCAACCUUCAAAAUUGUUAGAACACGUUUUAGCUUUGUAUAUUCUUUAUCUCGUUAUCACAUAUGUGCACACAGUCUUGUACUUAUAAAUAGUCCUCAAGAGUCAAUACUAUAAGCACUGCUUACUAGUUGUACACUUAUAAAAGUAAUACUGACUAUACGUAAAGUUCUUGCGUUUUGGAUGGCUUAAUAAUAUCUGUCCAAAUUGCCAAGGAUUUUGGUCCAGAGUGAGUGUCAUUAUGAAUAGAGAUAGUACACUUGAAGGAGGGCUGUGCCUGUGCCAUUACUUUUUGUAAAUAUUUAUGCAUUAGUCUUGCACUUAUACUUGAUUCACGAUACCAUCGACAAUUUUUUUGUCCAAAUAUAUACUAUACCUUGACAUGUUGUUUAAAGGGCUCCCUUUUCUUCUUUUGUAACUUGUUUUUAUUACACCCUGCAUUUUUUUCAUCAUGUGAAGUGCGUUCUUAUUUUAAAUUAAUUCCUUGCAGAUGGACCCCUUACGGGAAUACCAAGUGUAUCAUUUGCAAGCAGCAAGUGCACCAGGAUGGCAAGUACUGUCACACCUGUGCUUACUCGAAAGGUGAUAUUUCAUGUUUAGGCGUUUUGCAUUUGCUGCUAUAUUGUAUCAUGAAAGUGCAUAAUUCGACUGCUGAUGUAUUUUGUAUUUGUAGGAGUUUGUGCGAUGUGUGGCAAGCAAGUUCUUGAUACCAAGUUUUAUAAACAAAGCAAUGUGUAGUGCAUUUCUGCUGCAUUCUGAUCUUGUUGCUAACACUGUAACUGAAUCUGUAAAAAAUAAAUUGUUCUAUUUUCUCUGUCAUAUGUAAUUGACUUAUUGAAUGUUUAUUCCUGAUCUAAAACAUGUACCUUUGGUCAACUAACUCAAUUUUUACCAGAACAGAGCUUAUUAUAAAACUUAUUAUAAAAGGGUGUUUAGGUCAAAAUUGAUUUUGACUCUAGCAAAAGGUUAAACAAAAGUGAAAUAAGAAAUUCUACAGGAGUCAUAUUGAAAAAAUUAAUAAAAUAUUUCAAAUAUUAAUUUUGACUUGUUUUAAUAAACUUUCUAAUAUAGAGAGAUAUUUUGGUCACUUCUUUGCAUACAAUUUAUUUUAAUUUUUCCACACCAAAAAUUCUUUACGAAAUAUUUAAGGAAAAUUUAUAUAAUUCAAGAUUAUUGAUAUAUUUUUCUAAAUUGGAUCUUUUUUUUAUUAAAGUGACCCUAGAAACAUUUGCAAUGCUGAAAACUUAACGGUUUCUUACUUUCUAAAUGUUGUCCUCUAAUCUUUUUUUUAUCAUUGGAGUGUGUAUAUGACAAUUGAGAUAAGGGAUUGGUGUUUAAGGAACUUAAUUAUUAAAAUCAAAUUUUUAUUAUUAAAUCUCAACUGGAAAAAUUGGAGAGCAUAAGCAGAAAUAAGUAUAAGUUGUUUAUUAUAAUCAGUUUAGAAUAAAAUUAGUAAAGUUGUUUAUAGAUUUACUUAAAUGUUAUUAAAGUUGUUUAUAGAUUACUUAAAUGUUACGUGUGGUAGUUUGAGCCCAUAAAAUAUAACUCAAGUAACCUAAAAAAAUUCUCUCGUUAAGACACUAAUAGUUAUUUUAGGAUUGUUACUAAAGAAAUUUAAACCAUAUUCCUUAAAAUUAGGAAAUCAUAUUCUACCUGUAGAAGUGAUACAUGAUGGCUAUAAUAUUAAAUAAUACUACUAUUAUUAAAUAAGAGAGAUAGGAUUUAUUUUUGUUUAUAUUUAGUUUAAAAUAUAUUUCAUUUUUGCUUAUUAAUUUGUACCCCAACACUGUAAUUGUAAAAUUUAUGUCUUGACUUUCUACAUGUCAUAAGUAGGCAGACAAGAAAUGUCCAAAAAAAUAUGAAGAUAUUUAUUCAAAGUUUAUUUCCAUAACACGUAUAUGGUAGUUAUUUAUGACUUGAUUUUACUUGGAUAUUAGUAUGCUGAUAGAUUGAACAUACCAUUUAUUUUCUUUUUUUGUCCUAAAUAGUUCGUAAAUUGCUACAUGUUCAGACAAUUUGUUUGUCUAAACAUAGAUAUGAAAAAAACAUACUCUAAGUGACACACAAGUAUGAUAACUUCAUUCACAUUUUCUUUAUUCAUUAUUGAGUCCAAAUCACAGGCAAAAGAAAAGCAAAAGAAAAAUAAGCUAAAAACUAAAUCGAUUUAAUUGUAAAUUUUAAGCAUCAACAAUGUCCUCUAAUUCAACAGAAGCCAAAACAAGUUCAGGUUCUUCCCUUGCAGAAUCGCAAGUUCCAUCAAUUGCAUUGUUCUUUCUCAAUGCCUUCAAUGUCAAAUGAGCUGCCUUCUACCCUGAUAUCAUCAUAGCUCCAAAUGCUGGACCCUACAAAAAUCACCGACAAAAUCGUUAUCACAUCUUAAUCAAAUAUUUCUUACCAUCUUGAAAUUAAUUGCACUAAAACCAAUCAACUUGCAGUUAAAAAUAUCUAUCAAAAACCUUGAUAUUAAUUUCCACAUUACUUUAAUUACUUCCUAAAUCAAAAUUGUACAAACAAGCCUAUAAACAAAAUAUUCUUUUCUUUGCUAGAUUAUAAACAAAAAUUCUAGUUCCCCCAAAGGUUAACUCAAUAUAUUAUUUUACACAAAAUUGUCAAAGCCUACAUUAUAUACACACACAUUAUCUACGUAAAAAUCAUUUUUAAAAGAUACAUUUUUUUUAAAGAGUGUGAUUUUUAUCAUAUUAAAAUCUCUAAUAAUAAAAAUAUAAGUUAUUAUAUAUCAAAAUUAAUUUUUUAAUCAAUAAUAAAUAAAUCAAAAUUAACAUAUAUUAUUUUUAAGAAAAUUAUUUCAAAGAUAUAAAGUCAAAUCAUUUUUAUAUUCCACUAGACUCCAUUCAAUGAUAUCAAUCCAAACAUAACUAAGAAAGAAAAUUUAAUAUAACUUUUUUCUUCCACUCGACCAAACUGUGUUCUUGCACAAUCUGCUCAAUUAAAACAUAAAGUAGAGUGUUUAUAGAAAUAUAUUAAGCAUUUCCAUUGACAAAAACAUCAUUCUUUUUAAAUAUAUAGAAAAAAACAUAGUUGGCUGGUUCCCUUUUAAAAAAAAUAUACUAUUUUUAUUUCUUAAAUUUUAUUUUUCAGAAACUAGGGGAACAAAAUUAGAUGGCUAAAUUACAUUUGUGGUUCUUUAACUUAAUCUCAGGUAACGUUUUAGUCCUUUAUCUUAUUUUUUUCCCGAUUUACUCCUUUAUUCCUAACAAUAUCAAAAAUAUGAGUUUAUUUGAAGAUUUGCGUUACGAAUUUGAUGAAAUUUGUAUUAUACUGAAGAAUAUAAUUAAUUUUAUGAGUUUUGAUUUAAUUUUUUUUUUUGAAUUUUUGUAUAAAAAAGGAUAACAUUGUUGAAAUUUUAAAACAUAAAAUAUCAAAUUGUCACUUAAAAUUAAAAUAAAGAACCAAGUCGGGAAAAAAAAAGAUAAAAGACUAAAACGUUACUUGAGAUUAAGUUAAAGGACCACAAAUAUAAUUUAGCCAAAAUAGAUAAUUUUUUUAACGCAAACAAUUGUCUAAUUUAAAAUUCAAAAUGUCUAUAAAUAUCACCAUCACAUCUAAGAUGGCGAAAGAUUAUCCUAUUAGAUUCUUUUCAAUUUGGUAAUUAUUUUCAAUGGAUUCUAGAUAAGAGCAUCUAUAACGGUGAACUCAAUAUGGGUUUUUUAGAUGAGGUCCACUGUGCCACAUUAUCUUGAAGCAAUUCACUCAUUUUCUACUCAAACGGUGAACUCAACAUUAUUCAAGUUCUACUAUGCUACAUCAAUGUAAAUCAACUCAUUCAUUUUUUACAGUUUAACUUUUAAAAAAUCAUAUUAUAUUCAAUUACUUUAAUUUAUAUAUUAAUAUUUAAUUUUAUUAUAACUUAAAAUAUUAAUUUAAAUGGAAAAAUAAAUAAAAAAGUACGUUAAUAAAAACUUUAAUAAACUUCUGUAACAAAAAUUGUGAAGAAAAAGUAUGAGUAACAAAUUGUUUAUAUUAAUGAGCUAACAAUCUUAAUUAAAGGAGAAAAAAAAGCUAACGGUGGUAUAUUAACUAAAAAAAAGCUAAUGGUUACAAAAUUAUUAUUAUUUAAUAAAUUAAAAAGAAGUUAACGACUAUAAUUAAAAAAAGCUACCGAUUAUAAUUAUAUUAUUAUUAAAUUAUGAAAGUAGAUAGAAAAAAAAAAUAAAAAUUAACUGCUAUGAAACACCGUUCCUUCCUUACAGUACCGUGAUGACACUUUGACACAACUCCAAUGGUGAACCCACAAAAAACUAAAAGUUAAGUACACGUUGGCGACGAACUUAUUUUUACUCUCGUUGUAGAUGCUCUAAGUAAUAUAUCCUUUGAAAUAUAGUGAAGAUGUAACAUUAAAAUUUUAAAAUUAACUAAUCUAUUUAUUCUAUUUCAUUCAAUUACAUUUCAUCUUAUGUCACCGAUCUAACAACACUCUUUGAGAAUGUGCAUGUAGUUUUCCUACGCUUAUUUUUUUUAAUUAACGACUCGGAUUCUCUUGUUUCAGGGGAGGUGGAUUUGAUGAUGUGGGAGAUUCGGGUAGUAAUUGGUUUUCCAUUGAAGAAUGAGGAUUUGGGAGUUGAAGAGAGAGAAAUAGUGAUAGAUGCGUUGGCCAUAGUGGAUGCCACGAAGAAGGGUAUUUUGGGAAUAGAAAGGUAAUUGAUAUUUAUGAGAAUGGGUUUUAUAAAGACGGAGAGGUGCGAGAUGUGUGAAAUAUGUGAACGGAAAGAUGAGGAUAUAAUUUGAACGGCUCCCAAACCUUAAUGUCAGAGAUAUUUUUUUAUGUGAUUGAAAUCAUUGCCUUUUUGCUCUAUUAAUUCAAGUGUGAGUGCUCCAUUAACUACUAUGUCCUACAUCCACAUCAUAAAUUAAAAGAUACUCCCUCCCUUCUUUUUAAGUGUGUUUUAUUUAUUUAUUUAUCAUUUUUAAAGUCAAAAUUGUAUUAAUUAUUAGUUUGUCAAAUUAUUUUUAAUUAUUUAUUAUUAUAAUGAGAAAAAAUAUGAAACGUUUUUUAGUGUAAUAUUUUUAUUAAUAACUAUUUUUCAAAUAUUUGUUAAUAUUUUUUCAUAACUUAAAAGUGAUAAUUAAACAAAACAGUGCUAAUAUUAUAAAUACUAUUUUAAUACUAUGUAGUAUACUAUAUAUAAAAUGGAGAUAUGAUGUCAAUAUAUAUAUAUAUAUAUAUAUAUAAUAAAGUGAAUGUUAAGUCAUUUUAUCACAUACUUUUUAAAUUAGAGAAUAUACUUUUUAAAUUAGAGAAUAAAAAAAAUGAAGGUAGUUAGUGGAAUGAGAUUAAAUGGAUAUCAUCAUGUUCUAUUUUAUUUUUAAAAACAAUAUUCAAACAAUGGAGUGCUAUAUUAGAUUCGUUUGUCUUAAAUUUUUUUAAAAUAAUUUAUUUUUUAUAAUAUUUAUAAAAGAUAAUUUUAAAAAUAAAGUUUAAAAUGAAGAAAUUAUUUUAAAUAAUUUAUCUUAAAAUAUUAUUUUUUUAAGUAUUUUAUUUAUUUGUUACCAUUGUUUGCAUAACAAAUUUUAAAUUUUUUUUCAUAAAAAUUAUUUUUAAAACAUACAUUUUUUUCAAAGAGUGUGUUUUUAAUCAUGUUAAAAUCUUUAAUAAUAAAAAUAUAAGUUAUUGUAUAUCAAAAUUAAUUUUUUAAUCAAUAAUAAAUAAAUCAAAAUUAAUAUAUAUUUUCUUUAAGAAAAUUAUUUCAAAAAUAUAAAAUCAAAUCGUUUUUAUAUUCCACUAGACUCCAUUCAAUGAUAUCAAUCCAAACAUAAUUAAGAAAGAAAAUUUAAUAUAAUUUUUUUCUCCCACUAUUUUUCUUCCACUCGGCCAAACUGUCUUCUUGUACGAUCUGCUCAAUUAGAGUGUUGAUACAGAUAUAUUAAGUAUUUCCAUUGACAAAAACAUCAUUCUUUUUACAUAUAUAGAACAAAUAUAGUUGGCUGGUUCCCUUUUAAAAAUAUUAUUCUAUUUUUAUUUUUUAAAUUUUAUUUGUCAGCAACUAAGGGAACAAAAAUAGAUUAAAAAAAAUUAGCAUAAACAAUUGUCAAAUUCAAAAUUUAAAAUGUCUAUAAAUAUCACCACCACAUCUAAGAUGAUUAAAUAUUAUCUUAUUAGAUCCUUUUCAGUCUGGUAAUUCUUCUCUAUCGAUUCUAGAUAAGUAAUAUAUCCUUUGAAAUAUAGUGAAGAUGUAACAUUAAAAUUUUAAAAUUAACUAAUCUAUUUUUUUCUAUUUCAUUCAAUUACAUUUCAUCUUAUGCCACCAAUCUGACAAUACUCUUUGAGAAUGUGCGUGUAGUUUUCCUACACUUAUUUUUUUUAAUUAAGGAUUAUGAUUCUCUUGUUUUAAGGGAGGUGGAUUUGAUGAUGUGGGAGGUGCGGAUAGGAAUUGAUAUUCCAUUGAAGAAUGAGAAUUUGAGAGUUGAAGAGAGAGAAGCAGUAAGAGAUGCGGUGGUCGUGGUGGCUGUUAUGCCAUAAAGAUGGGUAUUUUGAAAUAAAAAGUAAUUAAUAUUUGUUAGAGGAGAGUAGAAUGUGUUUUAUAAAGACGGAAAGAGGUGUGAGAUGUGAAGUGUAUGCUUUUUGAAUGAUGAGGAUAGAAUUUGAACGGCAUAUAAGUAGUAUACUAUAUGUAAAGUGCAGAUAUGACGUGCGAGAUGUGAAGUGUAUACUUAAUAUUAUCUGCAUAUAUGACAUCAAUAAAUAUAUACAUAUAUAAUACAGAGUGAAUGCUAAGUCAUUUUAUGAUAUACUUUUCAAAUUAGAAAAAUGAAAUAAGAUAAGUAGUGGAAUGAGAUUAAAUGGAUGUUUUCAUCUUCUAUUUUUAUUUUUUUUUUAAAUAUUCAAACAAUAGAAUGUUACAUUAAGUCCGUUUAUUUUAGAAUUUCUUAAAAUGAUUUUUAUAACAUUUUAUUUUUUUGUUAUAAUAUUUAUAAAAAAUAAUUUUAAAAAUACAGCUUUAAAUGAAUAAAUUAUUUAAAAAAAUUUAUUUUAAAAUAUUAUUUUAAAUAUUUUAAAUAUUUUAUCUAUUUAUUACAAUUUUUUACAUAAUAAAUUUAAAAAUAAAAUUAAAAUAAAAAGUUAUUUUAAAAAACUCUUUAUAAAAAUUACUAAGUCAAAAUCGACUACUAUCAAUUAUUAUCGCAUAGGAACCAAAAGGACCAGUAGCACCAAAAGGACCAUCAUGUCCACAAGAACUCACAACAACCUUAGCUUCCAUAAUAUUAGGAUCCAUACAAGAGCCAUGAUUCACUGAAACCAAAACCCAAUUCGUAACAACACCACCAAUUCUUCCUUCUUUCACAAUCAAAUCAUCAACAACAACAACAUUGAACAAUUUCACGUUAGGUUUAGCGAGAAGCUUGCUCAUAUUGUUGAAGUGAACAAAGCAACGUAUUUGAUUACAAUGUAGUCUUCUUGUUCGUCGUAAUCAACGCCAAUUUCGUCGAGGAAGAGGUGAGAUGGUUUGCGGACAACCAUGGCGGAGAAGAGUUGGUCGUCGAGCCAUGCACCGCCGCCGGGAUUGAGAGAUUGUUCGAUUAUGACUAUACUGAUGUUAGGAUUUUUGCUUAAUUUCGUAAGCGCAUGAAAGACCGGCGGAACCGGCACCGACAAUGACAACGUCGGUGUAGGCGUAGGUAAUCAUGGGAGGUGCGAGUAGCAAUUGGUCAUCAAUUGAAGAAUGAGGAUUUGGGAGUUGAGGAUUUGGUGGAUGCCAUGAAGAAGGGUAUGUUGGGAAUAGAAAGGUAAUUGAUAUUUGUGAGACAAGGGUAGAAUGGGUUUUAUAAAGAUAGAAAGAGGUGGAUAAAAUUUGGAAAGAUGGAAAGAGGUGUAUUACUUCUACAACUAAUCCUCUAGAAGUGAUACAUCAUAGUUAUAAUAUUAAAUAAUACUACUAUUAUUAAAUAAGAGAGACAUGAUUGAUUUUUUGCUUAUAUUUAGUUUAAAAUAUACUCCAUUUUUGCUUAUUAAUUUGUACUCCGACUAUGUAAUUGUAAAAUUUAUGUCUUGACUUCGUAUAUGUCAUAAGUUGGUAGACAAGAAAUUUCCAGAAAAAAAUUGAAGAUAUUUAUUCAAAGUUUAUUUUUAUAACACGUGUAUGGUGGUUAUCUAUGACUUAAUUUUAUUUGGAUAUUAAUAUGUUGAUAGAUUAGGCACACUAUUUAUCUUCUUCUUUUGUCCUAAAUAGUUUGUAAAUUGCUACAUAUUCCGACAAUUUGUUUGUCUAAACAUAUAUAUGAAAAAACAUACUCUGAGUGACACACAAGUAUAAGAUAAGGAAUAUCUUAUUGUUUAGUAAAUAUUUAAAAAGGGAUUUAUACAUUCUUUCCUCUAAUGUUUUGACUUUAGUUAUAAUUAUUUUUAAAGUCAUAUAUCUGAUUAGUUGUAAUUUUUUUUUACUUUAAUUUUACAUUGACAUUUGUAUGUCAAUCAAUCUUUUUAUGAUAUUGACGGAUGAGAAUCUUAAAAUAAUGUAUGUGAGGAUUUAAACCUUGAGCGUGUGUGAAAAGUUGAUGCUCGUGUUUGAUAAACUUAUACUGUGUUUGGAUGCAUGUUUAUAUGAAAAGUUGGUGCUCAUGUUUGAUAGGCUUAUAGUGUGUUUGGAUACAUGUUUAUGUACGUAAUCCCGCUUUUUAAUGUAAACUCGCCGUGAUUUUAAAAAACUACAAAUUAUAGUAUCCAUGUAAAUGUGAAUUGAAAUACGAAACUGCAUAAUUUUCAAAGACACUCUUAAUCCUCUUUCAAAUUGGUGUUAUGCCUAUUCUCAAACCUGAAAUGUGUUUUUCUCUUUUAAAUUCUAUUAAGGAAUACAAUAAAAUAGUAGUUGUAGAGUCUAAAGUUGCACGCAAGUGCAACCUUCAAAAUCAUGCUCAUCCUCUUUUCCUCUUCCAAAACUUUGCAAGUAACUUCUUAAAUACAUCGAAGUGGUAGAACCAUGCUUUCAAAAUGAAAUGGUUAUUUAGAAAUAUAAAGUAAAUGAGUUGGUUUGAAUGGAGGGAAAUAAGAGUUUGAUGAUAAAAUAGUUAGUUCAAUACUCCAUUCGUACAACACACUACACUAAUUACUUACAUUAGCAAAAAAAUGCUUGUGAAUUGUCCUUUAUUCUUUGACGGAAGAAAAGAAGGUUAUUUGCUAAAAAAACUCUGAAAUACAGAGGUGGAAGAGUUAUGCUUUCAAAAUGAGAGAGUUUUCUAAUCUCCAAAUUUACUUCACAUCAACUUCUCUUAAUCAUUUCAAGGGAUUUGUUAAAUCUACAUUUACCUGUUAUUUUUAACAUUAAUUGGUUAAUAUCCAACUUACCAUUCUACUUUUAGAGAUAAUCGACCAGUUUAUCAUCAUCGGUAUUCUACUACUAGAGUGACGUUCACUUCCUUAGUUUCGUGUUUAAUUUUUUCAACAUGUGUUUCAGUUUUUCUUAUUUCUUUUUUUCUUUUUAAUUUUAACAGAUAUAAUAAAUCUCACCAUAAUUAACUCACAUAUCUAUGAGGUCACAGAUUCAAACUCGGGGUAAAACAUUCAACCUAGUAAUAGCCAUUUGUCAGUUGAACUAUGACUUUUUUUAUUUCUAUUACGUUUAAUGAUUAAUUAGCAUGAAAAAGUAAUCAUGCUAAAAAGUUGUUUGCGGUUAAGAGCUGGAACUUGAAGAGCAAAAGAAGGAGCCAUUUCAGAUAUGGAGAUUAUGACUACCUUUAAAUAAGUUAUACUAAGGGUUCAGUAAACAACUUGACAGGAUAAUUGUACUGAAACAGUGCUUAAAGAAUUCUUUUCAUGAUUAAUUGAUACUUAUACGGGUAGCAAAAUUUUCUAACAAGAAAAACCACAGAAAUUUAAUUUUAACUCUUNNNNNNNNNNNNNNNNNNNNNNNNNNNNNNNNNNNNNNNNNNNNNNNNNNNNNNNNNNNNNNNNNNNNNNNNNNNNNNNNNNNNNNNNNNNNNNNNNNNNNNNNNNNNNNNNNNNNNNNNNNNNNNNNNNNNNNNNNNNNNNNNNNNNNNNNNNNNNNNNNNNNNNNNNNNNNNNNNNNNNNNNNNNNNNNNNNNNNNNNNNNNNNNNNNNNNNNNNNNNNNNNNNNNNNNNNNNNNNNNNNNNNNNNNNNNNNNNNNNNNNNNNNNNNNNNNNNNNNNNNNNNNNNNNNNNNNNNNNNNNNNNNNNNNNNNNNNNNNNNNNNNNNNNNNNNNNNNNNNNNNNNNNNNNNNNNNNNNNNNNNNNNNNNNNNNNNNNNNNNNNNNNNNNNNNNNNNNNNNNNNUCCGAUCACGGAAAAAGCAUUCAAUCAACUGAAGUUGGUGAUGAGCCGUCUUGUAUUAUAGGAUCAUUAAACUUGUUUAUAAGCAAAAAAAUAGUUUUCACAUAACUUGUCAAAAAAUCUGGCCUAUUACCAGAUUUUUUCAUCUAUAAUGUAAACAACUCUAUACUAAUACGUUGAGAGUGAGAGGAUCAAAAUUCCAAUUUACCUCCCAUGUAAUAAACAAAAUUACUUUAUUCCACUAAAUUGGAAGGAUUGGGGACUCGACUAAAAAAAUAAAAAUAUUUUUUUUUAAACAUAAGUUGUAUCCAGAAUCUAAGCGUUUUGUUGUUGAGAAACGUACUGGUUUCCAAUUGUAUCUCCUGUUGAUAAGAUUUUCUGCUAUGAAGAUGUAAAACUCGUAAACUUUCUUAAGUGGCUUUUUGCUCGGUGUUUGGAUGGGUUAGAUUAGAUGUAAACCAAAUGGAGAUUUGUUCACAUCCCAAGCCUUUUGAUUCUUCCUUUAUCCAAAAACCUCAAGGAUCAUUUGUUAGAAAACCAUAACUAAUUAAAGAUCUAUAUUAACAUGAUUGUUGAUAAUCACAUAUUUGUGCCAAAGUUGUUCAUAAUAAUAGGUUAACAAACAUCCAAAAUCAGCGGGGCCAUAAAAUUGACAACAUAAUCAUGUCAUAAAAAGUAAACAUAAUACACAAAUUACAUAAGCAAAAGUACUGAUUAAUUCAUUAUUCACAAAGAACCAUAAAAUUCAUAACAUCGUAAACUUAUUCUACUGGGCCAACACAGGCCCUAUCACUUCCACAACAAGUAAAAGAAACAUCAGACAGAUAUUAAUCCCACAGCCACAGAUUAGAAACCACCACGAAGACGGAGCACAAGGUGAAGGGUGGACUCCUUCUGAAUAUUGUAAUCAGCAAGGGUCCUUCCAUCCUCCAACUGCUUCCCUGCAAAGAUCAACCUCUGCUGGUCCGGUGGGAUACCUUCUUUAUCCUGAAUUUUUGCCUUCACAUUAUCAAUGGUAUCAGAGCUCUCCACCUCAAGGGUAAUUGUCUUCCCAGUCAAGGUCUUCACAAAAAUCUGCAUACCACCACGAAGACGCAACACAAGGUGAAGGGUAGACUCCUUCUGGAUGUUGUAAUCAGCGAGGGUCCUUCCAUCUUCCAGCUGCUUUCCGGCGAAGAUCAACCUCUGCUGAUCUGGGGGAAUACCUUCCUUAUCCUGGAUCUUGGCCUUAACGUUGUCGAUUGUGUCAGAACUCUCCACCUCAAGGGUAAUAGUUUUACCAGUGAGGGUCUUCACGAAGAUUUGCAUACCACCACGAAGACGCAACACAAGGUGAAGGGUUGACUCCUUCUGGAUGUUGUAGUCAGCUAAGGUGCGGCCAUCUUCAAGCUGCUUUCCGGCGAAGAUGAGUCUCUGCUGGUCUGGUGGGAUUCCUUCCUUGUCUUGGAUCUUAGCCUUCACGUUGUCGAUGGUGUCAGAGCUUUCAACUUCGAGAGUGAUGGUCUUACCGGUGAGGGUCUUCACAAAGAUCUGCAUACCUCCACGAAGACGGAGGACGAGAUGAAGGGUAGAUUCCUUCUGGAUAUUGUAGUCGGCGAGGGUACGACCGUCCUCAAGUUGCUUUCCGGCGAAGAUAAGUCUCUGCUGGUCCGGGGGAAUUCCUUCCUUGUCUUGGAUCUUGGCUUUAACGUUAUCGAUGGUGUCGGAGCUUUCGACCUCAAGAGUGAUGGUCUUGCCUGUGAGGGUCUUGACGAAGAUCUGCAUGCCUCCACGAAGACGGAGGACGAGAUGGAGAGUUGACUCCUUCUGGAUGUUGUAGUCGGCAAGGGUACGGCCGUCCUCAAGCUGCUUUCCGGCGAAGAUGAGACGUUGCUGGUCCGGAGGAAUUCCUUCCUUGUCCUGGAUCUUGGCCUUUACGUUAUCGAUAGUAUCAGAACUCUCUACCUCGAGAGUGAUUGUCUUGCCGGUGAGGGUUUUCACGAAGAUUUGCAUCUGUGGAAGUAGCAGCAACAAAUAAAUCAGAAUCAAACGCCAGAAAUCGAAUUAGAAACUGGAUUAUGAAUCUAUAACAACAGACCAAAACAGCUUGAGAUCAAAACAACAAAUAAACUAAAAUCAAACACCAGAAAUUGAAUUGACUCUAAUACAUAUUAAAAACAGUGUAUAACAAACGAAUAUGAAGCAUUUCAAAUUAAACGUUAUCAGAUCCGUUCAUGCAAAACCUGUUCAUAAACCAGAUACAACAAACCUAAUUGACGAUCAUGCAAUUCAAACAGAUUUAUUGAGAAUAUAUAUUAGAAACAGAUCUGAGAUCAUUUCUAAUAAAUUAAGCUUAUAUAAACUCUGUCUAAUCGAUUUCUAACAGAUCUACGAAAGGAAAGACGAAAACCCGAAUCGAAAAUCAGAAAAGAAAUGGAAAAUACCUUGAGGAUUUGUUGAGAAGUAGAUAGGGCUCAAAGAAAUGAAUUCAAUAGAAAUGAAACUGCGAUUUGUAUGGGAGCAUUGGGGUUAAUUUAUAGCAAAAGGGUCAAAAACGUAACCACUAGAAUUGUGACACGUGUCUUGAUUAUAUGUCAUUCGGUGCUAGUUGUUGGGUUGCUUGUUGUAUCUGGCUUAGUUUUGGUAUCCAAUGCGUUCAGGGCGGUCUUUCUCGGAAAUUAUUAAUUGCAAUUGGGAAAUGGUAGUUGGCGUUUAAUCUUGACGGAGUCGAAUGCAACCUUCUACUGGAAUCUGGAUUAAUCGUUACCACGGCGUUACUUUAUUGGGUCACUUAUUUCGUAUGGGCCCACGUCGUCUGUUUUACAAUAUGAACUCCACUCCACCGUUGGAAGGCCGACUGCUAUGAAAAUUAUAUUAAAUUCAACAAAGAGAAUAUUAGAAUGGUUAAAUAAAUUGUAUUUUUUUUUACAAUGUUAAAUAAAUUAAUUUUUUGGUUCUACUAUCAUACUAUUGGUUCGAUAUGGUAUUAAGUUCGAGUUUUAUGAGUAAAAAAACAAAAUUUGUAUUUAUAGUAAAAUAUAUUUAAAAAAUAUAUAUUUAAUUUUUAUGAAUAUAAUUUUUUUAUUUUAGUUUCUAUAAAAAAUUUUGAAUUAAAUUUUAUAAAUGGUUUUAGUUCUUAAUAUCAAAUUAAUAUAAAAGAAUAACGAAGUUUUAAAACACUUUUAAAAUAUUCUUUUAAUUUUUAUUUGUAUUUUUUUAUAAAAUAAUACUAAUUAUUAAAUAAUUAAUUAAUAUUAUAAAAUGUUUUAAUUUUUAAUAUUUCAUAAAAAAUAUAUUUAUGUGUAUUUAUAAAUUCACUUAUCCUGCAAUUUAUUAACUCUUUUUUUAAACUAAAAAUUAAUUAUCUUUAAUUUUAUAAUAAUUAAAUUUAAACAAUAAAAUUUAUAUAGACUAAUAUAAAAAAUAAUAUAUCUAUAUAAUCAAAUAAAUAUUUAAAUCAUAAAAAUAACAAUGUUGAGAGAUAUCUGAUAUGACUCUUCGAUGGAGACAAAUUUGGUAAAUAUUUCACACAUGCUUAAGAAAAUUGUUGGUGCUUAUUGGAUGUGCUGGAUAUACAACGUGGUUCAGAAUACGAGGAUAAAAGUAGAACUUCAGUAAUUAAAGAAAUAUAUAAAAACCUUUGAGUUAUACGAUAUAAGUUUUUGCUUCGUAUAUCAUCUAAAGGACAAGCAACAAAGAAUAAUAUAAAUUUAUAAGUCUAACUCUAAGAUAUUGUUUUUUAGAGAAAUAUUAAAAUUUUAAAUGUUGAGAAAAAUAUUAAAAGUUAUGUAAUUUAAAUUUUAUCAUUGUAAUAAAAAUAUUCAUUUAAUUUUUUUUUGUUUCUUAAUAAAUAUAUUUAAAAUAUUUGUUAACAUAGUCUUUUUUGUUUAUUGGUCUUACAUAAUCCUUAUUUUUAUGUAUACAAAAUAUCGCAAGUGAUUAUAAGGUUUUUAAUUAUAUUCAAUGAUUUUAAUGUAGUUGAAUUUUUAAAGUUCAAAUUUAAGACAUUCAAUACUUUAGAGUUUUAACUAAAACAUAUAAUAUAUUCUGAUUAUCUAAUAAUCCUAUCUAUGCCUUCUUAGUUUUCCUUAUGAUAUAUGUAUGAUAAUAUUAUAGCAAAUGGGGUAGUAUGUAGUAUAUGUUUAUAUGUGUUAAAAAAAUUUAUAAAAGCGUUAUAUCAUUAAAGUUUCUGCAUAUAUUACAUUGAAAUUUUUGUAUAGGAAUAAAUAUAAAAUUAUAAAUUUUAUCACAAUGAUGAUUUUGUUGUUUUUUAUUUAUUUAAAAGAGUUUAAUAAAUAUUUAAAUUCUAUAAAAAAUAUGUAUAUCAAUUAAUAUGUCAUGCUAUUUACCGGUGUAAAUUAGUUUUCUCGUGUCAUAUCAUUAAAGUAAGGAAUAAUUAAGUGAUUUAAUAAAAUACAUAAAUUUUAAUAGAUAUUAAAAUAAAAUAAUUUUGCAAUGAAAAUGCAUUUAAAGAAAUCUCAUUAUAUAUUAAUGAAUAUGUCAUGCCGGUAUAAAUUUAUUUUCUAGUGCCAUGUCAUUAAAGUGGGGUGUAAUGGAGUCAUUUGACAAAGUACAUAAAUUUCAUUAGAUAUUAAUGUAAAAUAAUUUUAUAUUGAAAAUAAAUUUAUGAGAAAUAAUUAAUAAAUUUCUUAAAAUAUUUGUUAGUCUGACUAUUUCUCUAUUAUAAUCUAUUUAAAUUUUAUUUAGUCUAACUCAAUCUAGAAUAUAAUGGUUAUGAUAUUAUUUGAUUUUCUAUUUAAUGGGUCCCAAAAAUGUAAUGUAAUAAAAAGUCUUAUCAAUUUUAGUUUUAAUCCUAGUGUCUUCCAAUAUUUUUGCUUAUUUAUUCUUAGUCUAAUUAGCAAAAUAAUUAAAGAUUGCUAGAUUGGUUACUAUAUGAAGAAGGUAAUAUAUAAAUUGUUCAUAAAGUAUAUUCAUUCGCAAAGUAUUGAAAAAAAUUAAAUAUAACGGAUAUAAAUGGUGGAAGCGGUAUUUAGAAAAUUGUCUAAGUAGUGAAAAAAUACAUUAAAAAAAAAAAGCUAUUAUGUCAAUAUAAUUGUUGUAUACUAAUUGCUGCAAUUACUAUUAUUUUGUUCUUUCUCCAGUUUCAAUAAAAAAAUUAUGUUUUAUGCAUAUAUAAGAGAUAAAUAUUUGUGUUGUAUAUAUUUUGAUCAAUGUAUUUAAGUUUCUUACACGUUUUUCUAUAAAAAAAAAAUUCAAAACACACUCCAAAAAAAAUAUAAAUGUAUCUUUGAACUAAUUGUUUUGUGAAUGAUAAUUUUUUAAUUAUAUUUAAGUUUUGUGAUGAUGUGAGAAGUGUGGAUAGCAAUUGUUCUUCUAUUGAAGAAUGAAUAUUUUGGACUUGAAGGGAGAAAAGUGACAAGAGAUGUUGCGGUGGCAGUGGCGAAUGCCAUGAAGAAGGAGAGUAUUUGGAAAAUAGAAAGGGUUACUGAUAUUUAAUAAAUAGGUGGAAUAGACGUGAGUAGAAUAAAUAGGUUUUAUAAAGGGUUACUCACAUUUGGCAGAGAGAUGAAAUAGAUGUAAGUUGAAUAAAUAGAUUUUAUAAAGAGAUGUGGAUAUAAUUUGAAUGGGUGAGAAUUGUUUUUACUUUGAACGGUUGUCCCCACUCCCAAAUUCAUUAUUGUCAUUUUUCAUUCACUAAUAUACCAUCAAAAAGACAAAAAUGUGAGCAACCCAACAUCAAUCUCUAAUCUUUUGAUAGCUCAAUUUCACUUGCAGAAAGACACCAUUUAAAUACUCCAUGAGUAUUAUUAAUGGUUUCAAUUUCAAGAACUGGAUUUUCACACCCAGAUGAAAAUUUUCCCAUAGGAGAGAAUGAUAAGCUUCCAUAAGAAGAACCCAUUUGAGAAUUUCCCGUCUUGAUGCUGAAUUCACCUCUUGAAAAAGUUGAUUCAAUUUUAUGCAAGUGCAGGCAAGGUGCAUGGAUAAUUACCCAUGCCUAUACUCAUACACAUACAUUGGGUUUUUACCUACACAUAAUGGAUACUUUAUUGAAAUUCUUGUGUCUUAAUCUUCCCAUUCUCAAUAAAAAAGAAACUAUGUUUAAAAUUUGAUUAAAAAAUAAAUAAAGUUUAAGUAAUUAAAUUUUAUAGAGAUUUUAAUCGUAGAUGUGCUUGAAAAAAUUAAUUAAAUAUUUCAAAUAUUAAUUUUGACUUGUUUUUGUAUUAAAAUUAUUGUAAAGUUAAAAAAUAUAUAAAGAUCUUUAUUCAAAGUUUACUUCCAUAACACGUGCUCACAUUUUGAAUUGUAUAAUGGUUGUUUAUGGCUUGAUUUUACUUAGAUUGGAUAAAUUGCUACAUGUUAUGACAAUUUGUUUGUCUAAAUAUAUAUAUGAAAAACAUAUACUCUUGAGUGAAACACAUGUAUGAUCAUUUGAUUCGCAUUUUCUUUAUUCAUUAUUGAGUUCAAAUCACAUGCAGAAGAAAAGCAAAUGAAAAAUAAACUAAAAACUAAAUCGAUUUAACUGAUGUUCCAUCAAUUGCAUUGUUAUUCCCCAAUGUCUUCAAUGUCAAAUGAGCUGCCUUCUGCCCUGAUAUCAUUAUAGCUCCAAAUGUUGGACCCUACAAAAAUCACCAAUGUUAUCACAUCUUAAACAAAUGUUUCUUACCAUCUUCAAAUUAAUUGCACUAAAACCAAUAUCCUUGCAGUUGAAAGUAUCUAAAAAAAACCUGAUAUUAAUGUCGACAUUAAAUCAAAAUUGCACAAACAAGCCUAUAAACAAAAUAUUAUUUUCUUUGGUAGAUUAUAAACAAAAAUUCUACUUCUUGCACAACAUUAAUUCAAUAUAUUAUUACACACAAAAUUGUCCAAGCCUAUAUUAUUUACACACACAUUAACUCCUAGAAUCAUGUUUGGUUAUUAUGUUGGACUUCCUACUUUAGAAUUGAUUUAAAUUACAAAAUUAAUUCUUUAAAAGAAAAUAUAUUUAGCUUCUAUGAUAACUAGAAUAUUUUUCAAAUUUAUUGAUAGAAAUACACACAAAAACAAUUAUUAUUUUGAAAUAGAUAAAAAUUAUUAUUUUUUAUUUUAAACAUACCCAAUAUAAAUAACUUUACCUUCAAAGUAUUUAACAUCAAUUUCAUAAUAAUUACUUAAGUCAAAAUCAACUAGUAUCAAUUAUUAAUAUCAAUUAUUAUCACAUAGGAACCAAACACAAUAAUUAACCUUGAACCGAAAACAAAGAAGCUUACCACUCUUGGAGUUUCAUACAUUUCAGCAACUUCCAUACCAGUAAUAAUCAUAUCAGGAACAAUCUCCUUAAUAAGAUGAACAAUAGCAUCUUCACCAGUUUUCAUGUCAAGUGAAUUUAUUCCACAAACAAAGUCAAUCAUACCAACACGCUCUAGCAUUUUUAAGCCACUAGCACCAAAAGGACCAUCAUGUCCACAAGAACUCACAACAACCUUCGCUUCCAUAACAUGAGGAUUCAUACAAGACUGUAUAUCAGGCUUCAUUGAAACCAAAGCCUAAUUCGUAACAACACCACCAACUCUUCCUUCUUUCACAAUCAGAUCCUCACCAGCAACAACAUUAAACAAUUUCACGUUAGAUCUAACGAGAAGCUUGCUCAAGAUUGUUGAAGUGAACAAAGCAGUGUGUUUGAUUACAACAUAUUCUUCUCGUUCGUCGUAAUCAAAUUCAAUUUCAUCGAGGAAGAGGUGAGCUGGUUUGCGGACAACCAUGGCAGAGAAGAGUUGGCCGUCAAGCCAAGCACCGCCACUGGGACUGACGAAUUGUUCGAUUAUGGCUAUACUGAUGUUGGGGUUUUUGCUUAAUUCGUAAGCGCAUGAGAGACUGGAGGAACUGGCACCGAGGAUGACAACGUCAGUGUAGGUAACCAUGUCUGUUACGUAACGGCGUGACAUUUCACGAGAGACGAUGGAUUCUUCGAUGGGUUCGAAUUUGAAGGAAUAAAGAUCGUGUGUGUUGAGGGACUUGGAGAUUAAAGAAUUGUUAUAGGAGGUGGAUUUUAUGAUGUGGGAGGUGUGGGUAGCAAUUGUUCUUCCAUUGAAGAAUGAGG
Molecule: long non-coding RNA, 102413 nt
Filed under: Cicer arietinum (chickpea)
Lineage: Eukaryota; Viridiplantae; Streptophyta; Magnoliopsida; Fabales; Fabaceae
Description: long non-coding RNA (CARI_LNC001063)
Source: RNAcentral